RNAcentral lists this long non-coding RNA (138166 nucleotides) under Citrus maxima (pomelo). Its description in RNAcentral is "long non-coding RNA (CMAX_LNC001645)". Lineage: Eukaryota; Viridiplantae; Streptophyta; Magnoliopsida; Sapindales; Rutaceae. The record is from RNAcentral.
AUUGGGUUGAUGUCCUUGUUUCUAAUUCCGGAAUGUAGUGAUUAAUCAAUUUUGAUGAAUUUUCUUUCCCUGUCCUUCCCAGUGUGCUUCAUCAAUCAUUUAUUUAGUUUGAAUUUGCUCAAUUGCUUAAUUUUAGGAUUGAUAUUUUUCUACUUUUGCAUCUGUACAUUAGAUUUGCUUACUUAUAUGUCAUUUAUGUUUUCUCAUGAAUUUCUUUUUCUUUUUCUUAUCUGUAGAGUCAAUGAAUCAACGGUGCGCGAUUCUCUAGUGGACGUGGUGAGUGGAUUCAUUCUGGAAAAGCUAAGAUAGUCGCGCCUUAUAAAUUCAAUUUGCGAUGAAGACUAUUUGGUUUCUUCCAUUAGUCUUUCUGUAUUUUGGAUUAUUUUCAUUUGGGUAUUGCAAGAAUGUUUCUGCAAGACCAGCUGUUGUUAAUGUCGGUGCUCUCUUUACACUUGACUCUACCAUUGGUAGAGUUGCCAAGAUUGCAAUUGAAGAAGCUGUGAAAGAUGUCAAUUCAAAUUCUAGCAUUCUCCAUGGAACCAAACUUAACAUAACAAUGCAAAGUUCCAAUUGCAGCGGAUUUAUUGGCAUGGUCGAAGGUACUUCAUUUUCUACUUCUUCAGUUUUGAAAUUAGUUUUAGUUGGUUUGUUUCAUUUGUCAUGUGCAAGAAUUCUGCUCUGAAAGAAUAUUUUGUAGUGGUAGUUAAUUUUACUGAUUAUUGUGUUAUCACAGCUUUGCGAUUCAUGGAGACUGAUAUUGUCGCCAUUAUAGGCCCACAGUGUUCAACAGUUGCCCAUAUUAUAUCCUAUGUUUCAAAUGAACUCCAAGUUCCUCUACUGUCAUUUGGGGUUACAGACCCCACUCUCUCUUCUCUUCAGUACCCCUUUUUCGUUAGGACCACACAAAGUGAUUCAUACCAGAUGACUGCAGUAGCUGAGAUGGUUAGUUAUUAUGGAUGGAAGGCUGUAAGUGUCAUCUUUGUUGAUAAUGAAUAUGGACGGAAUGGUGUAUCUGCAUUAAAUGAUAAACUUGCAGAGAGGCGCUGUAGGAUCUCCUACAAGAGCGGGAUUCCCCCAGAAUCUGGAGUGAAUACGGGUUACGUUAUGGAUCUUCUUGUUAAGGUUGCCUUGAUGGAAUCUCGGGUUAUCGUUCUUCAUGUAAGUCCGAGUUUGGGUUUCCAGGUUUUCUCAGUGGCAAAGUAUCUUGGGAUGAUGGGUAAUGGGUAUGUAUGGAUAGCUACAGAUUGGCUGGCUUAUAUGUUAGAUUCUGCUUCACUUCCUUCUGAAACCUUAGAGUCAAUGCAAGGAGUUCUUGUUUUGCGUCAGCACAUACCUGAAUCAGAUAGAAAGAAAGAUUUUCUUUCUAGAUGGAAGAAUCUAACUGGCGGUUCUUUGGGGAUGAAUUCUUAUGGGCUAUACGCUUACGAUUCUGUUUGGCUGCUAGCUCAUGCUAUUGAGUCAUUUUUUAACCAGGGUGGGAAGAUAUCAUUUUCUAAUGAUUCUAGAUUGAAACCAAUGGAAGGUGGUAAUCUCCACCUUGGUGCAAUGAGCAUUUUUGAUGAUGGAAUGCUGUUGCUGGGCAACAUACUGCAGAGUAAUCUUGUUGGUUUGACAGGUCCUCUCAAGUUUAAUUCAGAUAGGUCACUUAUUCAUGCUGCAUAUGAUAUUAUUAAUGUUAUUGGAACUGGGUUUCGAAUGAUUGGUUACUGGUCCAACUAUUCUGGUUUGUCUAAGGAGCCUCCUGAGACACUUUAUGCACAGCCAUUCAAUCGCUCAAGUACAAUCCAGCACCUACACAUUGUUAUCUGGCCUGGAGAGACCCUGUCAAAGCCCCGCGGAUGGGUUUUCCCAAACAAUGGGAAGCUAUUGAAAAUUGGUGUACCCAAUCGGGCCAGUUACAGGGAAUUUGUAUCGAAAGUGAGAGGUUCUGAUAUGUUUCAGGGUUUCUGCAUAGAUGUGUUUACUGCUGCAGUAAAUUUGUUACCAUAUGCUGUCCCCUACCAAUUUGUUGCCUUCGGAGAUGGUCAUAAAAACCCAAGCUACACACAACUAGUGGAUUCAAUCACCACGGGUGUGAGUACUACAUUAUAGGUUAAAAUCUUUUGAAGUUGGGUAAGGUCUGACUGCUGAUUAUAUGAUUUUUCCAUCACAGGUCUUUGAUGCUGUAGUUGGCGACAUUACUAUUGUCACAAAUCGAACAAAGAUUGUGGAUUUUUCACAACCAUAUGCUGCCUCUGGACUAGUUGUUGUGGUCCCAUUUAGGAAAUUGAACACUGGAGCUUGGGCUUUUCUGCGGCCAUUUAGCCCACUUAUGUGGACAGUCACUGCUUGUUUCUUCGUUGUUGUUGGGAUUGUUGUGUGGAUUCUGGAACACAGGAUAAAUGACGAAUUCAGGGGACCACCUAAAAGACAAGUUAUAACCAUUCUUUGGUGAGUUAUUGAUUAUCUUGUUAUAUGUGAUUCUUAAAUGUACUAACUACCCAUGUGUUUACAUUUAUUGUUUAGAGGUAGUUUAUAUAGAGUUAUGCUGCUCUUGGUUGCAGAAUAGCUGAAAUUGUGGGUGACAGUGAAUUUGUGGUCUGACAGGUUAAGGUCAUGAUCCUUAUGAUAUGUUGUGCCUUUUCAAUUCAUGUUUCUAAUUUCCAAAAUUUGACAUGAAAAUCUUACUGGAUGUUGUUUAGAAAUUUAUAUAUAAUGUGAGCACAAUGUGAGAGACCAAAAAGAAACCAUUAAUUUAUGUUGAAAUGGUUUCAAAAGCUAAGGUUAUUUCUCUGCCUGAUGUGUUUGUACAAUUUUGCAGCUGAAUCUAUCUCAGAGCACCAUUUUUUAUAAUUUUUUUUUCAGAGCAACAUCACGAACUCAUUGCAGAUUGCCAAGAUGAUUCACGUUUUGUGUCUAACAUCUCAGUAGUGUGGAUGGUUAUCUGACCAGAUUUUGUUUGUUAAUCCUGCAGGUUUAGUUUGUCAACUCUGUUUUUUGCACAUAGUAAGUGAAUUUUAGGCACUUGUUGAAACUUUUAUCUUCCCAUGGUAAGGCAUGAAGGAGCAGAGUAGAUUGAUUUAGUUGCCAUUUUUGUUAUUCUUGCAGAGGAGAACACUGUCAGCACCCUUGGCCGUCUGGUCCUAAUCAUAUGGCUUUUUGUAGUUUUGAUUAUCAACUCGAGCUAUACUGCAAGUUUGACUUCAAUCCUCACAGUGCAGCAGCUAUAUUCUCCCAUUAAUGGAAUUGAGAGUUUGAGAAAGAGUGAUGACCCCAUUGGUUACCAGGAGGGUUCAUUUGCUGAGUAUUAUUUAAGUCAGGAACUCAACAUAUCCAAAUCUAGGCUUGUUGCACUUCGCACACCUGAAGACUAUGCUAAAGCACUCAAAGAUGGUCCUGGUAAGGGAGGUGUUGCUGCUGUGGUUGACGAACGUCCGUAUGUUGAACUUUUCCUCUCCAGCCAAUGCUCAUUCAGGAUUGUAGGUCAAGAAUUUACCAAAAGCGGCUGGGGUUUUGUGAGUAUCUAAUUUCUUGAUUUUCACAUCUUUGAAAACAUGAGCAUUAGCGAUGCAUGAAUUUACUUGAAAGGAAAUUGUUGCAUUUCAUUUUAAGCAUUCCUUGCCUGUAUUCAUCUUUCUCUCUAGGCAUUUCCACGGGACUCUCCGCUGGCUGUUGAUUUGUCGAGUGCAAUUCUAGAACUAGCUGAGAAUGGUGAUCUUCAGCGGAUCCAUGACAAGUGGCUGAUGAAAAGUAGUUGCAGUUUAGAAAAUGCCGAGCUUGAAUCAGACCGACUUCACCUUAGUAGCUUCUGGGGUCUCUUCUUGAUAUGUGGUGUAGCUUGCUUCAUUGCCCUCUUGAUAUACUUUUUGCAGAUUACGCAGCAGUUAUUCAAAUCUGCCCCCUCUGAUUCUAUUUCAUCAGAACCGGGCAGUACACGUUCUAGGCGUCUUCAGAGAUUUUUGUCAUUAAUGGACGGGAAGGAAGACAUAACAAAGAACAAGAGCAAGAGAAUGAAAGUGGAAGGACCAUCAUUUCACGGUGACAGGGAUGAGGAUUUAGGAAGGAGUUCCAAGAGAAGAGCAACAGAUUUGGCAACAGGGAGCAACAUCAACUGAAGUAUUUAAUUCAAUUUUUCCAUUAGGCAUCCCUCUGAUCCUAUCAUCGCAUUCUCAGUCGAAACCCAGUGAUUCCAAGCAUGAAGCAUGCGCCGGUUCAUAUUGGUGGUAUAAUUUCUUCUUAAUAGGCAUUAUAUUUGCUGAAAGCCAAUGUUGGCAUAUAUAUAGCAAGAUUUUGUUUUAUUAACACCCAUUGUCAACUUAUUCAGAUAAAAAAUGUAAAGUCAAACAAUCAAAGACUAUCACUAAGUUAAAUGUUAUAAUAACUGUCAACAUUAGAUAUAUUGUUGCUCUCCAUUUCUUAGUUUUAAUAUGAGAAAUUAGAACAUUAUAAAUUUCAGAACUGUCUAUUUUUUUAUACAUAUACAUACAUACAUAUAUAUAUAUAAAUUUUCUAUAUAUGAAUCGUUCUCUCAUGCGAGUGCUCGCUUUUUUUUUCCCUCAUAUGGAUACACUAUUAAGUCAUGAUUUAUGACUUAAUAGAGUUAGUGUUCAAUUCACUAUAAAAACAUGUGGUUUAAUAACGUGUCUGCACUUGAUUUUAUUAAAUUAUAUAUACACACACAUACAGAGAAAGAGAGAGAAAGUUCUUAGUUGCGGGUUUCUUUUUUUUUUUUUAAAUUACAUUGGAUUAAUAGAGUCAAUUGUAAUUCAUUAUUAAAUCGCAUUAUUUAAUUAUGUGAUUUAAUAAAGUCUUUGUCCAAUUAACUGUAAAGCUACAUGAAAAAAAGAGUUUUUUUUUUUAAAUGUGGAUAUGCUAUUAAAUCAUGUGAUUUAAUAAAAUUAGUAUUUAAUAAUUAACUAUAAAAUUAUUAAGUUUAAUAAUGUGUCCGUGUUAAAAAGGGAAAAAAAAAAAAAAUGACUGCAGCUGAGAUUUUAUAUAUAUAUAUUAGAAGCAUAUCAAUUUAAGAUGAGAAAGAGUAAGAAUUUUUUUCAAACAAAAAAAGCCUUUGAUUGCGGAGAUAUUGUUAGACUUUUGUCAUGUGCACAUCUUUAUCAUUUAUUUUUUUUGAUAUUAAUCACAACACAACAAUGAUGCAAAGAUUCUUUUAAGCCCCCUUUCCAGCCAAAUCCACGUGAUCGAUCAAAUAUUCAAAAGGUCAAUUAUCAUUAAAACCAACAAGUUCUAUAUAUAAAGCUUUUCGGUGGCCAAUAAUUAACCAAUAGCAAUUAAUAACAUAGUUCACAUCCAUUACACUUGAUUAAGACGUGUAGUAAAACACAAUCAAAGCCUCAGGCGUCCUCAUUUAUCAGUGAAUCACUGCUGAGAAUACCGGCAUGUCCCGUAACCUGAUCACAGAUCGAUGAAAAAGAAUAUAUAUAUCAUCAGCAUGCAAUUAGGUAAAUGCAUAUGGUACAGCAAAUUCAUCGAAGCACAAUCCAUGGAUGAUAUAUUUAAAAAAAAAAAAAAAUGAAAUGGGAAGAAUUAACGCAUCUUAUUAAUUAUUUGGACCUGAUCACUUACUUGGAUCACUGAAGGUAACAAGCCCAGUGCCCUUGAAAUCACAGUUCCAAUAAUUCCUCCCAUGCAUCUGAUAAUAAGCAUUCAUGGCAUAUGAAGCAUGGGCAUGAAGCUUCUCAGGCUCAAAACAACGACCACUUCUAUCAAUUUCCCUGCAAUCAACACCACCAGGUCCACAACAGAAGUCCAGCACAGAUUGAAGAACCUUUUCGUCAGCAUGUGGCUUGGCCACACACCAAACAGAAGGGCCUCUCGAAACUCCACUUGAGAUCUUCUCAAACGUCAUCCCCUCAUCACUACAGAAUUGGCAGCUCAGAUCCACUUGAUAAACUUUAGAGCCAUCACCAUUAAAAAUCCCAAAAUUCCUCUCACUCACACCCCCUUCUUUCUUGUUCUCAUUAAACAAAGCAAACACAAACACCUCUAUAUUCUCCUUUGGCCUCAUGGGUGUCCCUUUGUUAGACUGCGCUCUUUCGAUCAACCUGGUGUUGUAAGUCUUUGCAUUCUCUGGGGUUGCUGCUGAAUCACCCUUUGACGGCCACCCAGAUUCAGAAACCGUGAUCUUUAUUGACCUAUUACCAAACCCUAGACCAUUAAUGGCUGUCCUAACAGCAUCAAUUUGGGCAUCCAGCAUGUUAGUGUACACGUACCCUUUAGGAUCAUGAACUGCAUAUAACCCCCCACCAGAACCAGAAGAAGAAGCAUUAAUGCCAACGCCGGCACUACCCCCCAAUAAAGCAUACUCUAAAUUAACAGAGCUAGGGUUAUCUCUGUAAGCAAAAUAUGGAUAAGCAUUGACCAUAAACGGCGCCCCAGUAUCAGCCAGAAACGCUAAAAUCGAAGUCAUUGUUGGGGUAAUGUCGGGGGCAAAAGUGGAAGCCGAGGGAGGAAAUGAAGAAGCAAGAACAGCCAUACUAUGCGGUGUUGUGACUUUGAUUUUACGUUCGAGCCCGCGUGCAAGUAACGCGGCAUGCAUGUUCUGCAUGGCUUGGACUAAGGCUUUAGGGUUCAUCUUCAUCAUUUUAUUACCAUCCGCUGUCAAGUACUCAUUCCCCACGACAAUGGCAACAACGGAAGUGGCAGGAAGGAAGGGCAACACACGAGUGGAAAGCCACUCGUCCGCAGAGGCCGUAUCGGUGCUGAUGUUGGACACGUGGUAGUUUUCAACGGCGACGAUUAGAUCAAUGCCCGUGUUGGCAAAAGCCUCCAGGAUUUCAGGGUUGGUGUCAUAGAUUUUAACCUUGUCGAUGAUUGUUGAUUGGAGGAGUUGGGCUACUUUUUUCGGAGACGGCAGGUUGUUGCCGAGAGUGCCGUAGUUUAUACCGACUCCGGCGACGUUUUGAGAUGGGCUUAGUAUUAGAAGGAGGAAGAGGAAGAGUGGCAGUACUGGUAGCUGGGGGGUAAAACAUAGCUGCAGAGGAGGAGGAGGAGGAGGAACCAUUGUGUUUAUGUUUGUAAUUGUUUCAACUCAACUCAACGAACAAAAUCAAUGAAUAAUGAAAUUGGAAGAGUGGGCAGGAUCAAAAAAUUCAAAGAUUACAGACCAAAAGGUCACUAGUGGACCAUGUAAUGUUAGUAGCUAGCUAGCUAGAUGUCUAAAAAGUAAUGAUUCUAAUGACCAACCUUUUUUCCCCCAUUUUUCGUUGGGUUGGGGAUCUAAUCGGAUCCAAUAACGCGUUUCAAGAUUGUAGCAGCGUUUAGUUCUCCUAAGCAGGUUUAACAAGCGUUUGCAACUUGUAAAUUUACAUUCUUUUUCUUGUCUUGAUGCCAGGACCAGCCUCAGCAAUGAGAAAGCAAUCUUAGUAUUAAUCGAAUUUUAACUGCUUCAUCUCGUGUUCUCGUCCUUUUAACCCUGUUUUGCACCUCGAUUUAACCUCGGUAAUUGAAUAAUAAUAAUAAGCUUGUUUUUGUCUUUUGUUAACCGUUGGCUGGUCUGAGGAAACAAAUAUUUUGAGCUAAAAUGUAAAUGGUAACCCAGCUCAUAUAGAAAUCAACCAAAUUGAAAUGAUUGGAAGAAAAAAAAAUCACUAGACAGAGACUUGGCAAACCCUAGAUCAGCUUGACAAUUUCGCACAUAUCAAAUCCCGCAUUCUUGUUCCCACGGAGCCACAGGUAAAUACCCUUUUAGUAAUUGUCCAGGCGAGCUGCUAUCAGUCAAUAAUGGUAAUCAAAGCCAGUUGGAAAAAAAAAACAGACACUAAUAUCAAUGUUGCAAUUGAUAUUGAGAGAAAGUCGUAUGCGACUGUGUCUCAUCACCUCACCGGUCAGUCUCCUUAGCCCGCUAAAGUAGUAGUAAGAAAGUUCACUAAAACUUUGUCAUGUGGCACAGGGGUGGAACCAUAAAUAGAUCCUACGCGUUUAUUUUUGAAAAGUUAAUGAGUCCCAACACCGGAACCCACCUGACCAAGUAUUAGUAGAUCGUCUCACCACAUUAGCAUGCUGACAUGAUAUGGCAGUUUUAUAAGAAAAAAAGGUUUGUGUAUUCUUAGAAUACUGUUUCUUUUCCAUUCAUUUUUUAUACAUGUAUACCUUAACCAGUCAAUAAUAUGCAUACUUAUGUAAUAACUAAGCAUUAGAUAGAUGAGGAGCAAUGCUAAGUAGAAAAGGCCUUCUCAUUCCACACAAGUUUUUCUUGUGAAUUCUAUAUUUUAUUUAGAGGUAUAUUUAAACACUGCAACUGUAGACUUUCUACAAAUUAAUAUGGUAUAACAUGAAUGAUUAACAUUUUAUUUUAUUUUGUAGUUGGCAGUUUGUAGAGAUUAAAUAACUAUUUUAAAAGUUUAAAUAAAUCCAUUUAAAUGUUUGAUAGUAUGAGAUCAAUAAGGACAUCAUGAUUAAAGUUAAUUUGAAAGCAGUCUUAAUAGUGUUACCAAAUUAACGGAAAAGAUUAAUUUUAUAUUAUCACUCAUAAAUUCAUUAUCUUCAAAUAACUCUCCUUAUUCUUAAAAAAAACUCAAUUUAUUCCCUUUCUUUUUCAGAAAACCAAAAACUUUACUAACUUAUCCUCUUUUUCCCUUAUCUUUUGUAAAAAAUAUGAGAUCUUCAAAAAUAAAAAGAAUAAUUUAAAAAUAAUUACGUAAUCCAAAAUUUACCUUCAUAGAAAUUUGAAAAUCUCUAGUUCUGGGUCCUAGUCGAUCAAAUGUACAUUUGAAAUAUUAGAAAUUGUGAUACAUAACAUAUUAGAAAUUGUGAUACAUAACGUGCAUAUAUGUACAGAACAACAGACUGAAGAUGGAUGGAUUCACAUUUGAUCAUUUGUUACAUAUUUGUGAAAGAAUUCCUCCCCGUUGCAGUACGUAAAAAUCACAUUAUAAACCUCAAUCAGAAGUUUCGGGAACCGGCAAGAAAAGUAGUUGUAGAACCCUUCAGGAUGUGACCCUAACAAUUCUUGGAUGUCUUGAGGAAGUUCCCUGAAAUGAUUUGACUUGUUUCUUAUAACUCGCAAUAGGUCACGAACAUUAUCAUAUUUGUAACGCCUGUAGCGCCCUAUGUUCUCAAUGAAUUUAGUUUCCAUCUUUUCAUCCCAUUUCCCAUUCAAAGCCACUGGUGCAAUACCUUCUAAUGCUCUCAAGAGUUUUGAAUCACUCUCUCUGUCUUCCAAUUCAACUCGGUCACUAACAUCUCGAAGAAAUGAGAGUCUUGUAUCAGCAGUCCAGAAAAAUGGAUGAUACAAGACAUUCUGUGCCUUUGGCCUAGAAAAUAUGUAGCCAAAUUAUUCACCACAAACAAACACAACUGACACAUUAUACUAAUAGCAAUAACCUCAAAUUAUAAAUUGAAUAAGAAUAAUGGAUCAGUGGGAAUACAUGCCCCAGUCCAUUAUCAAUGAUUCAAGAUAAAAAAAAAAGGUUAAAGUACCAUAUAAAGCUUCAUAAUAACAAUGUCAUCUUACCUCAAAUCUGGGUUAGGAUCCAAAAGAUUUGUGAAAAGAUCCACUGCUUCUGGUAUAUGCUCCACCAAGAACAGGUCUUUCCGGUCUUUCACAAUAUUAGCAUCACGCUCAAAACUCUCUCCAUAAGGAUGUUUACCACCAGUGAUACAAAAAAAUAGAAUACAGCCUAAACUGAACAAAUCUAUUGCACGUGUUUGACGUCCCUGUAAAAGCUGCUCAGGUGCUUGCCAACCUGAACUCCCAUAACCUACAGUAAAAAACAAAACACCAAACUGAAAAACACACUCACAAAUAACAAGCUUCAAUAAAAUGCUUACCAAAUAUACUAACUGAAUAUCCAUACCAGUAGCAUUCUGGGUUAAGCAAGACAUGUCACCUUGCAGGCGCUUACUGAUACCCAUAUCUGACAGCUUUGCACAAAAACUUUUAUCCUUGCUUAUUAAGACAUUUUGAGGCUUCAAGUCCCGAUGUAUUAAUCCAAUCUCAUGUAAAUGAGACAGCCCAGAGACUAUAUCUCUGCAGAGAUUAGAACCAUGCCAAAUAAUAAUAAGUUUUUUUGUGUAAAAAAUUCAAACGUAAUGAGGUCAAUGUCUACAGUUCAUAAACUAGUCUAAGAACUCAAAAGUAGAGACCUAGAGAAGAACCUUAUACCAACUCAAAAGAAGAGAACUAGAGAAGAGACGAAGAGACUUAAACUUACCUUGUCACUUUCAACAACUGUGCUGAAGGAUGCCCAUUUGCCUUCCACAGUUCAAUAUCUUUAGUGUUUUCCAUCACCGGAAGCAAUCGAAUUCUAACCUCAUUUAACAAAUUGGAAUCUUGCUCUUUUGCAUUUAAUUGCUCUUCAAAAGAUCCAGAUAAUACAUAGAUCAAGUCAUUUAAACUACAAGUACAACGCUCCAAAGACAGAUAAACAAAAUCUUGAUCAGAUUCCACCCCAUACCAUCGCACAAUAUUUGGAUGCUGAUCAGAAGCAAUUAGAUUCUGAAUCUCUUUCAAGGCCACAUCAUGAUGAGUCUUUACAAGGCGUUUAACAGCUACCGAACGACCUUCAUAAUUCCCCUCCAGCACAACAGUACCAUUGCUCCCUUUAGCAAUUUCUUUAUUAAAAACAACUAACUUACCAAUUCUACGCCCAUCAACACGAUCAUCAAUAAGAUCAGUAAAUGUUAGCAGAAACUUCUCUCCAUUUCCUGUAAUGUGUGAAAGUCCAUCGGUUUCACCAACCUUACUCUCAUUUGGGAUUAUGUUCUGUAUUUUCUCGCUGUUGGUAGUAUUUCUAUUGUACCCCGGUCUCCGUGACUUCUUCUUCUUGGGGAUUCCUGUUUUCGUAAUAUGUUCCUCAGUCUGCUUUUUCGACUUGACUUGUUUUGAAUGGUAAAAGAGAAAGCCAAUGAUGGGACAAAGGGUAAUAAAUAAAACAAUAAAAGAUUGUAUAUAUGAUCUAAAUCCUUCAACAAAUGCAUGUUUCUUAUUUAUUUCACUAACACUCCCACCAGGCAUUCCCAGGCUCCAAGGGAUUUCAGUCUCAGUUGAGGGCAAAGCAAGCGGAGGUCUAUCCACCUUGUCAGGAAGGAACAGAGGCGAUUUUCUGUCAACUGGCCCUAACAGAGAAUUCUGACUGGAAUCAGGCAAAGAAAUCCAUCCAGCUACCUUACCAAUUACAGAAAGAAACUCCGGCAAACUAUUAUCACGAAGCCGGUAGACAGAAGCCGUCAUCUGAGUAUGACAUGGCAAAUGUGAUUCAACAUCGCCGAUCAAGUCCAUUCCGAGCUCACUUCCUGAAUUAAAAUGAUAGCCACUGAAAGACUUUCCCACCUCUUGACAUCGAAAUUCAGCCUUAAAAUCUGCAUAUGCCACAUUCCAUAGAACUUCCCCGGAAUCUUGAGAAGUAGACUGUAACACAUAAUCUGUCCUCAUUAUGUAAACCAGUUGUCGAAUUCUCUUCAAGUUCCCUACACCAGACUCCACCAAUUCUUCGUAACCAUCCACUGGUACGACAUGCUUGUUUUCAUCACUUUGAAACCCUAGUGUAGAAGCUGAAAAAUCCAGCACAUAAUUGUCAACUACUCUACCCGACUUCACAUCAACAAGGAAUACAGAAGUUUUCAUAGCUCCUAAUGUCACUCCACCAUCCUUCGAUAUAUACGGCAUCCUUCUAAUAUACUCUUCAGCACUUGAAGAAAGUUUCUUCUAAAAUUCCAAAGAUAAAAAAGUUACAAAGUAUGAGAGGAAAACAUUUAUCACUGAAUCAGGCCACAAACCCAAUUUUUCAUCAUAAUAACAAUAACACUAUACGCAUCAAGUAUCUCAACUGAUGUGGCAUCUAUCAAUAACUAUUGUUGUCAGUGUAAUAAAAACUUUUGUAUCCUCCUGAUAAGGGCCAUGUCAGUUGCAAUACAAAAUUGUGUAAUCUAACUAUACAAGUAUAGUGUUAUUAUCCUUAUUCAUAAGAAAAAACCAAAUAUAAUUAAAGAUUUGAAAAGAGAAAUAAAAUUAGCUUACCAUUUUACCAAAGCGCUUACUAUGAAAAUAGAGUUCCCAGUCUUCACCAAUAUCAAGAUAAAAUUCAGAGGCAUUACUAUUGAAAGAAGCCUGAUACGAUGAGUAAAUUGGCCGGCCCGUCCCAAACGACCAUCGAAUUUUUCCUAGUUUAGUGUCAACCAAAUGAAUUGUUCCAUCUAAAGCAGCAACUAGAGCUACAUCUGGUUCACUGAAUCCAAAACAUUCAAAAAUAAAAUAAAAAUUUUAUUUAUCAAUCAGUUCAAAUGCGAAAAAAAAAAAAUUUGACUUUUUUUUAAUCAUUAGUUAAAAAGUUAAUUAAAAUGAAAAUUGGAUAACUUACGGGGGCAGCGGUGGUGGUAAAAGAGAGUUGUAGAUUUCGGAGACAUAGCGAUUAGGCGGGGUCGUCGACAGCUCGGAAGACGAGACGCUCUGUAUUAUCACCGUUGAUAAGAGAAGAAAUAUGAGGGCGCGUCUCAUCUCGCAGAUCGGCCGAUAAAUUCUGUAAUUACGAGAGUUGAAUUCGGGAGAUUUUCGAUUCUAAUUUCUAAACGCGGGAGUCAAGGGUUGCACUACAGCGUCGUUCACCGUUGCUUUCUCCAGUCGUAACGCCGUGUUUGGCUGGUUGUACAUUUCUUUUUUUUCUCUUUCUCCUUUUUUUUUUAACUUUUCAGGGUGUAAAUUGCUUUGAAAAAAGGAAAAACGUGAUCAAUAAUAAUAAAGAAUUAAGAAAGGAAUUCCUUCAAACAGUAUUAUCAAAAAAUUUAUUUGCUCUCACUAGGGAUGGCAAUGGACACCGCCCGCAGCGGGUUUGCCAUUACCAAACCCAAACCCGCACAAAAUUUAAAUUACCAAACCCACCCGCAACCCGCAGCGGGUUUUAAUUUUUUUAAAAAAACCCACCCGCAGCGGGUUUUAACAAUUACCAAACCCGCAAUGGUAUCCGGCGGAUUUUUUGCGGGUUUCCGUAUUUAAAAUCACAAAUAUUUAAUAUAUAAAUUUAUAAUAAUAACCUCAAAUUCCAUAUAUCAUACUCAAUUUUAUAUUUAAACAAUGUCAAUGAAAAAUUAAAAUUUCCACAUCAAUUCAAUACAAAUUCUCAAAUUUAAUUAUAAAUUACACAAAUCUAUUUAAAAAACACAAACUAGUAUCUAAAAAUAAUAAUUACAUUUCAUAUUAUCAUUUAAAACAAGAUCCAAGAGAAGAUAUUCAUUUCAUUCACCAGCAUAAGCACCCAUCCAACACAAUGCCUAUAAUAAUAAUUAAGAUUAAUAUUUUCAAAUACUAAUUCGAAGGGAAAUGCCUUUAGUUUUCUUUAGGUUAUGACUUUAGAAUAAGAGAUGGGCCACAUACAUACAUACAUACACAACUUUGAGCCUUUGUCUAUUUGGUAAUUUGAUUAAUGACAUUAUUUUCUUUAUACAUUUUUAUAUUUAAAUUAAAUUAAAAAUAUUUGAAAAAAAUAUUGCGGGUUUGGUGGAUAUCCAUGCGGGUAUCCACCGGAUAUAAGGUUAAUACCAAACCCACCCGCAUCCAUGUGCGGGUUUUAAUUUAUAAUACUAAACCCGCCCGCAACGGGUAAAAUUACCCGCAACGGGCGGGUUUUGGCGGGUGGGUUUGGGCGGGUUUGCGGGUUUGCGGGUACAAUUGCCAUCCCUAGCUCUCACAGUCGUGUUGAUAUUACUCACAAAAUCAUAGAAAUAAAUAACCAAAUUUAAUUUCUGAAUUUAUCGUAUCACAGGGCAGCUUUUGUGUUUUUUUUUUUUUGAUACACUGAUAUAUUAUAAUUUUGAUAUAUUACAAUCUUAAUAUUUACAAUCUGAAAUUCAUCGAAACUUAUCCUAAGUAAUUCUAUUACAGCACAGUCCAAAUAUUAAUCCUCACUUAAUUGAAAAAAGAUUUUUCCUCACUAUUUAUAUUGGAGGAAAAUCGAUCCUACCUUAAUAUAGACAAAUCCAUUAAUAUGAUAUUAUUAAAAUGGUCCUGAAGUUCAGUGUCGCAAAUAGAUAGAUAAUCAUCACUGCAUCCACAUAAAAAUGCAUUUGGUUGAGGAGAAAUAUGACUUUGGGAUAAUUUAGUGGUAUUCUGUCAUACAAUCAUACUAUCAAAAGAUUAGCAGGAUUAUUAAUGGGUAUUACUUUAAGACCAACUGUUUUAUCAUAUUGAGGUGGAGUGAUAGACUCACAUAAAUUAUUUUCUUCUUAGUUGAUGGAUAAAUAAUUGAGAAUUAAAUUUUUUUUUAUAAUUAUUUGAUAUUUUUUAAUUAUUGAAGUAAUUAAAUAAUAAUAAUAAUUUUUAUAGAUUUUAAUACAACCUCCUGUUUGGUAUGAACAAAAUAAGUUCAGGAUAUCUUAUCUUUGACACAUACUUUGGUAAGAUUACAAAAAGUUUUUAUCCCGGAGGACUUGGGGUAAUCUAUAUAAUACGCCUAAAAUAAUUUCAAAUAAAUUGUAGGUUAAUCAAAAUACAUUAAUAAUUUCAUUAUUAAAAAGAUAGUGCGGCCGUCCCAAAGCUCUCCGCAGAACACGGGCGUGGCUGGUCCUACCACGACCAUUUGGUGUGAAGUUGGUAAGAAUAAAACAGUCUAUAUAGUAAUUCUGUUUUCUCAUUCUCAAUGUGCGUCUCUCUAACAAAGACCAAUUGAUUCUGCAAGAUCAUCGGCUUGACAUAUAAUUUGAUAAAUUGUCUGUUCAACUCACUCAGUUGUCAUUAAUAUAAAAGCAUUUUGUGACAAAGGCUGCGAAAAACCUAUGUAAUUAAUUAGCCAACCAAUUAAGAAAGAAUUUAAGCUUCAUAAACUUUGCACUCCUCAUCGGCAGGGUUUGUCUGGCAGAAAUCCUCCAAUGGGUCUCCGCUUCCGCCUGCAGCCACGCCUGGCCACUUGGUUGCAACCAAAUGCGCCAAAUCGACAACCCUUUGGCUGCAAAAUGACAUUUAAAUAGUCGUUAACUUAAAUACACAGUUACAAUUAAUUCAUGUUUAAACAGCUCAUCUUACAAGAUGAACGUUACAAUGUGCCUAACUUUACAAUGCUCAAAAGUGAGAGGUUCUGUGCGCUGUGUCACUAAACUAGGGUAACAUUUAGGCUCUGCAAUGAGAUAGAAUUCUCACCUGUAUCCCCAUUCAUUGUCGUACCAGGCAACAACCUUGACCAUAUCAUCACCCAUGACCAUGGUCAAUGAAGAGUCAAUGGUGGAGGAAACAUCAGAGCAUCGGAAGUCCACCGACACCAGUGGAACAUCGCAGACGGCCAAUAUGCCCUUCAGUGGCCCCUCAGCGGCCUUUCUGAAGGCUGCAUUAACAUCUUCAGCUGUAAUACCCUUUUUCUCAACGUUCACAACAAGGUCAACGACUGAAACAUUUGGUGUUGGCACACGGAGCGCAAUGCCGUUGAGCUUGCCCUUGAGCUGUGGCAGCACAAGAGAAACAGCCUUGGCGGCACCUGUGCUCGUUGGGACAAUGCUCAACGCUGCAGCUCUCGCUCUCCUCAAGUCCCUGUGUGAAGCAUCCAAGAGCCUCUGGAAACAAGAAACAAUUCUUCAGUUUCGUCCUCAUUUCCAGUAACAUGUUAUUAGAAUCAAUUGGCAGACCUCAUAACAUGAUCUGUAAGUAACAAUUUGAUUUAAUAGUGAAGUAGACAUUUUAUUAUGUCUGAUUACCUGGUCUCCAGUGUAGGAGUGAGUAGUUGUCAUCGUUCCCUUGACAAUCCCUGCAAAGUAGUUUGUUGUUGUCAAAAAAACUCAAUUCAAUGAGUGAUCGUUCAGGAGUUCGGAUUGCUUACCCAAUUCUUCAUCCAUGACCUUCACAAAAGGAGCCAAACAGUUUGUGGUGCAAGAAGCAUUGCUGCGGACGCCAAAUUGGUUAUCAAGCUUAUGAAACGGAAAAGAGUUGCCAUUUUAAUUAUCAUGCACGAAUACACUGACCUCACAAUGUUUGCAACCUCGUGAUCGUAAUCCUUCUCGUUAACUCCAACAACAUAGGUUGGAAUGUCUGCACCUUUUGCUGGAGCAGUGAUAAUAACUUUCUUGGCACCAGCUUGGAUGUGCUUUCCAGCACCAGGGCCGUCCACAAAAACUCCUGUUCCCUGAAGAACAUGAAGUAAACCGAUCAAUUACCCUAAAUGGAGUAUUAUUUACUUGGUUAGAUGGGUACUUGUUGCUGUUAGUGUCUGUCAGCUUAGAAUAACUUUUGUACUCAGGCACAAACAUCCAAAAAAUUAGUAUUUACUCUGUGUGUGUGUGUGUGUGUCAAUUGACAACCGUGACAGGUGUUUUUUUUUUUUUUAAUUAACAUCUGGUGCUGAAAAAUAUUGCGAUAUAUGCAAGUAGCUACCUCAAUAACGAUGUCAAUUCCGAGCUCAGCCCAAGGGAGCUGGAGAGGGUCCCUGUUAGAGACAACCUUGAUGAGCUUACCAUCGACAGAGAUGGUCUCGUUGUCCACUAUUUUCACGUCUGCUUUAAAAGUUCCAAGCAGUGAGUCAUAUUUUAGAAGGUGUGAAGCCUGUAGUCAAUUAGUCAUUUUGCAGAUCAUUAAUCAAUCAAUGUAAUCAAAGUUUCCAGCUAAGUUACUGAGCUUCAGAUAUAGCAAUUCAAAAAAUAAUAGGUUCACUCACAUUCUUGACACCACCACUGUCAUUGACAACAACAACAUCAAGGGGUGAGUCUUUCCUGCCGUGCCAGCAUCGGAGGAAGUUCCUGCCAAUGCGUCCAAAUCCAUUAAUUGCCACCUUCAAUUUGGCCAUGGUUUCUUUCUUUACAGGAACUGAUCCUGAUGCAACCUAUUUUUAAGAAUUAAAACCCAACAUAACAUAUAUAUCAGUUCCAUUUAUCUAAGAGUACAGUACUCUCAACAAUAUAUGAAUUUAUUAUUGUAGCUUGAACAAUACACUAUUCGAACAUAAAGAAACUAUCUCACCAGACAGUCAUCUGAUCACAAUACUAAUAAAUUUCUAGUAAUAUAGGAAACCCACCAAAUUUGGCUGGAAAUAAUAAUAAUAAUAAUUCUUAACUUUAUUUGCAAAGAUGCGUAGCCUAAGCCUUCCACAUACAUCAACUUUUCAGAGAGUAAAAGUAAAGAAACCUUGGGAGUAAGUUGAGCAGUCACAGCAUCAAAGAAGGAUGCAUCUCUAGCACCAGUGGCGUAUGUCGCGCCUGCAUUUGCUCGAAGGCCAGCGAAUUCAGCCACAUCCAGCCUCUACAGAACCAACAAGAAAUUAUUAUGAAACAACUCUAAAAUGUUAGUAAUACCUUAGCUCAAAUGCAUGAGCAGGUAAAAGUGAGAGACCUUGGUGGAGCAUUGAGUGGGAAAAGAGUGAGUAGUCUUGGAUGGAAUCCUAGUGAUGGCCGGGAUUCUUGAGGGAGCAAGAGCUGAGUGACUGGCCAUGGCCUGUUGCUUAGUUGCUGAUUUGCUGCAACUUCUAAAGCUGAGAGACUAAGUUCUCCUAGCUAUUUAUGCGGUUAAAUUCAGUUAUUAAGUUGAUGAUAGUCAUCAUUCAUGCUUCUCUCGUCAAAAUUUUAUUUAUUUAAAUUAUGGUUGCAAGUGAAUUAAACAAAUGUGUGGUCAGUGAUGGACAUAGACUAUUACGCAUGAGAUAAGAUUAUGCUUUUUGAGUUAGCCAACUUUGUAAUCUGAACCACAGAUAUUUCAACCCCUAACUCUUUCCUAUCAUGUCCAUCAAUGUUUUGUAAUCACCGUGAAUCUGAUUGCCACAACUGGAAUGCAGAAUCAGCCAAACGUAACAUACAUUGGCAAACAUAUAGAAAUGAUAGGCCCACAUGCAAUUGUUUGAGUUAGAUAGAUUUUUUAGUGAUGCUUCUCUGGCUAGAAUGUGAUCGUAUUGAAUGGCGGAGAUCAUUUUGAGGACAAUCAAAAUCUCCGUCAUUUCAGCUCUUCAGAAUGAGACGUGGUGAGCUUAAUUCAAAUCAUUUUCAUAGAAGAAUAAUCAUCGGACUCCGCGUUCAACAAACAAAGAUCUUAUGAUUAGCUGUCCCGUUCAGCAAGUCUCUUAUAUUAUCGGAUUAUCAGAUAAUCUGAGUAAUGCCUCAACUUACAAACUUGAAUUAUUCGAUGUAAGAUCAUAAGGCCCGGGAAUGACUAGUGAAUCCAUGCUUCCAGCAAGGUAUACUGCAAUAUUCACGAGAUAAUACAAUACAAUAUUUCAAUGAAGGCAAUAAAAAGGUUCCAGAACUUGUAGCAGCACAGGAACAGAUGAGAUACAACUAAAUCAAACUGGGUCCAAAAACUAUGCUGGUUUAUGAGUUAUUUAGGACAAAUUACAUGUAACUGAUGCAAGAAACCACAAAAUUAAAGGACGAGCGUUUCAAAGAAGAGAUGGAACUCAUUAUAACAGAUUCAACUAUUAUUUCUUGACAUAGAGCUUGCUAGUAGUGAAAGCCAACAAGAGACGUUCAUAUAUUAGCUUCAACUUCUCCAGAGUUCACAGCCACUCCAUUUGGAGCAUCAUCAUCUUCUGUUCGAAGCUGAGCAGAAACAUCAUCAAUAGCAGAGUUCAGCUGAGCUAUCUUUUCGGUCAGUAUUUUUCGAGUUUUCUGUAGAUCAAAGAAACCAAAUGUCAUUGUCAGUCCACUAUCAAGGAAGGAGCUAUUUGAAAACAAUGAAGAGUAAAAUAUCCAGGCUAUUGAUGAACAAUGAAGUGUAAAAUAUUCAGUAAACCAGUGUGAGUUGAGUUACUAGUGAGGUGACUCCCACAAUAGAACUUUAGGAUAAGGGAAGCCAAUAUAUAGAUAGAAUUUCGUAAAAUUCACCUAACGUUCUGCAAGUUCAUCCAUUUCAGGAAAAUUUAACCAACAAAAAUUAAGCAAGGCAAGGGUUGAAUAAAUUGGAAUAAUCACCAUAAGAAAAUUUUAUAUGAGCCAAUAUAAAACCAAAAUUGGGUGAAAAAAACGGAAGUAAACCCUGCUCUAAGCCUUUAUCAAGCCAAGAAAUAUUGACAAAAUGUCAAAAUAAUGGCUCACCUCCAAAGCUUUUUCUUCGUCAUAUAUGAACUUGGGCAAUUUUCUCAUUAGAUCCUUCCUGUCAGCUGCAGCACCAGCUAGCGCCUUGCUGAUCUGUAUAAGAACAUCAGAACGAGAAUUUCAACCAAUAGCCUCAAGUGACUAUAAUAAAUUUUAUAAAAAAUAAAUAAAUAAGUGAAAGAACAGAAGUCAGUUGGCCAAUCCUAGAUACUCUUUGGGCUGCUGGACAUAGUUUUGACCAUAUAACAAAGUAAAAUCUGGUCAUGUGGUCAUUGGAAAUAUUACAACAAACUAUCAAUUGAAGAAUACACUGAUAAAGAGCACUAACACAAUUUUAUCAGCAUCCAUUGGCAAAUUAUAAUUACAACCAUCAAUUGAAGAACACACUGACAAAGAGUAUUAACACAGUUUUAUCAGCAUCCAUUUGCAAAAUAUAAUUACAAACUAUGAGGUAUUUCUAACCUGAGGCGCAUAUACACAUCCAAGUGUCCCAACUAUGAUUCCUCCAAGAACAAAACCACCAACAAAGAAGCCAGCACUAUUUGCCCUUCCACCCUCGCUGUAUGAACAGUACAUAGAAGCAGGUGAGUGGGAACAGAACAAGGGUGUAGGUCAAUAUGAAACAUGACAAUUGAAUAAUGGGUUCACAACCUUUCAAAUUCAAUGAUACACUACAAUUGCACACAAACACUUCAAAAAGCAAUGGCAGCACAAAGAAAUGGGAAAGAGAAUACCUAUUUGAAGCAUGAACUUUGAAAGGCCUUCUUCUGGAGGAAGAAAGCUGGACUUUCCAUUGACGAUUUGGACUGAAUGACAAGUUGGCAGGGGUGUUACUCCCAAGACAUAGGUCCAAUGGCUUCAAAAAGGAGCCUAACAGAAAAGUUGCAAAAACGAUAAUCAUGGAAAAAUUAACAGUCAUUCAAAAGCAGGCAUGAUGAGCAUAUGAACAGUAACAAUUCACUAAAAGAAAUGUCCCAAAGCCAGGUUUAGCAGAGAUACGUACACCCUGAGUUGACCUCACAUUCAUGAGCAUUUCAAAUACAUCCAAGGUUAAAAAACAAAACCCGUAAAUUCAAUUUCCAAGAAUAGAAGAUAUCAAUAAUGGGGGGACAUAUAAACAAGACAUGAAGAGCAAUCCAUAAAUUACAGCAAUAAGUUCAGAGUUAGUCAAGCACAUCAAUUUUAUCCGACAUCCAUACAUUUUUUUUUUUUUAAUACUGCCGAUGAAAAGUGCAAAUGGCUACUCUGCGGUGACAACAUCAGCAACACAAUCCCAAACACACCCUAAAAUAGAAAUACCGAAUCCUAGGCCUGGUUAGCACUGUAUCAAUAAUCAUUUCUCUUUAUUAUUAUUAUUAUUAUUAUUAUUUUGGUUUCCUCGAAUCCCCUUAAUCUACUACAAAUCAAUCUCUGAGAAUACACAAUUAAAAAAAAAAAAAACCCACGCCGAAUCACACAGAUCGAGUAUAACGAUAACAGCAAAAUGAUAAGAUAGUGAAACUGAAAGCCAUUGAGAUCAAAUUGAAAUUGAAAUUGAAAUUGAAAUUGAAAUGCGAAAUGUUUACCAGACGAUAGCUCGACGCGAGGGUUCUUCGGUAAAACCAAAGAAUUAGAAACAGCAGUCAUUUUAGUUAGUAUCGACUGAGAGAAACUGAGAAAUAGAGAGAGCGAGAGAGAUUAUAAGGUUUAUAUAUAUAUAUAUAUAUACAGGUAUAUAUGACUUAUAGUGAGCGAGCAGAGUAGUGUGAUUUGCUUUUGUUUUAAUGGUUUUCGGUGUCAAGCUGCUACAGCAUCUACAACAUCAGCCAUCAGGUGGCUUUAGCUCCUUCUCCGUUCGAUGAUUUCGAUGCAUUUUUUGUUUUUUGUUUUUUUUUUUCCUUUUUUUAAAAAAUAUAUUUUUGUCAGUAUAGCGUGAGUUAUUUGAAUAUGGCCCGGCCUGCUCGUUCUAAACCGGCUGAGUCAGAGUUGGGCCUUCUUCCAAGACCCAAGAGCCCGACAGGGAACUCUAAUCUAUUCCGCCAGCAAUUUUUUUUUUUUUUAAAGUUAAAAAUCAAAUGACCAAUAAAUUAAUUAUAUUGCAAAUGUUCUUUUUACUGUUACAAUGACCAAAAUAAUAAUGAAAAAAUUUUAAAUUGUAAGCUGUUAUUGUAUAAGAUUUCAUCGGAUGAACAUUUCCAUGUUGUUGUGAUGCUUUUUACUUGUUCACAUUUGUGAGAAAAUUAAUUGAGUGAAAGAUCUUGUUUCUAAUUACAUUACCCCAGCAUCGCCAACUUUAUGACAAUUUUCACCCUCUAAGAAUUAAGAAAUAGAAUUUUGUUGUCUUCAAAUUCAAUUCUAUUAUCAAAAUCAUAUACCAGUUUUGAAACUUAUUCACCCACCAAAUUUUGUUUGAUAAUAUUAAUUUAAUAUUUAAUCCAAUGAUUUCUAGCAGCCAAUUCCAACUCCAUUUUACGAAGUCUCCCACCGAUUUAGUAAAUAAAAAUAACAAUGUUACCACCAAGAGAGACGAAAAUACCUAAGACGACUAUCCGUGUCGACUGUUGACUACGAGUGAUGAAUCAAACACAACAGUAUGAGUAUUAAUAAUUCUGUCUUUUGGCUCCAAUGUUAAUGGCCGGCUUCAUUUUAUAUUUUGUUGUAUAACAAUGACUAUUUUCAGGCGACACCAUCCGACAUCACAAAAUAACAAGCAAAACGAGACAAACUGAAGCUGUAUUUAAUAUAUAAAUGCAUUUCCAAAUGCAAACUUGAAUUCGUUUGCUUUGGUUCCUCCUCGAUCUUCACGUAACUAAUUAAGCCUGCUGAGAUUCUGCUGCAAUUAAGUCAUGGCUGGUGGUGGUGGUGGUGCUGCUGCUGCUGCUGCGGGAGAUAGAUCAUUAAGAGAUACACCGACAUGGGCAGUUGCUCUUGUUUGUGCUGUGCUUCUUAUUUUAUCCAUACUCAUAGAGCAUGGGAUUCAUUCUCUUAGCAAGGUGCGUUUGUUAUAUAAUUACAUAAUUGUUCGCAUAAUUAUAAAAGAUCAAAUCGCGCGUACUAAUUUAAUACUGUAUGUAUGAGCACCUAAUAUAACUGGGUGUUUUGUGUUGUUGCCUUACAAUAUUUAUUGGCAGUGGUUUCAAAAACGGCAGAAGAAGGCCAUGAGUGAAGCCCUUGAGAAAAUUAAAGCUGGUUAGACUCAACAUCUUUAUCUACGUUCUUUUAGUACUUUUAAAUGUUUAUGGAUUAAUCAACUUCGAAUUUUGAUGAUAUAUUUUUUUUUGUUGGGGGUUUAAAUUUACAGAGCUGAUGCUUUUGGGCUUUCUAUCCUUGCUUCUAACUGUGGGUACAAGAUUUAUUUAUAAGAUAUGCAUCCCUGCUGAAUACGGAAACACUAUGCUUCCAUGCAAAAUUGAGAAUGAUACAGGAGGUGAUGAUGACGAUCAUCGGAGAAAGUUACUUCUGUACUCCGGAGAUGUGAUGUGGCGUCGGGUUUUGGCCGCGCCCGCCGGUGGGGAUGAUUAUUGCUCGAGAAAGGUAAAAGUUGGUAAUUAUUAUUAACACGCCAACAACAACAACAACUAGGUACAUAUGUUGGUAUUCUAUUUUCAAAAUCCAGACGUAUUAGUGGCUUUGCUUUUAAUCUUGUCUUCAGGGACAAGUGUCGUUGAUUUCACUGACGGGGCUUCACCAAUUGCAUAUAUUUAUAUUCGUUCUUGCCGUCUUUCACGUUCUGUAUAGCGUUAUCACAAUCGCAUUGGCCAAGGCCAAAGUAAGUUUUCAUCAUUUUAUUUUUAUUUCCAGCUCAAAAUAAUAAUAAUAAUAAUAAUAAUAAUAAUAAUAAUAAUAAUAAUAAUAAUAAUAAUAAUAAAUCUGAUGAAUUUUUGUUUUGCUGUUAUUAUUAUCAUUAUUAUUUUUUUCGGGGUUUAAUCAGAUGAAGAAAUGGCAGUCUUGGGAAUUAGAAACCAACUCCUUGGAGUACCAAUUCACAAAUGGUGAGUGCCUCGUGCAAAUAGGGCCUAGAUCGAACUAGAUAUAGGUGAUAGUAUGGGCCACAGGCUCAUUAACAAUAGCAGAUCUAAUUGGGCUUUCUUUAACAGAUCCAGCAAGAUUCAGGUUCACUCAUCAGACUUCUUUUGUGAAGAGACAUUCUGGCUUGUCCAGAACCCCUGGAAUUAGAUGGAUUGUAAGCUUCAAAAGCCCAACUCAUACUACUAAGUACUGAGUGAGAAAAAACCCCAAGUAAUUAUUCUCGGACAUCAAUAUCUUUUUCACAAAAUGAAAUCGAAUGCAGGUGGCAUUCUUCAGGCAAUUCUUUGGUUCAGUAUCAAAGGUGGAUUAUAUGACAAUGCGCCAUGGAUUUAUCAAUGUAAGUGAUCAUUAUUAAUUAAUAAAGGAACCAACCAGCCAACAAUGUAAUUUAUAAGUAUAAGCAUUGAAAUAAUGGAAUAUUGAUUAUUGAUAUUUAACAAUAACAGGCACAUUUUGCUCCUAAUACCUCAUUUGACUUCCAUAAGUACAUCAAAAGAUCUCUGGAAGAUGAUUUCAAGGUUGUCGUCGGAAUCAGGUGAAUCGAACAUUAAUAAUUUAAUAAAAUUUUGUCAUGUAUAUAUUUAGUUACACGAGUGGAAUGAAUAAAAUUAUUAUGUGCACUUCACCGUUCCUCGGACGGUUGUAUGCGCCAUAUACACACACUAAUUCUAAUGUAUUUUAUUUAAUUUGAUUUUGCAGUAUCCCUCUAUGGAUUGUUGCUGUAAUCUUUUUGCUUGUAAAUGUAUACAGUUAAGUUAAUCUCCAUCUCCUUUUUCCCAUGCACUCUUGUGCAGGCACUUUAACUAACUAAUGGUAUCUCAAGGAAAUUAAUUAACCAUUAACAAUAUGAAUCUGCCGCUGCAGAAUGGGACUCACUUAGCUGGUUAACAGCAGCUCCACUCGUUGUAAGUCACUCAUCUAUUAAACUGUCUCCCAAUUAAUUAAUUAAGUUCGUUUAUUAACAGUCAGUGGAUAAAUUUGCAGAUACUUCUCUUGGUGGGUACAAAGCUAGAACUAGUCAUAAUGGAAAUGGCACAAGAAAUUCAAGAUCGAACAACGGUUGUAAGAGGGGCUCCAGUUGUUGAGCCAAACAACAAAUAUUUUUGGUUCAAUCGCCCCGAAUGGAUUCUCUUCUUAAUACACUACACCUUGUUUCAGGUAAAAAUUCAGAAUAACUGGUCAUAAUAAGCUCCUGCACUAACAUAAUUAACUAAAAAGCCUGAUACGCACGUACCCUUAAUUUACAGAAUGCGUUCCAAAUGGCGUUUUUCUUGUGGAUAGUGGUAAGUACCACUUAAUUAAUUAAUCAUUUAAUUUAUUUGUUUAUUAGGAAACUUUUUUUUUUCUUUUCGAUUAUCGUAUAUUAAUUAGAUGACAUGUAAUAGAAUAUGUUAUAUGCAUGCAUGCAGUAUGAAUUCGGGAUUCAUUCUUGCUUUCACGAGAACCUGCCACUAAUUUUGACGAGGGUUAUAGUCGGAGUGGCCUUACAGUUCCUGUGCAGCUAUAUCACUUUCCCUCUCUAUGCCUUGGUAACACAAGUGAGUAGGUCGUAGAUAUAAGAGGGGUUUAUACAUGAUAUAUAAUUUCAAUAAAGAUAAUGAUAUAUAAACAUAUACUAAAAAGAAAAUUAAUUAAAUUGAUAUCAAUGCAUGCAUGGGAUCAUGCUUCGAUGUGAUGUGCAUGCUGUGAUUGCAGAUGGGGUCUCACAUGAAGAAAUCAAUAUUUGAAGAGCAAACAGCAAAGGCUCUUAAAAAGUGGCAAAAGGCAGCAAAGGAGAGAAGGAGAUCGAGGAAUAAAGCAGCCGCAGGAGCAGAUAAAUGUAGUAUCAUGAGCAUCCAUGGCCAUGGCUCCCCUUCUCCUCCUUCUUCAGGAUUCUUGAGCGGAGAAAAUACACCAAGCCAAGGGGCAUCACCGAUUCACUUGCUUCACCAUUACAAAUGCAGAUCUAAUCGACAGGACAUUGAAAGCGUAAGAUCUUACCAAUCUGAUAAUGAGCUCUCUGAGAUUGAACCUUCUUCGACUCAUCAUCAUCAUCAAGAUCAAGGAAGAGAUGAAGAUCUACAUAACAGUGACUUUUCAUUUGUAAAACUUUGAUAUUCAAUUUUUACGUAGCAAAUCUAAUGAGCAGUGGUUAAGAACAAUAAACGAUAUACGAUUUCAUUCUUAAGUAGUACCAAGCAAAGAGCAAUAUUAAUGACAGGUUACAUGUAGUAAUGCUGUUCUUAUUGAAAAUGAUGACAACUUAAUUAUGAAUUCUUCUUAAUCGAACACCGAUUAAACAGUUCGUCAAAAUCAUGUAUGCAUGUCAAUCAAGGUCGAAGUUUAUCGAUGAUCGAUCUUUAUUAAUUAGUACUGUUAUUUUAAGAAGGAAACAACUAUUUUUUCUCCCCAGUUUAUCUUAAUUUUGCCUAAUUCAUUGGGUUAAAAAUUAAAUCGUUAACAAGCUCUGAAUGAACAUAAUUUUACUUACAUUUUCAGAGGAUCCUAAAUUCCUAAUAUCGAAAUAGAUAUAAGUUAACUAAAACUAAUUAAUAAACAAACCAAUCAAAUAUAUGUAGGCUGCAGCCAUGCCAACUUGAGCAUUUUUUAUGAGCCUUAAGUAAUAAUUGUCUAUUUUCAGAGUCACUUUUGAUAAGAUUAAAAAGACGACCCAUCUUUAUUAACACAUUUUGGAUCAUUGCAUUAGAAUUGUCAUAGUUCCCUCAGCUGGAAUCGUGCUAGCUUAUGAACCUUUUAUUGUUUUAAUAACGACGAUGAUGAUGAUGAUGAUGCUACUAUAGAUAUACAUAUAUAUUCCGUGGGAGAGAAAUGUCAUUCAUGACGUUUAAUUGAAGGGGCUUCAUCAUGAAGAAAGUUUAAUUGGGAAUAAAUUAUAAAGAUUCCUCAUCAUUAGUUACAACAAAGACAAGAGGUGAAAUAAUUUAAACAUAAAAUCAAACCUCGCGUGUUUCCUCAAAAUUAUAAAUAGGUUAAAGAACCCUUAUCUUUAAAGCAUUUGUAAAUAAAAAGAAUACAAAUUGGGACAAAAAUCUAAGUCCAUGUUGAACAAAAUAGUAGGUAGCAAUUGUUUAUUAAUUUGAAGCAUUCAGGCAGCUCAAUUAAGCUAAGCAUCUACGCUAAGUCAACAUGCUUGCAUAUUGCUACAAUAUUGUAACUAAUUUUUUUAAUGUUCUACUUUCUCUUUUUCUGCAUUCUCUCUCUCUCUCUUUUUCUUUUUUCUUUUUUUGCUUAAAUAUGUUGUUCUUUUCUAUAAUCAAUUUCAUAAUUAACACAAUUAUUUGAUUAAAGUAUGUGAUAGUGUAUGAUGACAUAGGAGAAGAAUAAACAAAUUCAAUGAAGAGCACGGCAAUUCUUUGAAUGUAAACUUAGUUUAUCAAAUUAGAUGACAUGUAAACAUUUUGAAUUUUGUUAAAAAAGAAAAAAAGGUUUUUCCGUUUUUGGUUUUGUUCUCUUACAAUUUUUAUGCCAAAUUUUACACCUUAAAUUAUUUAAAAAAUAAAAACAAAAGCUUGUAUUUUCAUAAAAACUCAACACACAAUAGCAAAUACUAUUUGAUUAUUCCAUGUUGAAAGAUCAUUAGAUAUUAAGACUCAUAAUCCCUAAAUUAAUUCAUACUGACCGGCCUAAUUAAAGAGAAUAAAUGUAUUUCUUUGGUGGUUAUAUAAUUAUUUUAAAGAAAAAUAGGACGUCAUUUGCAAUUUUAAAAGACGACCCUUUUGUAAAUUAGGAUUUGUUCAAGGACCACAAUGAAAAUUAAAUUUAAGAAGUUAGCAAGCCGGCAUAAACAACGUGAAUAAGGCAACGAAACGCGAGAUGAAUAAACGUUUGGUAAAGAAACGCGUUGUUUUGAAAUUAAAAAUGGUUCCACAGCAUUCCGUUUUUAAUUCUUCUUCUGCUUCUUCCUCUACUUCUCUGCAAAGGCUCGUUGAUCCAUAAAUCGAGCUCCACAAACUCUGAAACUCAAAAUGAACUAAAUGGGUCGUCUUAAAUUCAGUUUUUAACAUCUGGGUCGAGAUUGAAAUUUCGAAACUUGGUUUUUGUGGCGACCAAAGUAGAGAGAAGCCAAGUAAAAAGGAUGACUUUUUUCUGAAGUAAAUGUUUUGAUGGGAGAUUGUAGAUUUACAUUAUGUAUUUAGUUAUUGUUUUUUUAUCAUAAGCGUUUUUUGAGGGGUUAACGGUGUUUAUUUAACGAGUGAGUGGACUUGCAAAUUUAUAACUAUGGCUAGGCGACAUGGAUGGCAACUUCCAGCUCACACUUUUCAGGUACUCUUUUUUUUUUUUAAUUUUUUUAGUUACAUAUUAUCAGUCUGUUCAAAUGUUGUUCAAUGUGCUUUUUGCAGAUAAGUUUUGAGUUUUAAUUGUAAGUAGAUUCUGUGUGUGAAUAAUUUUAGAGUGGUGGACUGGCGGGUAUACAACUAUUUAUUGUGUUUCUUCUUUCCCUGCUUGUGUGAGUUUUCCUCUUCAAUUACUGAAAAUACAAUGUGUGAGUUUUGAGAAAAGUCCUUUCUAUUUUCACUUUGGAGCCUGUAAAUCUUUAUGUUUGUGAAAUAGGGAGAUGACUCGUUCAAACAACUAGUUUUAGUAUAAUUUGCAUACUCAGUUACUGGUGAGAUCUCUUAUUAAAGAGGGAAAAAAAUGCAAGGAUUACUGAUGUUGAGGCCAACUUUUUAUGGUGGACAGGUUGUGGCUAUAACUGUCUUUUUCUUGUUAUCUGUUGCAUAUUAUGCGUUCUUUGCUCCUUUUCUUGGGACAGAAAUCUAUGAAUAUGUGGCAAUCGGUGUUUAUUCUGUCUUGGUAAGAACAAUCAAAGCCUAUUUUUUUUUUUUUUUCUCCAACAAGCCCUCACUUGUUUUCCCUUUGUCUGUUAUCUUAACGUUUGAGUUGGAAUUUCAGGCUUUCUGUGUAUUCAUUCUUUACGUGCGGUGCACUGGUAUUGAUCCUGCUGAUCCUGGAAUUCUAAUUGAACCUGACAAGAUAUCGGCGUAUAAAUUACAAAAUGACACUGAUCUGCCUGGUAAGUAUUCUGAUAAUUCUCAAAUUAGGGUGCUGAGUGCUGAAUCAGGUCGAAUUCACCACUUUGAUGUAUUAAGCAUACUUGGUUACUAAAUGUAAUAUAAAGGUUAUCCUGGAAGUUUCUCCAAUUAAUACACCGGACCUGUUGUUUUGCCUCAUGAUUCACUGAACUGGUGUUCAUCCUCUUUAUUAAACGGACAAUAAUCUGGUCCGGUUUCUUAUAAAAAAAGGGGACAAUAGUCUGGUCUUUCACCUGUCAAGAUACUUUCUUCUUUGCUUUUGAUCAGGCAAUGCAUCUCCUAUUGAAGAACCUAGUAAAGUAGGUCUAAAGGACGGAGGAAAUUCUAACGGGCAUGGUCCAGGUUGGUGCUCAAAAAUUGGAGGUUUCUUUUGUGGUUUUCUUGUAAUCAAAGAUUGCCGCAAAGAUGAAGAUCUACUACAAUCAGGAGAGGAGGAUGCUCUAUUCUGCACAUUAUGCAAUGCUGAGGUACAUGAUUGUUAGAGGCAGAGCUCUUUCUUUUAAAUGACAUUGUUUUCUUAUGCAUGGAAACCCCACAUUCUCACUCAAAUACUUCAAAAAACCCUAGAGAGAUAAAGAAAAGAGAAUAAAACUGUAAGAUAACUUAAUGAUUCAAAGACAGUAAUCUGCCAAUAUCUGGUUCUUUCAAUUUGCCAUGCUUGAACUUGAUGGGAUGGUCUGACCAGCUCGGGCACUCAAACAAAAGGUGAAAACAGAGAGUGAUACAUUAAACUGAACUGUGUACUAAAGAAAGUUUUUCUUUGCAGGUACGCAAGUUCAGCAAACAUUGCAGGAGUUGUGACAAAUGCGUUGAUGGAUUUGAUCAUCAUUGUCGGGUAAGAUUAGAUGUGUAUCCCUGUUAGUCUCCGGUAUGGAGAAGUCUCAGACAUUCUAGUCUUCUUUAUCUGAGGAGGCUUGAUGUAGAAUGGAAAAUUUUGCUUAGAAAAUUGCAAUCAUGUGCCACAUUUGAAUUUUAGCAUGCGUUCUUUUUGCGUCAUUAAUAGGAUAUCCUGGUAUAAAACAUACUCUGCAUGUCCUAUCUUUAUGGCACAAAGUAUUUACUAACUUAGUGCUGUUAUAUUUUUUUUUGUGGGGGGGGGGGGUUGUCAUCUUAAAUAUUUUUCUUCUGUAUAUGUUUAUGAAUAAUUUGGUACGACUAAAACUGUCUGCAUAUAUGUUGCAGUGGUUGAAUAAUUGCGUGGGAAGAAAGAACUAUAUUACCUUUGUGUGCCUUAUGGCAGCAAGCCUUGUCUGGGUAAGUCUUAGAAUGAUGCUUAUUUGGGUUGGGUAUGCAACCUUUCAGUUUAUACUUUAUAGUCCUACAACCUGUUUAAGCUAUCAUUGAGUGUAUGCAUAUGCAUUUUUUUUUGGUCUCAGCUUAUUGUGGAAUUUGGGGUUGGAGUUGCUGUCCUUGUUCGAUGCUUUGUGGAUAAAAAGGGUACAGAAAAUCAUAUAACUGAGAGGCUUGGAGUUGGAUUUUCUCUUCCCCCUUUUGCCACUGUAGUAGUAUGUUUCUGCAUCUCUGUGUACGGUUCAGAUUGUUUCUGUAUUAUCUGGAAAAGAUUCUUCUCUUAUUAAGGAAGAUUGAUGCGUGAUUAUUCUAAUUGUGUGACCUGUUAUCUGAGGCAAAUUUACCUCAGUUCAGGACAUAUACCCAAUUUUCUCAACCAUUUGUAAAGUCACACAUUGGACUGUUAAUAACGUGGAAAUGGUGCUGAAUCCAUGGAAGAGCAACUAAUGCUUUACAUUAAUGAUUUCAGGCCAUAUGCACGGCUGUUUCUUUUCUGGCCACCGUGCCUCUUGGAGAACUAUUCUUUUUCCACAUGAUUCUGAUACGAAAGGUAACUUCUUGAAAUGACUUCCUCCCUCUUCCUUUUCUUCUGUCUUUCUAUAUGCAUUUGCAAAUAUUCAGUUUUUGUUGUUUCUGGCACAGGGUAUCACAACAUAUGAGUACGUCGUUGCUAUGAGAACUCAAAGUGAACCACCUGGACCAUCUAUUGAUGAAGGAGACCAACAAAGUGUGCCAACUUCUCCAACCAGUUCCGCUGUGACUGCAAUCAGUGGAAGAAGCUCUCUUGGAAUGAGUCUGCAAUACAAAGGUGCUUGGUGUACUCCUCCAAGGAUCUUCAUGGACCACCAGGUACCACUUCAUUAAUUUAACCUUGUCAACUUUGAUUGAGGAGUGUUUUUUCUCUUAUGGACAUAGACUGAAUGGGAGCUGUUGAUUUAAAUUGUCAUAAAUACCAUCCAUAAUUGGAAAGGCUGUAAACUAUUAAGACUAUGCUGGGUGUAUGUUUAAUUACUAGGGAAACUCUUGACAUGUACUUAUUACUACUAUGUAAUUUUCUUUGUUGGGAAACUGUUUCCAUAUCGUAUUUCACAUGCUCUGCGUUUUCUUUGGAAAUGGCCAUCUCGGCUUCUUGUCUACUGGCGUGCUAGCCUUUAGAGAACUAGUUAAAAGAGGCUCCUCAAAAUAAUGGGGGAACAUCAGUAAGUACGCUAAUGCUUUUGUGUUGAAAGAUAAUUCCCCUGUAUGCUAUUGUUGGCUGAGUUUCAAUUUCUAUCCUCACAACAACACAGAAAGUGUGUAGAUCUCCUACAUAAAAAGUUCAUAACUGGAUUUAUUUUCUGUAUUUUAUUUUUAUAAGCAGGACGAAGUUAUACCACAUCUGGAACCAGGACGCUUACCAUCCACGGUUGAUCCAGAUGCUGUGGGAGCUGACAAAGGGAAAAGGUUGGCCCAGCGUCCGGUACGAAUCAGUGCAUGGAAACUUGCAAAGUUGGAUUCCACUGAGGCAAUGAGAGCUGCAGCAAAAGCUAGAGCAUCAUCAUCUGUUCUACGUCCAAUUGGUGCUCGACAACAUCCAUAUGAUGCUGAUGAUUUCUGCAGCAGCAAUGUAAGCGGAAGAAGUAGCCCGGUCAGCAGUAACCAAGGUUUUCCAUCCAGAAACAAUAAAGCAGGGAAAUCAAAGAGCUCAUAUCCACCGAGUCGUGCUAGCAGGGAAGAUAGUGAGACGUGCGGUCAGAGUCUUAGUAACUUUAGCAGUCCCCAUGUUUCUAACCUUGCCCCAUCUCCAUUGGUGCAGCAUAUUUCUAGCAUGGAUCACUUCAACCCCAUGUAUCAAUCAUCAGCUAACCAAUCUCCUUUGUCAGUAAGACAAAGCCUAGGACACGAAACCACUGUCCAUGAAACUGCAGCUCAAGCUCCCAUCAGAAAAAAAGGGAGUACAGCUGUAGAAAAUUCAAGAAAUUCAGUCUUUUGGGAUCCAGAAGCUGGGCGCUUUGUCUCCUCUUCUUCGGGAGGUGCUGGUUCUUCUCAGGUACUGGGGGCAGAGCUUUUGUACACAGGUCAAUCUAUAUUCUUUGGUGGUCCUCUUGUGAAUGAUCAGCUGAGCAGAGGGACAAGAACUGGCAGUUCAAUGGCCUAUAGUCUCGAUAGACGUUCCACGUCAAGUAAUUAUCAACAAAGUAGAUUACAGAGGGGCGGCCAGCUACCUGUGUUUGUUCCAAGUGAUUCUCGGUCUCAGCACAAGCAAUUUUCGUCAAGGUUGCCUUGAAAGCUAAAUUAGGAACAGUGAUUUGUCUCUCUUUCCUUUUUUUUGUUUUCCCCUCCCCGAUGAAUAGAGUUAGAAUUUUCUUUUGCAUGUGGUCUUUUUGGUUUAUUGUGCAGCUAACUUAAUAGCUUUGCCUAUAUUUGUUUUCCCUGUUGUUACUACUAACCCGAGGGCCUCCGAACAUUUCGGCUACAGAUACUUGGAUCUUUGACCGCAAAGAAAUCUUUUUUGGCUUUAUUCAAUGCCAUGCUAUUAUCAUACGGGUAAAUACUCAUUUAAUCCCUAUAUUUUAAGAUUAGUAUUCAUUUAGUUCUUAUAUUUUUUAAAAUAUCUCGAAACAUCUCUGUUGUUAAAGUAUUGAUAUUCCUACUGUUAUUUUUUUAUUUCUUUUGACUUACUUUUAUAAUAUUACCCAUUAAUAAUAAUUUUUUUAUUUGGACAUUAAUAAAAAUAAAAUAAUUAAAUUAUCAAUUUAACCCUAAAAAAUAAAAAUAUAAAUUUAUAUUAAUUUUUAAUUAUCAAAAAUUGUAUGCAAACUACUAAGUGCGCAAACGGUGCUUGCAAAAAAAUUAAUAUAAUUUUUUUUAAUUUUUUAGGGUUAAAUUAGUCAUUUAAUUAUUUUCUUUUUAUUAAUGUCUAAAAAGGGUAAUAUUGUAAAAGUAAGCUAAAAGAAAUGAAAAAUAAUGACAGGAAUAUUUCGAGAUAUUUAAAAAAAUAUAAAAACUAAAUGAACACUAAUCUUAAAAUUCAAGAAUUAAAUAGGCUUUAAUCCUUAUCAUAUUUUUCAAAGUUCUUCAUCAGUCAAUUCGAUAUUCCCGCCUGUCACCCCGUCAACGGCAAAACUUUUAUUUUAUAUUUUUCUAACUCCAAAUUCUUACAUGCGUGGCUCUGAACUGAUUGAGAGACCGACCAUGCAUAGUUUACCUAAGUGCCUAACAAUGUAAGAGCUUAACCUAGUAUUAUAAAUCAAAAUUUAAAAACAAAAAAAAAGGGAUAAAUUUAAUUUCCUAUUUUAGCUAUUAUUUUGGCUACAUAAUCGAUUCUGAACCUCAUAUUAUGAUUAUCUCUCCUAUUAACACUCUGGUUUAUAGUUUUCAUCAAUGGCAAAAAGGCAUUUAACAAUUUUUGGUUCCCAAAAAGAUAGGCAAAACUUUCAACCAUAAUAACGGCCUAAUGAUCAUCUCCGUACACUUUUCUGUUACAAUGACAAAAAGAUAAACAAAAAAGAGUUAACCCAAAAAGGGGGUAAAAAAAAAAAAAAUUCCAUCAUCUCACCGGCCUUCUCUUUCACAAUUGAUUCUUGGAAUAAUUUGAACACAGUUAUACAACACAUUAAUAAUAGUAAUAAUAAUUGAGGGUUGCUUUUUUUUUUUUUGGGUUUUUGUGAGGAAGAAUUGGAAAAAACGACAGAAGAUGGCGGGUGGUGGUGGUGGUGGAGGAUCAGCUGGAAGAGAGCUUGAUCAAACACCAACAUGGGCAGUCUCUAUGGUUUGUGGUAUCAUUGUUGCACUUUCCUUCGUCCUCGAAGGGAUUUUUCAUUUGGUAGCAAAGGUACGUAACAACAUUUUAUUCACUUUAUUUAUUUUAUGCCUGUCUCGGCAAUGGAAUGCCUCAUGAAUUUCACAAUUCUUUCUUUCUUUUCUUUUUUCUUUUUUUGGGAGUGGGGUUGUUCCGCAAUGCAUUUGUUUAUUUAUUAUUAUUUUUUCUUUCCAGAUAUUUCAUAAAAGACACAAGUAUGCUAUGUUAGAGGCACUAGAGAAAAUUAAAGGAGGUAAAAAACAACCAAUUCUGGUUUUGUUGGUUUUAGUUCGACACCAAUAGUGGCCUAUUAAUCAAACACCUUGACCAAUUUUCCCUCCUCCGCAGAGCUCAUGAUUUUAGGUUUCAUAUCUUUACUCCUGACAUUCGGCCAAAAUUACAUUGCCCAAAUCUGUAUUCCGGUUGAGGUUGCUGAUACAAUGUUACCGUGUCGAAAAGAACGCUUGAAGAAAGUAAAGCACGAUUUGUUUAACAGCCGGGGCAGAGCUUUAUGGUAUGAGCAAAGAUUGUUAGCUGGUGAAGCGGACGAUGUCGGGUGCCAUAAGGUAAAUGCAUCUUGUUGAUUAAAGUGUUACUUGUAUGAUCUGCAUAUACCUGACCUUGAUCGUACAAUGAACACUCUUCGUUCUUUAAAAAAUAUUUGUCUACCGGAAGCAUCAAUAUUUAUUAUUAACCCAUUGGAACUAAACUGGACUGCCCUAAUCUUAAUGGUUUGGUAAUCGAGACUUAAGUGACGGCUAGUGGGCCUUUCCUUCCCAGCUCUCAAGUCUCAACUAAUAUGUUUUGCUUUUUAUAGGGGAAAGUGCCGCUUAUAUCCGUGCACGGACUACAUCAGUUGCACAUUUUCAUUUUCUUCUUGGCAGUGUUUCAUGUGUUUUACAGUGCAAUAACAAUGACGCUUGGAAGGCUGAAGGUGCGUGGUUAUAGGAAUUUUAUUUAUGACUGAAGGGACAAAUUCAAUUUCUUUUCCUCUUUUUUUUUUUUUUUUCAAAAGCAAUACAUUCAUUCAAGUUUAUAUGAAACAUGAUCAGUUGCUUAAUACAACCUCUGGCACGCAGAUCCGGAAGUGGAAGCAAUGGGAACGGGAAACUGAAUCUGAACAACAUAUGGUGAAUGGUAUAUGGUUAGAUGUUUGCGGUUAAAUUAUUAAUGAUGAGAGUAUGUGGUUAAAUUUAUUGCAUUUACCUGUAAUUUUUUCAGUGCUGGCUGACUUUGAGUUCGUGCUUAUCAUUCAGAUUCCUCAAGAUUUAGGCUCACUCACGAGACAUCAUUUGUUAGAGGCCACACCAAUAACUGGAUGAAAUCACCGACCAUCUUCUACCUUGUAAGAUGUUAGGGAACUGUUGUUUCUUUUCAUUUUUCCAUGUUGGAAUGGUGCAGAAAAAUAUGUUUUUUUUUUUUUUUUUUUUUAAAUUUUUUGGUCAUUUUGGCACAAAGAAAAUCAUGCUCUGAAAUCAUUCUUUAUGAGGCAUGGAUCCAUGUAUAGGAUGUAGGAGUGGCAAUAUGAGUAGAUAUGCCUAGUAAUUAUGCCAUUCAAGUUGAUGAUAAUGAUGGAAUUUACAAUCUCUUUGCAGAUAUGCUUUUUUCGACAAUUCUUCAGGUCUGUUCGCAAGGCUGAUUACCUUACCAUGAGACACGGAUUUAUCAAUGUGAGUUUCUCAAGUGCUGAAAUUCAAUGCGAGUUUCUCAAGUGCUGAAAAUUUCAGCAUAAUGCAUGUUUUUGGUGAAAUAGCCGUUCUAUUCUUGUAGGUUCAUUUAGCGCCAGGAAGUAAGUUUGACUUCCAAAAAUACAUCAAAAGAUCCCUGGAAGAUGAUUUCAAGGUGGUCGUAGGAAUUAGGUACGUUUUUCUGUAUUUGUUUACUUGAGAGAUUAAGUUGAUUAAACCCCCUGCCUCAAGUACCUUCUUUUAAUAAUUUAACAGAAAUUAUGUUAGUUUAGUGAUUUUCAAGUUUAUAAUUAUUUCCAUGUUCUUGUAACUAAUAUUUUCUUGCUGACAACAGUCCACCAUUAUGGGCAUCUAUGCUAGUCUUUUUGCUUCUUAAUAUUAAUGGUUAGUCAUUUUUUUUCAUAAUCUUUUCUAGCGUGUGAUCAUUUUAAGUCGGUGGUUAUCUUUUUGCAUAUGGAGAUUAACAACAAACUCUGCAUUUUGCAUUUCAGAUUGGUGGCCUGUUAUGUAUUUUAUGUCCUUCUUUCCUCUAAUGGUAAGAAAUUUGCAAUGAAAAAGUUAAAGCUUAUAUUGUUUACGAGCGUUUUUUUAUAAAUUAAAAGGUAACUAAGGAGGGUCAAUCAUAUGUAUGUGCGUGUGUGUGUGUGUGUGUGUGUAUUUUUGAAGGUAGUCUUAGCUGUUGGAACGAAGCUUCAAGGAAUUAUAUCACAGAUGGCAAUGGAAAUCAAAGAAAGACAUGUAGUUAUUCAGGGGAUACCUUUGGUGCAAGUCUCUGACAGCUAUUUUUGGUUUAAUCGACCUCAGUUAGUCCUCCGUUUGAUCCAUUUUGUCCUGUUUCAGGUAAGCGAACCUUCGCCUUCGGUAUUGUAUUGCAUGUCCUCAUUUUCGUUUGUGAGAGAUUAUUAAUUGCAAACAUUCAAGAUUAACGAAGAUUUCUGACAAAGGCUGUAUGUGUAUCUCAUCUGCAGAAUGCAUUUGAGAUUACGUAUUUCUUAUGGAUAUGGGUAAUAAACUGGUCUCCUCAUUUGUCCUUGAUAGUGAUAUGCAUUUGAGUUAGCUACGACAACAUUUUUCUAAAGCUUGCUCAUGCUGCAGUACGAGUUUGGAUUGACGUCUUGUUUCCAUGAUGAUUUUACACAUGCAAUUGUAAGAUUCUUUCUAGGGUAUGUCGGUCAAUCUUCUCGGAUAUUGCUUCAAAACAUCAUUCAUUAAAUCAAUUGUCAACUUGGAAGCAGUUAAUUAUUUUCUUGUAACACUGAAACAAUGUAGCAAAAAGACUCUUGAUUUUGAUUCAAUUUGGCAGGAUAGCAGUUCAAUUUAUGUGCAGCUACAUCACACUUCCACUCUAUGCUCUUGUUACUCAGGUACAUACAAAUUGAUUAAACAUUCCUUGGAGCUUUCUAUAAUCUUGUCGGAUUUUCACUGCUGUUAAUUUUCUAAUGGAUCAAAUAAAAUGAUUCACAGAUGGGAUCGACCAUGAAGAAGGCCAUCUUCGAUGACCAAACUUCAAAGGCCUUAAAGCAGUGGCACAGGAAAGCCAGGAAGCAUGAAAGCAUUCGUUCUAACUCUUCUUAUCAUCGUUCUCUAUCUCAUUCACUGUCUCAAUCAAUCAGAACGUUGGGAAGGCCGAUUAACAGCAUCCGACUGCAAUCGCUAACUUCACAACGAGUUGCACCAACAGCAGCGGCGGCGGCGGCGGCGGCGGCAGCAGCAGCGGCAGAAGUAGAAACCCAUCCUCCUAAUCAAACAGCAAACAUCACGGCUAGUGUUGAUCUUACUGGAGAUCAGCGUCAGCCUAACGACAAAGGCCCUCCUAACCGACAGCCACCUGAUCUUUUGAGUUAACCAUCCAUCAUGCUCGUGUUCUUGAAUUUUGAAGACGAUGCUGAUGCUUUGCUUGCAAUCAGGCUCUUCCUCAAUUCCCCCGAAACUGAAGAUUGAGUAAUAAUCCCACAAUUUCUGGGCCAAUUUUCCAAUUCAUUGUCUGAACAGUUCCGAGACAAUUCAGAUACAUGUGUAGCUCAGAGGAUGCCCCUGGUUCUCGUGUAAUACAUUUUGACAGUACCUCAGCUCACAGUUAUAUGUGCACUCUUAAUGCGUGUUCAUUCUUCUCUCUUAAUUUUGAAGACAAAAACUGGAGUUGUGUGAUAUUAAAUAUAUAUAUUAAAAAUUUGUAAGUAUCAAUUGUCUGUCGAAGCCUUCCUCUUUUUUUUAUUUAUUUUUUUAAAAAAAAUACAUAUAUGUAUAUGAAAAAAAAAAAAGAAGAAUUUUCAACAGGGUUAUGAAGGUAAUUUCAUUGAAAGGGAACUAGACCCUGGAUGGAGGAGAUAAUAUAUGCCGGAUUAUUUGCGGGUUUCAUUCAUGCAAUCUAAGAACUAAAGAAGCAACCUAUUUCCCAACGCCCAUGGCUUCAAUAAGGAGCUUAGGCAAAUGGACCGUUGAUCAUCAAAUUUGCCCACAACACACCACAAUACAAGCAAAGCAAGCUGUUGUCUCAAUACCCAUUUCAAGAAGAGCAGCAGCAAUUCUGAUAUCUUCACUCCCAUUUAGCGUCAUUUCACUACCCAAAUGCUCAGAAGCAAGAGAGAGACGCAACAAGAAAGCCAUCCCACUUGAAGCUUAUCAUACUACUUGUAACUUCGAACUUUCUUUUCCAACCCAUUUCAAGAAAUAGUUGGCUUUAAUUUCCAUUGAUUUUGGCGCACUGCAUCUAAGAAAUACGCAUUACAAAAUGACAAAGCAUUUGAUAAUUGAAAUUUGAUUUUGCAGCUGAUGGGUUGAAAUACUAUGAUAUUGUUGAGGGAAAAGGCCCAGUAGCUCAAAAAGGAUCAACAGUUCAGGUUGGUUUAAACUUUAAAGUAGAAUUUCAAAGAUAUAUUAUUAUUGUAUUCACUUUUUCAGUAGUACUACCACGUACAAACGUGACGCGGCAUUUAAAUUGUGGAGUGGAAACACAAAUUUUGUAGAAAUAAAAGAAAAUAAAUACAUGUGAGAAAGCCUGGCUGUAUAUGGUACCAUCACAUUUGUUUGUUUUGAGUAGAGAGUUGUAUUAAUAAUACUUGUUUUCUGCCUUUUUUUGAAUCUGUGCUACUUACUUUUUCCUCUUAGGUGCACUUUGAUUGUAUUUUCCGGGGUAUCACUGCUGUGUCAAGUCGAGAAUCUAAACUUUUAGCCGGAAAUCGUAGCAUUGCACAGGUAUAUUUAGGAUUUGUCUAUAUCUACUGAGGUUCUGCUUAACUUUGAGAGUACAACACUUCAAUACCUAUGGUGUUUGAUAAACACACAAUUUCACUUGCCACUCAUCAAUUUAUGUUUGAUAGUUAGUGAUUUCAUUCCAUGGCAGCUUACCUCGAUCACAAACAUAACCCUUUUCAGCUGAAAGUUGUGUCUCGUGUGUUUGUCUAUCUAAUCUUUCUCUUAUUUUACAUAUUCUCAUGCUUUAUUCAGCCAUAUGAGUUCAAAGUUGGAGGUCCUCCUGGUAAAGAACGAAAGCGUGAAUUUGUAGACAACCCAAAUGGUCUUUUUUCUGCACAAGCUGCACCAAAACCCCCACCAGCAAUGUACUCAGUAACAGAAGGGAUGAAAGUAGGAGGCAAGGUGAAAACAUCUUCAAAAUUUCUUAUGGCUUUAUAUGCACAAUCAAUGCUUCACAUUAGAAUCCAUAUGCCUAUUGUCUUGCUAUUUCGUCACCAUUUUCUUAUCUCUUUGCAGAGGACUGUGAUUGUUCCUCCAGAGGCAGGUUAUGAUAAAAAAAGAAUGAAUGAGAUACCGGUAUAACCCUAGUCCUCAAUUCUUUUCUUUCUUUCUUUGAUUACAAAUUGUGAAAAUUUGAAGCUAUAAAGUGUCUAUGUUUUAGCCAGGAGCUACAUUUGAGCUGAAUAUUGAGCUUUUACAAGUAAAGCCACCCGAAGGAAAGUAAAGCGUUGUCUGGAUCACGGGUGUUUCAUGGUGAAUGAAAUUCUUUUGAUUCCAUCGGUCAAGGGAAUUUGUAUGGCUGCAAUGCAUAUUAUUCAUUCUCAGUUCUCAAGGAGUGGUUUAACCAAAAGCCCCAACUUCAUGGUACAUAAAUUUAUGUCUUUUUUUUUUUUUGUAUUUUUUAGAUGUCCUUGAAACAAAAUAAUGCUUUGAUUCAGGUUCUUAAAUUUCUAGUUUCCGCGAAGGCUUUUUGUAUUGGAAACUAAUAAUGAACUAAUAAAUACAACAGAACGUGAGAGGUAAAGCAAAAUUCUUAGCUCGGCCAAUUAAGUUGCAUUCAGCAGGAUCCCAGUACUCAAUUUACCUAUGUAAUGUAAAAGUUCUACAGCAAAAUGACAACAUAAAUCGAAGUUAGUGCAGCAAUAUCCUUAAAUAACAGAAUUCCAUCCUGAAGCACGACUUCACCAGCUUCGGUGGAUGACUCAAAGCAAUAAACCUAAAACUAUUCUUUUAUAUCUCAUCAAUAAGCUCCAGAAGAUUUUCGACCUCCUGCCUCAGAGCUGUAAUUUUCUGCUGCUGGGCAGCAACCCGGUUUUCACUAUCCCGUAUCCCUGUCUUCUUCUCAUAGCAGUCCACCACAGUGGAGUGCUUAGCCAUUACCUUCUCUUGCAGAUCUUUCUCCUUGGCAACCAGCUCCUCCACCUACAUAUACAACCAAUGUUUAUUAGAUUUCCCAGAUAACAGAGGUAUCACUGUAUAGCAGCAUCCCAGUCAUGUACAAGAAGCAAAGGAACUUAAUAUUUCCAUGUCACAAUUUGAAUAAAAAUCCAGUAUUUUUUUCGGAAACAGCUAACUUGGUCAAAUAACAUACUGCUAAAACUUUAUGCGUAAAGGCAGCAUCACUUGAAGAUUGAGAAUGUAAAAGAGAGCGUAAAGUGAAUGUUGAUCAGACCUUGGGCAAUAUUUGUGAAGCUGCCGAUGAAGAUUGCAAGAAUGACAGCACAAGCUUCAACUCCUUUGAAAGCUCUUUUAACAAACCAUCGGCUGCUUUACGAGCUGCUUUGCAAGCUUGGACAUCCCCUGUCCUAGAAAGAUCACGCAGUGAUGCUUCCAGCUUAUCAUGCGUUGUUAAGCAUCGAUUGAUAACAUUUUCAACUUGUUGUAUUGCUGCUUGAACCUGAAAUUAUGAGAAGCAAAGCUUGUGAUGAUGGCCUAAUCUAAAGUAUAUAUUUUCAUGCUAGAUUGAAACUUAACCCAUCACAUCAUACUUACUUCAUCCCACUGCAAUCUUGCCAAAUAAGCUGCAGAUGAUUUGGAAAUUGACAUGUCAACAUGCAUAUAUACGAUGCCAGCAACAAAAAGAGAGAAAAAGCCAAAAAUUAACAUAAAUGGCUCUCUAAGCAUUGAAAGUUUGGAGAACUUGUAAUAGACCUGCGAAAUAAAAAGUGAUUGCAACAUCAGCAAGAAUGAUGACUUUGCAAGGUGAUGAUGUCAUACAUGCAAUUGAACGUAAUGUUGGCUUCAUUCAAAUGUUAUCACCAAAGGACUUCAAUCACAUUCAAGACAGGAGAUAAGAAUACCUGGAAAAAUUGAUUAUGCUCUGGCACAACAUUAGUCUUUUGCAGCACAACCACAGGCCUACCAGUAAGAUCCAAAUGCGACAAUUUGGUCUACAUUGAAUCAUAAUCACAAUAAGUGGAAAAUGAUAGAGCUGUGUUUCAAACUCUACACAUAAACAUAUACAAGACUAGGAUAAAAAUAAGUAAAAAAAUGAAAAUAAUGGAUGUAUCUAAACAAAGAAUGAAGAGGGUUUAUAUAAAAAUGUUUGUACCUCUUCCCACUGAUUUACAGGAAAUGGAGCAGAAACAGAUAUAUCUCCAGAACCCUCGGGCAAAACAACCUGUAAGCCAAAAAUACUCAGUCAGGACAGAAGGGUAGAAACCACCGGGAUGCAAUUCAAGUUUUUCAAAUUGUCUAGUAGCUUAUUGUGGCAUUUGACUGUUUGCAAAUUGAUUUGGUGGCUCCAUAAUGUGUAUAUUAAUUAACCCAGUAAGUUUUGGACUUAAGAUAGUCCAGCCUCAUGUGGCCUUUGUUUCUCAUAAUCAAGUAAGUUCUGAAGGAACGGUUGCAAGUGGCUAGAUGUAGAAAAACGAUUUGCCAGCGACUAAUCACAUAAUGACAAGAUAUGAAAACUAAAAUUUUAUGGGUUAAUGAGUUUGUAGAGGUUAUUUUAAUAGAUUUAAUGAGGGCUCAAUUAAACAAUAUUUAAACCACCCAUACGGUUACUGUGGGCUUUUAUUUUUUUAAUUAAAGUGUGGGCUUUUAUAAUUCUCAAAGUUAAAGUUUAAAUUUUUUGGGUUUAUGAGUUUAUGGGGCUAUUUUUAUAAAUUUAACGGGGGCUACUUUAAUAGAUUUAACGGGGGCUAAUUAGUAAAUCAAGUAAUUUUCUCUUUAAUUUUUUCAAAAUUAUUUUCCCCAGUGGUUAAGCCCCCACACGUCUUCAGGUCGAUCCACCUCUGAUGGUGGGAAAUGUUAUCCGGAAACCAGUUCUACUGUUAUAUUCUAUGUUACCAAACAAAUAAUUCUUAGGGGAAAAAAAGAAAAACGUAAAAGAACAAACACUGCUUAGGCUUGGGGAAAACAAACUUAAACAUGAAUCCCCAUUCAAGUUCAAUGAAGUUCUGGAAAAAGAUCAUUGGGACAUAACUAAAAGAGUCUCACAGUAUUUUAGAGUAAUUACUUUCUUAAGAUGUAAGAGUAAGGCUAAUUCUAUCCAAAACCCAAUUUCCCACCUAACGUCAUUAUAGUGUACAAAAUAAACAAGGAAAAGAAAUUACAUCAAAAUAUUAUCAAAUUACCAACCUUAACAAUGAGGUUAUCAAUGACCAAUUCAUUCAUAGGGCUUCCAAAGGUAAUGUUAAGGAAACGAUUCCCUUCUAACUCGAACAAGAAGUCCUUAAGCGGUAGACCAUAUCCAAUGGUAAACGCAGUCCUCCAACCACCAAACAAGGGGUACCUCGGUUCAAUCAAUAAUUCGGUCUGCAAUCAAAGAGGACACUCUUGUUAAAAUCAGAAACCACAAUCCAUACAUCUUCCACUUUUUUAUUCUUUUGGAAGUACAUCUUCCUAUUCAUUAUAUCAGAGAUUUACCUUCUUGGAAUCACCCCACAGAGUAGAAGUUGAUAUAUUUCCGAUUUCAUCUCUAUAAUAAACUGAAUGAGCUCUUGGUGGCAUCUUUGCAAUAAGAUAUUUAAAUGCUGAUGCACCUCGGAUGGUGGGUCUGGCCUGGUAAUCAAGCCUGUAUGAGAAAAAUGCAAUACAAAAAUUCAGGAUUUCAAGCAGCAGAGCUGUACACAACCCACUUAGAGAUAAAAUGUAAGGGCAAUAGGGACAAACCUAGAAAAUUCACCCUUGUUUUGGGCACCACCGUGGACCAGUUUGUAAUGCUCUGUGACCUGCACAUUACCCCAAUGGGAAAUUUCUAUCUCUCGCACUACUUCCUGAGCAACUGCGAAAGGUUGAUUACUUUCAAAAUGGACAACUAUGGGCGAAUAUGAGAAUGAGGGGAGGUUCUCAUACGGGCCAUAUUUGAUCUCAGAACCAUGGAUCUUCGUAUUCUCUAGUUUUGUAUAAGAUUCAAUUCUAGAUUCAGGCAAUUUAACACUGAGUGAUUGAACCUUAACGACAUAAGGAGUGAGGUAGAACGCACUCUCCUGGAAAACAACAAGCUGAAUAUCAGCCUGCGUAAUUUUCUCAGGAAAUGGUCGCAAUGCAUGAGCAAACACAGCCAAGACAUCAAAAGUGUAGCUGUCACCCUUGCCUAAUGCCUUAGGUAAUUUUACUGCAUAAAAGGUCAAGGCUGCUGGCAUUCCAUUGGGUUUGACAUUUUCAACAGGGAGGCUAGCAGACAAACUUUUCACUUUCCCUUUCCCCUCAUGGGGGGAUGCCUUCAGAAGUGCCAAGUCUUUCACUUGGAGAUCAGGAAAUGCCAGCAAAACUUCUGAAACUGGCUCAGAACCCUCAUUCUCCACCUAUAACACACAUUACAAAGGUCCCAAUAUGAAUACAAAAGUUUCACUGAUGCUAAAGGUGUAAAAGUUGGAAAUUUUAAAUAUAUCGAGACAUUUCUUUUAACUAAGUUCAUAUUAUUGGGUACCUUUAGUGUUGAAGUGAUGCGUACAAUUUGCGAUGUCAAAUCAAUCUGCAAACAAGGGAUCGCAAGAUUAAAAUCUUCAUCAUUUUUCAAUUUCUCGUUUAUAAACUGUAAAUUAUACUUGUAUCCAAUAAACAUAAACACAAAUUAACUAAAAUUUGAACUUACGCGUCGAUCGACUUUUGAGAGGAUCAGAUCGGAGAGUACAGGCGAUGCAAAUAAAACGACGGUAAAGAUGAUUAAAUCAAAUCUAAGCGCCAUUUUCCUCCGUACUCGCAUUGCGGAAAAACCUAAAUCCCAAGUUAGGAUUUUACACAAGAUCCUGAGUAUCACUUCUGAGAAGUCAGAAGACCAGACUCGAACACAAUGUUAAUUAGAACAGUGAAGCUUUUAACACCCCCCCCCCCCCCCCCCCCAAAAAAUACUUAUAACGCCUUUUUCGAAUUUUAUUUUCCUAAAAUACCUCAGUUUUUAUUUAUAAAAUAUGAGCCCAUUAAUUAAAAAAUCAAAUAUAUUGUAAUUAAAUUUUACCUUAAAAAAUAUACCUUUUAAUUUUGUUAUUUAUAUUUAUAUUUAAAAUAUAAAAAAAAAUUUAUCUUUAAUUAUUCAAGUAAUUUCAGUUAAAAAUAAUAUAAUUUGUAAUAAUAUAAGGGGAUUGACACUUUCUCCCUACAGUAAUCAACAUAUACCAUUUACCUACUUAUUAUUUUUAUAAUGGUCAAAAAUUCCCUUGACAGCAUAAAUUUACAAUAUUACCUUUAUUUUCAACUACUCUUUUAUUUAUAUUUAUUAUAAAUUAAAUAAAUUACAUGAAUAGAAACUAAAUAAAAAAAUUAAGUAUUAAAAACAAGAAAUAUAUGUUUUGAUAUGAGCAAAAAUAUUAAUAAUACAAAAUUUUCCUUGUAAUUAUUUAUUUUAUGAACAUUUGCUUAUAAUAAAUAUUUUGUAAUAUUUUAAAAUUAAAUGUAAAAAGAUAGGCAAAAUAUUUUAUUAUUUAUCUUAUAAUAAAUUUUUAUUUGUCAUUCAAGUUUUCUUAUAAUAAUUUUUUUAUCAUUUUAUAAUAAUUUUCUUAUAUAUUUAUUAUAAGAAAAUUUUCAUAAAAUGAAUAAGUACAAGAAAAAAAAUUUAUUAUUAAUUUUUUUCUCGUAUCAAAACAUAUAUUUCUUAUUUUUAAUGCUUAAUUUUUUAUUUAAUUUCUAUUCAUGUGAUUUAUUUAAUUUAUAAUAAAUAUAAAUAAAAGAGUAGUUGAAAAUAAGGGUAAUAUUAUAAAUUUAUGCUAUCAUGGGGGUUUUUGGCCAUUAUAAAAACAGCAUGGGAAGAAAUGGUAUAUGUUGAUUACUGUAGAGGGGAAAUUUGCAAUCUCUCAUAAUAUAAUUCAUUAUGAUUUUAAGAUAAAGUAAACAUAUUAAUAGCAAAUAGUCUACACUAAUAAUGUGUUUGCUAAACGAGAAUUAAAAUGGGCUAAAAUUAGAAUGGACAGGAAUCGAAAUAGGUUGAAAUAGAAAUAGAGAAUAAGAUUUAGAAUAAAUUAUUUAUUUAAACUACAAGAAUCGCAAUCGGAACAGUUGAAUUACUAUUAAUAUUUUUAUUUGUCUUGGAAUCAUAAUGAAUUAUAUUGUUACAAAUUACUCAAAAUUCUUUAAUUUAAUAUUGUCAUAAUUAUUAUUUUAUAUUUUAGUUAUUGUAAUUAUUUAUUCAAAAAUUAUUAUUAUAAUAAUUAUUGUUAAUAAUAAUUAAUAAAGACAAUAAUAAUAAUGAUAAUCAUGACAAUGACAAUGGCAAUGAUGAAGAAGAAGAAGACGACAACAACAACAAUAAUAAACCCUCGUUAUCAUCAUCAACGAUAUCACCAUCGUCGGUAUCAUCAUCGUUAGCCGGAUCAUCAAUACCGUUGGCAUCAUCAUCGGCAUUAGAUCAAAAUCGGCAUCAUCAUCGUCGUCAAAUUGAAAUGUGAUGGCUCCUGCUGCUCACACGAUGCGAUAGUUGGUACCCAUGACCGUUGCAGCCUGUGACGCGACGACUGGCAACCAACUACUGCUCUAGAGGCGACGACCAGAGACGUUGGUAGUGACGAGUUUGCUUUUUUUAUAUUUUUUAAUUUAAACGAGAGUAUUUUUUAAGACUAUAAAUUUAAUGAGGACAAAAUUAUUGGUUUAGGGAAUGGAAGACUGAUUUCCAACCCCUCUUUGGGAAUCAAUCUCUUAUUUCUCAUUCUCAAAUAAUGAUUGACCCCAUGAUUCCAAUUUCGAUUCUUACUUAUAUUUUGUGAAGUAAAUAUUGUUAAUAAUUCGAAUUCUAAAUUUCGACUCCCCAAUCCGGGUAACAAACACACCAUAAUUAGAAUCAGGAACUUGCCAAUUUACAGUUGGGCCUGAGCCAAGUACUUAGACUCUUAAAUUAGACUUGGCCUAAAGUUGCUUUUAUUAGCUUCUAUAUAUAUAUAUAUAUAUAUAUUUAUUUAUUUAUUUAUUAAUAUUAUUAUUAUUAUUUUUGUGGUUGAGAAGCGGGAGGGUACGAGCUCUGGACUUUUGGUUGGAGGUAAAGGUAAUCUUAAGAAAAUGAAAAAUAAAAAGCUUUGUAAACAUAAUAAAUUAGUCUAUAUAUCAAUCGAACAUUGCGAAUGAAAAGGUAAAAGCGAUUAGUGAUAAAUAACUGAUCAUCAAAUAACUUAACUAAGAUUAGUUUUAGUUAUAACAACAAUACGCGAAAUAAAAUUGCAAACAAGACAACUGAAUAUUGAAGUGUUUUUGAUGUUUUCAUUGAUUGUAAUGCUUUAUAUUUAUAUGUAUUGAUUGACACUAAAAAGUGUAAAUUUAAUAAAGAUAAAAUUAUUAGUUUUCACUUAUUAUGUCAAUUAAUGCACUCAUUAUUUCUAAAUUAUCUUAACACUCUCUAAAUAUAUUUUUAUGUUAAAUUAAUUUUAUUUUAAUUUUAUAUUACAAAUAUAUUUCAAGAAUAAAGAGGAAUUUGAAUUAGAAGCAGAAACAAAGAAGAAUUACUUGAGCAAUUUAGAAUACAUUAUUAAAGAGAUGUACUUAAUAAAAAAUAAAAAAUAAAUAAAUAACAAAGUGUGAUAGUCACGGGUGAAAGUUGCCACCAUGACUAUCACACUCUUUUUGGUGAUAAUAUAAAAAAAAAAGUUUAAAUAAUAAAAUAAAGAAAGCUAAAGGCAUUUGUUUCCUAUAAACAAAAAAAAAAAAAAAAAAAAAAAAAAAGAAGAGAUGAGCUGGGAGAGAAUGGAGUGAAGUUGAGGAACUUUUUCUCUUUUUUUUUCUUGUUUUCUGAUGUAAUCAAUUUUUUUAUAAUAUAUUUCAAAAGUUUAUCAAAUAAGAAGAGUAUUUUGUUUUCUUUCAAUAUAAAUGACUAAUUUUACUAGGUUAAUGUGAAUGGUGAAGCUCAAUAUUUUAAAUUUAUUAAAUUAAUUACUUUAUUAAGUGAGUUUUAAGUUUAUUUUAUUAUUUUCUGGUUAUUUUUAUGUCAUAUUAAUUUAUAAAUUUUUUUGGAUCUGUAUGGUAUUUUGACAUAAUGUCGACACAUUAAUAUAGUUGUGGCACAUUAGAUACUUGAUUCCAUAUUUAUCCGCACACAUAAUUAGUUAAAAAUUAAAUGACAUAAUAAUUAACUGGUAAAAGUGAGGCAAAAUAUAAAAAUGAGAGAGUAUUAAAAACAUAGUUUGAAUACUGAGAGUGGAUCUUAUAGCCUUUAUAUUGAAUCUUAUUAAUUUUUUUCCUGCAUUUAAUUUUAUUUACUUAACAAAUUGACUACUAGAUUUUAAAUCCUCUGUGGUUCGAUGCCGGACUCACCAAGUUAUAUUAUAACUAGACACUCUUAUAUUUGAGAAUAACACUUUUGAGUCGUGUCAUGUAUCAUCUGAAACUAGUAAAGAGAAAAUAAAGGAAACUAUAGAUGAGACUAUCAAUUAAAAUAAUACAAGUGAGAAAUAAAAGGAAUAGUUAUCUAUUGCUAAUAAAAAGAUAAUAGAAUCUUGAGAAAAUCAUAUAUGCCCUGCAAGAGGGUGCUGGUAUAAGAAACAUCCAUCUUGAACCUUAGUCUAGAAAAUUGUCGCUUAUAAAGGAGCUCAAAUAGCCCAACAACAAGCUGAUCAGUUGUAGAUACAUAAAAUACUCGCAAUAGCCCUUUGUCAACCCAAUCUUGAACAAAAUGAUAAGUAAGACCAAUGUGUUUUACUCUUGAGCGGAAGACUGAAUUGUGACAUAAAUAGGUAGUUUUAAUAUUUUCACAACAUAUGGUAGGAGUUUGACUCAAAUAAAGGUCGAGUUCAUGAAGUUAAUUUCUUUAAGUCUUCCAUUAUUUAUAUUUUCUUAGAUGAUGGAGGAAAAUUUAUAAAAUUAAAACCAUUCUUCGUUAAAUGUGGAAUUUCACAUCUCACCUCACCUCCAUAUACCCCUGAGCAUAAUGGUACUAGUGAAUGGCAUUAUUGUCACAUUGUAGAAACAAGUCUUACCUUAUUGCAUCAAGCUUCUCUUCCUUUAUGCUUUUAGACUUAUGUUUUUCUUACUGUUGUGUAUUUAAUUAAUCAAUUACCCAUUAAUAUUCCUAAGUUAAAAAGUCUUUAUGAAACACCUUUUGGUGAUGCACUUAACUACAAUAAACUCAAAAUUUUUGGUUGUGGAUGCUUCCCUUGGCUACGUUUAUAUUUCACUCAUAAACUUGAACUUGUGUCUAAACCUUAUAUCUUUUUCGGAUAUUACAUUUCACAAAGUACCUUAAAUGUUUUGGGAAAUUUACAAAAUUAGCCAUAAAACUUUUACGUUUUUCAACUUUAACCCCCCAAAGUUUUUUCUAUCAUAACUAGCCAAACACCUUAUGUUUGGACUACAUUACCCUCAUCACUUUCAUUAAAUUUACAAAGCCAUGCCACUUUUUCAAAUUUACAAAGCCAUGGCACCUGUUCCAUUGCUUGUCGCGCAUAAACCCAUGGAUUUUAUGGAGUACAUGAUUUUGGAUUUGAUUUGUCUCGUCGUAAGCUUCGAAACGAUAUAUUAUACGCCUAAAACGAACAUAUAUAGCUCAAGUUAUGGCUUUCGAAACAUAUAUGAAAUUUAUUGAGACAGGCAAGUGGGACAGGUGCCUGUCGCACAUAAACGCACUGCAUUUAUGUGCGAUAGGCACCUGUCCCACUGCUUGUCGCACAUAAACUCACGGCGUUUAUGGAAUGCAUGAUUUUGGAUUUGAUUUGUCUCGUCGUAAGCUUCGAAACGGUAUAUUAUACGCCUAAAACGGACAUAUAUAGCUCAAGUUAUGGCUUUCGAAACAUAUAUGAAAUUUAGUGAGACAGGCACCUGUCCCACUUGCCUGUCUCACUAAAUUUCAUAUAUGUUUCGAAAGCCAUAACUUGAGCUAUAUAUGUCCGUUUUAGGCGUAUAAUAUACCGUUUCGAAGCUUACGACGAGACAAAUCAAAUCCAAAAUCAUGCAUUCCAUAAACGCCGUGAGUUUAUGUGCGACAAGCAGUGGGACAGGUGCCUAUCGCACAUAAAUGCAGUGCGUUUAUGUGCGACAGGCACCUGUCCCACUUGCCUGUCUCACUAAAUUUCAUAUAUGUUUCGAAAGCCAUAACUUGAGCUAUAUAUGUUCGUUUUAGGCGUAUAAUAUAUCGUUUCGAAGCUUACGACGAGACAAAUCAAAUCCAAAAUCAUGUACUCCAUAAAAUCCAUGGGUUUAUGCGCGACAAGCAAUGGAACAUGUGCCAUGGCUUUGUAAAUUUGAAAAAGUGGCAUGGCUUUGUAAAUUUGAUGAAAGUGAUGAGGGUAAUGUAGUCCAAACAUAAGGUGUUUGGCUAGUUAUGAUAGAAAAAACUUUGGGGGGUUAAAGUUGAAAAACGUAAAAGUUUUAUGGCUAAUUUUGUAAAUUUCCCAAAUGUUUUGGUCUUGUUUGUAGUCGUAUGUAUAUACCACGCCAUUUUAUUUUUUAUGAAUUUACUUUUUCUUAUCAUGAUUUAGAUAUACCUCACGCUCGUGUUUCCAGGACUCGAUCUAUGUUAGCUACUUUUUCUCCACUUAUAUUUUUUUAUAACACGUUUGAUGUUGAUAAUGGCACCACUUAAGAUGCUUCCUUACAGGUUGAGCCCAAUGUUGAUUUUCUAGCAACUAAUCCUUUACCAAUUGAGACAUAUCAUUUGCUCAUCAUGUCUACGUCUCCUUCACCUCCUAACUAACCAGAUAAGAUAUCAACUCCAUCUCAACCUCUUCCAUGUCAUAUACUAACCCAACCCAACCUAUGGUAACCUGAGUAAAAAAUAACAUCUUCAAGCCUAGAAACAUAUUCUCUUUCUUUACCACUAAACAUCCCAUGCUUAAUACCUUGGAACCAACAUAUGUUGCACAUGCUUUACAAGAUCCGACCUGGAAGCUGCAAUGAUACAUGAAUACACAACUUUGAUCCAGAAUCAUACAUGAGAACUAAUCCUUUAUUCACAAUCACAAAACAUAAGUGGCUGCAAAUGGAUCUUUUGCAUCAAACAACAUCCAGAUGGUACUAUAAAGUCCUUUAGUUGCCAAAGGUUUUAAUCAACGACUUGGUGUUGACUGCUUUGAUACCAUAUAGGAACAAUAAGCAAAAUAAAAUUAUAAACAAGAGUGAAAUAUUUUUGAGAUAAUUUAAUACUAAUUUGGUCAGAUUCGGAUCUCAAAUAGCUAAACUAAAAUAAAAAUAAUAAGUAAAACAAUAAAUUAAAUUAUUGUUUCAUUUGUGAUUGUGGAUAUAGAUUCGUAAUUGUAAAUAUCAAUAAAUUUUUAAUUACAAUUUACAUAAAAAAAAGAAUCAUCGAUUCAUCUCAAUUUAAUUUAUUAAAAUGUUAGGAUCCUAGAAGCAUAUUCUAAUUUCUUUUUUAUUAUGAUUAAGGUGUCUUAUUACAAUUAUGAUUUAGGGUUCUAAUUAGAUAAGAAUUAAUAUUGUGUUUAGUUACUAUAAAUAAGUGGUACUCAACAUGUUUUUGAGCAAGCAGUAAUAAAUUAAUUCCUAUCCCCUAUUAAUUGUUCUCUCUUUCCCUAAAUUCUUAAGUUCUUCAUCUCUUCUUCUAUCUCGAAUUCUCCAAUCAAAACCCUAAAACUCUAUCAUAAAAUAAUUUAGGUCAUGAAUAUAAUUGACUAAAAAAAAUCGUAUUUGAUUUACAUUUUCCCACUAGUCCACCUAACGAACAAAUAAUUUAUUAGUGAUUUACAAUGACUCUUACAUUUAUAAUAUUUGAAACAUGAGCAAGUUCAUAGAAUGAUGAGAAAGCAGAAGUCCCAUUUUUACAUUUUUACAUUUUUCUUUUCCGAAGAUUCACAUUUUUACAUUUGAUCUAACUUUAUUGAGUACAAGUGAUAUCAAUUAUUUAUUAAUAUAGAUUUGCAAUUUGUUUUAAAUUCUUCUUUGUCAACGACAUUAGGGCAAAAGAAUUAAUUAACAUGGUGGCAUUAUCCUUGGACCUUCGACAAUGACACCAGCGGCCCAGCGCACUAGGCUGAGACCAAAUGUUAAAUUGUUAGAUAAGUUGGUUGUUUUUUUUUUUUAUAAAUUACAGGGACUAGUUUGAUAAUUAGCCUUGGUGGAAACUAGAAUGUAAGGCACAAACACUAAACAGUCCACGGUGUGAGAUUAUCGUUUGCGUUUUCUCCGCAAAGCGCAAGGCGUGGACUCAGAGAGUGAAGGCUAGGGUUUAUAAGUACAGAAACAACUAUUGAAGACUAAGGUUUCAGGAGCUGCUGCUUUUGCUUUUGAUUAAAGCAGGGAAGAAAAUGGAGACAUCUUUAAGAUAUGGAAAAGACUCGAAGGCUCUAAGAAUCCACGCGAAGGAGAAAAUUCCAAUUGAUUCCAAUACUCGCUUGCAGGUACCUAAACUCAUUCUUUCUAUCGUUCUUGGUUUCUUUUUCUUGUUUUAAUUCUGGGAUUUCAGUUUUUAAGUAAAGUUGGUAUGAAUUGAUAAAAAUGUCACAUGUAUUGGGUAGCUCAUAAUUGAGUUAUAAAAGCCACUUGAUGUUGACUAAUAGUUUUUAUUUUUUAGAUUCUUUGUUGAAUAUGUAAUUAUGAUUAUGCUACUGUUUGCAGAUUGAGUUGAUGAUUACGGUAUGUGUACUUAUUUGAUACUUGCUAUCAUACAAAUGCAUGUGUUUGCGUUUGUUUUUAUGUUAUGGGAAAAGAGUGGCAUCCUGGUGUACAAGGUGCAUUAAGAUGUGCUGGAUUGUUGGCUUGUAUCAUUUUGUUUUGCAAACCACUGCUGUAACCUCACUACGUUUUGUUUAAUGAAGUCUUAUUCUUGUCAAAGUAUAACUGCCCUGUUGUUGGAUUCAAUCACAGCAUUAACUUUGGACAAAACAUCUAAUAUUACUGUGGAAUUAGAUUAUUCUUUUUCAACUUAUUUUAUGUGAGAUUCUUUCAUUCUGAACAGUUUCAAUUAUUAAUUUCUGUGAAUGAUUCUUAUUUUUAUUUUUUAAUUAUAUUUGUGUUUGAAUUAGGUUCAUGGAGAGCUAGAUACAAGAGUUGGAGCUCCAAGUUACAUCAAUGCAAUGAUAAGACACUUCUAUCCAGAUGUACGUUCGCACUCUGCCCUUCCUGUUAAUUUUAACUUUUAUAGGAGCAGCUCCUGUGGAAAUUUGACAUCUUUUUUUAGGAGUUUAAUGGUCUAUAUCUGCCAAUUUCCUUUAGUUAUCAGCAAGCUUCGGGUUAGGAGUACAGUAUGAUAAACAUGAGAAGCUAAGGUAUACCGUACGUGGAAAGAAAGCUUUUCCUAUGACAAGUACUGGUUUGUUAAGCUUUAAUAUCAAGGGAAGAUGUGAAGUUGACAAGGAAUUUAAACAGGUUGGUGGAUGCUCUGAGUUCUUAGAAUAAUUCAAUAAUCAGAUGUAAUUGGUUCACAGAGAGCAAUGUUCAUGCUAUUUGCCUAUUUGGUGUCCUCAGUAUAAGAAGUUUAACAACUUCACAAUAUUUUCAUUAGUCCCUUUUUUUUGUUUUAAUUAUAUGUUUUGCUUUUGCUUUCAGUUGGACUUUAAUUAUAUUUUGAUCUUUUGUUUCCAAUAAGAGAGAUACUAAAGAAUGCAACUCAGCAUCCUAACAUGUGGUCUUUGUGUCCUUCUGCUAACACAUAUACCACCUUGACAGAGAAAGUCUAGAGGAGCUGCUGAAUUUUCUUGGAGCAUAUUCAAUUUUCAGAAAGACCAAGAUGUUCGAUUCAAACUUGGUUAUGAAGUUGUUGACAAGGUAUUUUCUGGAUGCAUGUAUGUUUGGUUUUACAAUAUGAAGCAGUUCCAUUCCAUCUUUGUUCUCUAUGAUUCUGAUGUGUUGUUCCUAGUUCUAUUUUCAUAUUUUUCCUUUGAUGGUGCUCUCAUUUUAUCUCUAACUUUCUUUCCCUUGAUUGUACAAAGUUGAAAUGUAGUCGUUUGGUUUUUUGAUGUAUACAUUUUUCUCUCAGGUUCCCUAUAUGCAGAUUAGAGAAAAUAAUUGGACAGUCAAUGCUGACGCGAAUGGUCGGUGGAAUGUGAGAUACGACUUGUGAGAAUGGAGACUCGAAAAUUUUAUGGAGAUCAUAUGUGUAACUAGAUGUUUAUUUUAUUUACUUGGAUUCUGUUAUCCAGCUACUGAGCUGAGGCUAGUUAAUGGAAUUGUAUUGGUAUGAAUCUUGAAUCCUCAAUUCAUUCUUUCUUGUCUUUUCUUCGUUCUUUUCAUUUGCAAAUGUCUCUAUGGCCAUGGUUGCUGAUGAGGGGGAGGGUCCAAUGUGUCUCCCAGAUUUUGUGGUAGAUGCCUUAUAGUUAAGGUUUGUACGGUGGAAGUUGUCCCUAUGUUGGAAAUAGGUAAUUAAAAUAAUGCUGAAUUAUUAUCAUCCAUGGGUUUUCCUCGUCUGGUAACUUCAUAAAAUGUGUGGCUCAUGUUAUGAAAGGUGUUCUUGGAUAGAAGAGUACUAAUUUUGCCAAUCAAAAGGAGCAGAGCUGGGGUCAUGGAUAUUUGCCUGUGCAAACUGUUUGUUUGAGAGAAGUUGCACUCGACCAUGUCCAAUCAUAUUGAUUUUCACUUUUUGGCUUUAGAUUUCCAUUAUCUUUCCUCUUUUUAUUAGUUCUAUGAGUUGAAAUUUGAAUCUUGGGUUGGUGACUACACUGAAAUGGUUUGAUCCCAGUGUUUGGGGAACAAAGGCCAAAUACCAAGAUACGAGAGUUGUGUUGAAAUGGCAGUUUGUUUAUAGAUAUAGUGAUGAUAAAGCAUUAAAAUAAGAAUCUCUCUGCAUUUAGGUGUCAGGUUUAUCAAGAAAGCAAAUAUUUUCGUGACCAACUCAUAUGGCCCAUAUCACAUGGGAAGUUAGGCUGCGCUUUUCCCAUUGACACGGCACUUAUCCAAGUUUUUGGCCGCUUUGAUGCUGUGCAGCCAUGUGUUGUGUCAUAUUUCCACAUUGCUAACCAUGGAUUGCGGAGACCUUUGCCCAAAUCUAGAAUUUGGCGGGUAGACGCUCGACCAUUUGACUCCUUUCGGGUGCCAAUAGUCAAAAAAGGAAGACUUAACUUUCUUUUGUUUUUAGAUCCUUUGGCCAUUUACCAUUGGCCGUGGGUGGUGCAUGCAUUUCCUCUUUCGGCCAUGAUUGCUAGCUAUAUUGGCAUUCGGCCAUUAUAAAAAAUCUUAUUUUGCCCAUCAUUGUAUUGUAGAAUUUAAAGAAAAAGCUCCAAUGGUUUUCAGUAGUACAUGUCUGCUUUAUCAUAAGCAAUCCAAUCCAAUGUGUAGAACCACUACGUAUGCGGUAUUGCUCUAAAUGAAUCCGAAGCGACCCCAUGUUCCAUCUUCCAUGCCCAAAAUGAAAUUGUGCUUUGUUGGAUUAGAGUUUUCCUAUUGGGUCCCUUGUUAUGCUUUCUUUUGUGACUUGAACUCAAAAACACAAUCAAAUUGUAAUUAAAUAAUUUUUGCCUCAAUGAAUAAACAAAUUGGGAGAUAAAGAUUGCCUGAUCCCAGGUGUGAACUCUCUCUCUCACACGAGCGGCGUGACUUGGGGAAAAGUCUUUGCCGCCAGUGCACUGGGAGCGGGCAAGGGCAAGGCUGCUAAAAUUUGAAAAUGGCAUACGUGGAUUAACGAUAAACAAGCAGGGAUAUUCACGUAAACUCACCGUAUAGAAAAGGAACCAAAUUUAUAAAAUUUAAUCUUCAACAGAUUCCUUAUUAUAAAACUCCCCCAAAAUCAUUACAAAAUGCACUCACUCACUCACUGGUCACACAGUCAACACAUUUCAAAACAAAUUUGAAAAAAUUAAAAAAAACAAAUAUCUCUAUCGUUUCACUCUCAAUCACAUGACUCGCCUUUUAAGAUUUCUAAGCGGCGUGAACGCCACCGCCACUGUAUCACCUCCUCCUGCCGCCACCGUAGACUCCGACUACGUUGUAAUCCUCGCUGCUCUACUCUGUGCUUUAAUCUGCGUGCUCGGCCUCAUAGCCGUUGCACGCUGCGCCUGGCUCCGACGCCUUUCCGGCGGAGGAGCCCCCGCCACCAACCCCAGCGGCACCAGCACCCGCAAUUCUCCCGCCAACAAAGGCCUGAAAAAGAAAAUCCUCCGUACGCUCCCGAAACAAACGUUUACGUCCGAAUCCGUCGCCAAGUUCUCCGACUGCGCGAUUUGCUUGACGGAGUUUGUUAACGGAGACGAAAUCCGCGUGCUGCCGCAGUGCGGCCACGGAUUCCACGUGGCGUGCAUCGAUACGUGGCUCGGGUCCCAUUCGUCGUGCCCUUCAUGCCGCCAGAUUCUGGUCGUUGCCAGGUGCCAAAAGUGUGGAGGGUUUCCUGCCAGUUCGUCAUCGAGCUCCGGUGCCGGCGUCGAAGGUGGAGGUGCUGAAACUAGUGAAGCGAGAUCGGAGGAGAAACAAGAUGAUCCUAAUAGGUUUUUGCCCUAAAGCUAAUUCUAGGAUUUAUGAAUUAUGAUUAUUAACCUCAGUUCUUCAAAUUACAGUUCAAUUAUGUAAUUCAUUUUGAUUUUAUGAUUUCGUAUUUGUUUAGGUUUUAAUAAAUUAGGAUUAAAUGUAAUUUCCAUGUAUUUUAUUUGCUAUUUGUAAAUUCCGUAUUUCAAUCUUCUUAUGUAAUUAUAUACAUAUACAUAUAUAUAUAUAUAUAAUCAAAGUCACGUACUUGUUUAGGUUUGAUAAAUUAGGAUUAAAUGUAAUUUAUAUGUAUUUUAUUUCCUAUUUCUCAAUUCUGUGUUCUAAUAUUCAUAUAUAUUUUAAGUCUUAUGAAUUAAUAGUUUUUUCAAAUUUUAACAAAUUUAAGAUCUUAGAUGAGUGUGUGUGUCUGUAUAUAUAUAUAUACAUACAUAUGUAAAAUUAUUCUUAUGCGUAAACGUCCGACACACAUGCUUUUAAAUCGUUUGGCUUAAGAGGUUUUUUUUUAAUGAAUUAUAAAAUUAUGCGGUCAAAGGGAAUUAAAAAUCAACUCUAUUAAAUUUUAUGGUUUAAAAGUAUUUUUGUAUAAUAUAAAAAAAUAUGAUAAUAUCUAUAUUAAAAAAUGAUUAAUAAUAUGGUUAAAUAGAGGUAACAUGACUUAAUAAUUUUUUUACAGUUUUUUUUUUUUUUUUUUGCGCCUAUUUUUAAUCUUAACCUUCGGUUGAAUCCAAAAGCUGGCAUUCAACAACUUUAAAAAUUAAAUUACUAUUUAUUAUUUCAACUCCUCAAUUUAUCUUAUUGUCCGUUACUACCCACCCAUUCAUAAGAAGAAAGCAUAAUAAGUCAUGUUAUUAUUCUUAUAAUUUCUUCUUUCUUGAAAUCUGAUUUCCUUCCUCGAAAACUAAGAAGUAUAAUAUAUUCAUCAAGUUAGUGAUACACCACCUUAUCUGGUUAGCUCAAAGAUUAUAUUUUUUAUUAUUAUCUUGUGGUAAUUUUAUUUGUCAGUUCAGAUAUCUUAAAAAUGAAUGACGUACCCAUUAAAGUAAUUAAGGCGGCAUUCUUCAGUGGUGAAAUUGUUUGCACAGGAAUACAACCAUCUAUUGACAACUUCACGAAGUUGGAAGCUGGAGGAGACGCACAAAAUGUUUGGAUGUUUACUUAUAACCGUAAAAGCUAAGUGAGUAUUGAGUUUAAAGGACAUUAUGCAGAUAAUGAGCAUUUUCAAUCAGAGGAAGAGAAAGAAUCCGAAAUUUACUUAUACGAUGAAUAUAGUAACAGAUAAAAAAAUUACAAUCUCAAAUAUAUUGAAUUUUUUUUUUUUUUCAAUAUUUUAGUAACAUCUCAUUUUAACAAAGUGAGGAUAUCCUCAUUAGGAAAUAACUAUAGUGAAGACAUUCUCGUUUUAACAAAGCGAGAAUGCUUCUAAUAGAUAAAAAACACAAUCUCUUAGUAUUGAAAUUUGUAUUUUUUUUUAUAUAUUUUAUGGACAUCUUCACUUUAAUAGAAUAAGGAUGUCAUCAUUAAAGACCGACUCAUAUAUAUAAUGGGAUUCAAAAUUCCCAAAUUAUGAAAUGCCAAACCCCCAUGAACAUAAUUCUACAAGUAAUGACUUAGGUCAAUUCUUAACAAAUAAUAACCUAAAUACUUGAAAAGUAUUUUAAAGUAAAACGUCUAAAAGGUGGAUAUCGAUAAAAUGUCUAAGUCCAAGGGUAUGAUUCUAUUAAAAAAAUAACGCAUGUCCAUUCUUUGCAAGAAUAAUUUAUAUACUUAGAAAAUAUUUUAAAAUAAAAAAACCAAAAGACAAAUAUCGAGAAAACAUCGAUUCAAACUCAAAUAUUGUGAUUUCUAAUCUUCCUCUUAAUUUAUAAAGAUUUGCGGGUUUUUAUUUAGAGGUUGGGAAAAUAAUGCUUCUAAUAAUAGGGUGGGGUGGGGUGGGGUGGGGUGGGGGUGUGGAAUCCAAGUAAAGUAAGAAAACAUGCAAGGCAAUCCAUGUAAUGUGAUUUAGGGAAUCAAAUGGUGAGGUCUUAUCUGUUUUUUCUUUUCAUGUUCUUUCUUUUUGACUACUAAUAAGUUGUUUAAGUAUCGAUGUAAGUCAUUUCAAUUCUUUUGGAGAUAAUUCUGAAGGCUUCUUGAGCGUAGUAUAUGCAUCACCGACCGAGUGUCGGUGAUUUAUUAUCAACUCUUAAUUAGGCCUAGGGAUGGUAGUGAGGAGGGGAGGGGAGGGGAGGGGACCAAUCUCCCCGUACUCAUCUCCGAUAUUUUGCGUAUGUCCCCGUCCUUUCCCUAUCCCCGUCAAAAUUAUUUAAGAGAAUCUUCAUUCAUUCCCUGAAUAAUAACAAGGGAUCCCCGAGGGUCCCCGAUCCCCGAAUAACUAAUACAUUUUUUUUAUUUUCGAUUUUGAGUUAAUCAUAUUAAAAUAAAAAAAUUCAAAUAAAAGUAAAGUUCGAAAUAUAUCUUACAUUAAUAUCCAUUACAAAAGUCACAUACAUUAAAUUAGUAAGUAAUGCAGCAUGCAAGAGAUACAAACUAUCAUUAACAAAUUAAUAGUCUAAUACAAAAUUGUUACAAAUAAAAUCAAAUUUAGAUUCAAAAUUAACUUUUCAAUGGUGGCGUGGGCACUUUAUAAAUGUGGACUAUUCCCUUUACAGCAUAAUAGUUAAGUCCAAGCAAAUGAAGAGCAAAUAUUAUAUUAGAUUAUAUAUUAAAAUUGUGAUUUGCUGUGGGCAAUUAUAACAUUUUAAAAAAAAUAGAUUUAAGAUAAAUAAAAAAUAGAUUUAAGAUAAAUAAAAAAUAGAUUUAAGUUUAAAAUAUUUAAUGAAUAUUAAAAUAAAAAUAAAAUUUUUGGGCUAAUAGAAUAUGUCUGGUCUUUUUAAUGUCCUAAAUAAAAAUUUAGGACUUUAAUUAGUUAAUUAGGCCUAAAAUUUUAAUAAUAUAAAUAUUUUGAUAUUUUUUAUUUUUACCAAUACUUAUAAUUUUAUAAUUCAAAUUUUAUUAUUUAUUUACUAGUAAUUUUAAAAAAUAAAAAUUAAAAUGGGGAAAUGGGUAGGGGAUGGGGAUUCCACCUCAUCCCCAUCCCCUCCCCGAAUAAGAAAUUGGGUAAAAAAAUUUCUCCGUCCCUUCCCUGAAUAAGAAAUUAGGUAUGAAAUUAUCCACAUACCCUCCUCGAAUGGGGAAAAUCCCCGAGGGUACCCAUCCCCGUGGGGAUUUUUGCCAUCCCUAAUUAGGCCUUAUAAAGUAUUGAAGUGGUUUAAAAACUAAAAUUGUAAUUAUGAAAUAAAAACUAAUACCUUGUGAUAUAUAUAUAUAUAUAUAUAUAUAUAUAUAUAUAUAUAACUUUUAAAUAAUUAUUUUUGUCAAAAUAAUUAAGAUAUAAUAUGUUUUCCACAAGAUUAUAAAGACAAUGAGAGGCAAAAAAAAAAAAAAAAAAGAAGAAUGAAAAGAUCAAUGGCCAAGAGAGCAAGUGUUUACCUGCCCACCCACACAGGGAUGGCAAUGGGCACCACCCGCAGCGAGUUUGCCAUUACCAAACUCAAACCCGCACAAAAUUUAAAUUACCAAGCCCACCCGCAACCCGCAGCGGGUUUUAAUUUAAAAAAAAAAUCCACCCGCGGCGGGUUUUGACAAUUACCAAACCCGCAAUAGUACCCGGCGGAUUUUUUACGGGUUUCCGUAUUUAAAAUCACAAAUGUUUAAUAUAUAAAUUUAUAAUAAUAACCUCAAAUUCCAUAUAACAUACUCAAUUUUAUAUUUAAACAAUGUAAAUGAAAAAUUAAAAUUUCCACACCAAUCCAACACAAAUUCUCAAAUUUAAGUAUAAAUUACACAAAUUCAUUUAAAAAACACAAACUAGUAUCUAAAAAUAAUAAUUACAUUUCAUAUUAUCAUUUAAAACAAGCUUCAAGAGAAGAUAUUCAUUUCAUUCACCACCAUAAGCACCCAUCCAACACAAUGCCUAUAAUAAUAAUAAAGAUUAAUAUUUUCAAAUACUAAUUCGAAGGGAAAUGCCUUUAGUUUUCUUUAGGUUAUGACUUUAGAAUGGGAGAUGGACCACAUACACACAUACACAACUUUGAACCUUUGGCUAUUUGGUAAUUUGAAUAAUGACAUUAUUUUCUUUAUAUAUUUUUAGAUUAAAAUUAAAUUAAAAAUAUUACGAAUUUUGUGGAUAUCUAUGCGGGUAUCCAUCAGAUAUAAGGUUAAUAUCAAACCCACCCGCAUCUAUGUGCGGGUUUUAGUUUAUAAUAUUAAACCCGCCCGCAACGGGUAAAAUUACCCGCAGCAGGCGGGUUUGCGGGUACAAUUGCCAUCCCUACACCCACAGCAUCAAACAAAACUAUACUCAACUGAAAGAAAAAAAAAAAUCUAAUUCAUUUAAAAGUAAGUUUUAAACUUGUUGAAUAAGAUGGAAAUUAUUUUACUCAUUUUGCAACAAACAAUUGAGAUUGACAGAAUGCAAACGCAAAAAAUGGUGGUUAGUGCUGCUGCAAUAUAUAGAAACGGGGUUGGUUGAAGUCACAAACAGAAUUGUUACUACUUGUUCUUCUUAUUUUAAGCUAGCAGUGAUAGAAACAAGAGUUGGUAAUCCACUAACAAAUAUAAAACGAAUUUUUAAGAUAUCAUUAUAUAUAAAGUUACUUUAUGAUCACACAAAGCAAAAACUUUCCAUUCUAUCUAUCACCCUCUUUCUUUCUUGUCCUGACCUAACAAUUAACAACAAUAACAAGUAUACAUUGGUGUUCGUCCAAUUUAUGCUAAUGGCAUUAUUAUAAUUUUUAAUUUUUUUAAUCUUUUAAUAUUCCAUUUUCUUUGGAGCCGUCCAAUAUGAUAAGUUUUUUCAUGGUCCAGGUCCACAAUGAAAAAGUUGCGGAAUAACCAAGUAAUUAAAUUAAUUGGCCUUUAUUCCUUAUCGUUGUCUCUUCUAUCAACAUUGAGACUAUAAUAAAAUACAAUUAAUAAUUCUACGAAGCAAAAGCUUAAGUACAAUUAAUUUCUAGUAGUAGGACUACCUUAACCUAACAUUUGAAUAGUAAUUGCAGCUCUGUUAAUGGCCUCAAAUCAAUAAUUGAUUUCCCAAAUCGAUACUUGCAUUGACUUCAACUUUGCUUCAAGUCAAAGCUUUGUGCUAUGCUACUCGUCUUAUCCUUAGCCUUAUUGCUCCCUCACAUGUCUAAAUUGCGUGCCCCCACGUCAUGACCAAGUCUAUCUAAUUGACCAUAUUCUCUGUCAGCGUCUAACAGCUGGGUUUAUUAGUGUAUCAGGACCAGAAAAAUAAUAAUAAUAAUAAUAAUCAUCAUCAUCAUCAUCAUCAUCAUCAUCAUCAUCAUCAUCAUCAUCAUCAUCAUCAUCAUCAUUGUUAUUAAAGGUUAAAUUCUCAGGUGCAAGCAUUCGGUCGUCAUAUAAUGCAGAUUUAAAACAUUUUAUAACGAGAGUGGAAGAGAAUUAAGAGUUAGUCAAAAGUUUUGAAAAAGGGAAUAAAUUUAAAAAUGAUAUUCCAUCACAAAUCAGAAUCAGGAAUUGAACCCGACGAGAAUCGAACCCGCAACCUUCUGUUCUAGAGUCAGACGCUCUUCCAUUGCGCCACGGACCCGCAACUGUUCUACGGGAACUUAACUUUAUUUAACAAAACUAACGAAAAACCCCCCCGUUGAACUUGCGACCGAGCCUCGCUGCGAGCAGUUUAGAGCGAGCACUUGUGAGAUUUUCUUCCAUAUCCUCCUAAUGGCGUCAAUUUGGACUCUCCAAUUUCACUCUCUUUAUUUCCCGGUAAUCAUCCUAUACUCCUUUUUCUUUUUUCUUUUCCUGGGAAAUUAUACACACGUACAUAAAUGGUUUUAAUUAACUCUACAUUUCUUUGGGUUUCAAAUUUCAAAGCAUCGGGUGUCUUCGACUGUUGCAAAGCUUAGAACUGAAUUUACAUUGAGUCACGGCCGAUUGAGCUUGAACCGAUGGUCAACAAAUCGAAAGUUUCAACUUAAGGCAGUUAGAGAUUCAGCGAGUUCUAAUGAGGACCAGAAUCUGGAGUCUGGAAAAGUUGCUGUUGCUGCAGAUACGAAAACAAAAGACCCAUUUGCUAAAUUUCAAGAAACAUUAAUAGCUUUGCCUCCUGUUGCUUUUGUGGUAAUAUUUUUAUUUAUUUUACCUUUGCAGUAUUCAUGUGCCUGUAAUUGAAUUUUUUUUAUUGUUGAUUUAUUUGGAAAAUAUUACCGGUAUCUUUGUAACUGUUGUGCUUCUGCAAAUUUUCAAAUCACAUCAGCUAAAAUAUUUGGUUAAUGUUUUCCCACCACCUACUUACUUAUAUUUGAUAGCUAGUGAUUUAAUUCCAGGGUAAUUGUGGAUCAAAAGUCCCCGUGCAUCAAAUCAUGAACAUACUCUAAGUUGUGUUCAUUUAUUUUUUUAAGUGAAAUAAUUGAUCUUUAUGCUUGGAUUGAUGGCAUUGUAUCCUUUCUGUAUCAGAUGAAAAGGCAUACUAGGAGUAGUUUCGCGAUUGGAUUGUCCCUUGCAACUGCAUUUCUGGUUAUUGUUGUGAGGGCAUUUAUUGUUAGGAGGUCCAGAUACAACCGGCCUGGCUCUGUAGAGGAUCUUGUCAGACGUGGGCAGCUAAGAUCUGACAGAAGAGGCAUGUAUGAUUCCAAUCCUUCAUCCCUUUACUUUCUUUGUCCGUGAACGUUUUAGCAACUGGUGCUUUAUAACUGUAUUUCUCAUUUUCUGUUUAGUUUAUUGUGUGAAUUAUUACACUGCACCUUAAACUUCAUCUGCAUUGGUAGCUAAUCACAUUGAAGUUUCUUAGAUGUCAAGCAUUUAGUUACCAAGUCAGCACAUAAGUGUGGUUAUCUUUUGAAAUCGCCAAUUUACAGCUCAAGGCCUCUCAAGUACGAGGACCCCUUUAAUAAUCCAUUAGUGAAGGUUGGCAAGAGCAACUCAACUAUGGAGAUGUGUGGAAAGGUUUAUCGCUUAGCUCCAAUCACUCUUACCAAGGAGCAACAAACUAUCCACCAGAAAAGGAGGUCUCGAGCAUAUCAGUGGAAGAGGCCAACAAUCUUCCUUAAAGAAGGGGACUUGAUACCUCCUGAUGUUGACCCAGAUACAGUCAGAUGGAUUCCUGCAAAUCAUCCUUUUGCAACCACCAAUGACAUUGAUGAAGACUUGGCACAGAACAAUGUGUAUCAAAAGCACGGUGUCCCUUUUCGUAUUCGGGCUGAGCAUGAGGCACUGCAGAAAAAGCUUGAAGCACUACAAAAUGUAAGUUGUUUUAAAUAAUUGAAUGUUUAACAUUUAGUAUUAUGGUUAAAAAUGGAAUAUCAAUAUUAAGGCAACAAAGAGUGCUUGGCAGACCUAAUUCAGGGACCAGACUGGUAACUCCAUAAAUGACAAUUGAGUACUUGUUCACUGUCUCUUAAUUCCUUUGCCUUUAAAACUAUAUCACGUGUGAUACUGGGGGCCAUUUGACUUUGAUUUUCCUGUGCCAGUUCAACAAUUGCCGACAUUUUUGUAGACAUGGUUGUUUCUAUCUCUUGACCAUAGAAAGAGUGUUUUUUGUGCAGGAGCAUGUGAAUUGUUAAGUAUUCAAGCUUACUCAUCUUUUGCUCAGAUUGUGAUGCUGUGUGUAAUUUGGUUACUUGGAUCUCUGAAAAACUUCCUGCUCAUUCUCCUAGAUUUCUUGUUUAUUUGUUUGCAGGAGCAAAAGCUUAAUAAAUUAGUGAUUGAUUCUAGCAACGCUAAGGAUUUUGAGAGAGCAUUCAAGUUAAAUCCCAAGUCAGAAGAGCCUUUAGAUCAGAACCCCUUUGUUAAUCAAUCUGGAGAUUCGAGGCCACCUAGGCCAGAUCAAGCCCCAAAUGGAUACGAUAGCAAUUCAUCCUCGGAGGAAAUGCAGAAACCCUAAACAUUCAAUAUCAGUAUUAUGUUCAUGUUCCUCUGUAUCUAUUGUGAAGUGAAUUCCCAUUUUUCAAAUAUUACAUGAGAGUUGGCUGGAUCACCAUUUGAAAAUUUCCCUGCUGUUGGCUUUAGUUUUGCCUUUUCUAGAACCAGUUGUAAGUUGAAGGCUGUAAAUAUGAACUGCGGUGUUUUACAUAACCGGUAUCAUUUUUUUUUUUUAUGCACCCUGGAAUUUCAAUAGGCUUUCUGCAGUCGGAUUGCAGAUAUUAGUUUCUUUUGCACAGAUCAACGAUGGUGCAAUGACUUGAGUGAUCCUCAAUGAAACCAUUAUACAAUAUGGUCUUAAAGAAGCUUCAGUAGUCACUAAUAAGAUAUUUCAUAAAUCAAAUAAGUAGAGCAAAUGUAUUUGAAACAAUAUUAACAAUAUAAUACUAAAAAUGCAUUUCCGAGAGGAAAAAAAGAAAGAACCACCACCUCUUUUAAUUAGAAUAUCCUGAUUCCCAAUGCACUGUGCAAAAAUUCUCCAAAUGAAAGGAUGAGCUAAUUCUGCCGGCUAAGUUGAAAGCCAUUCUCAGUUUUCGACUAGUCAGCCUUGGUGGCUUGCCUUGCCCCAACAGCAAAGAACUCAGUAAUGACUUCAAGAGGCAUGCCUUUGGUUUCAGGUACUCUCAAGAAGACGAAAACCCAGGAGAUGAAACACACAACAGCAUAAACACUGAAGGCACCGGCUAGCCCUAUUGAACUAAGCAUUACAGGCAGUGUGUAGGUGACAAUGAUGUCACAAAUCCAGUAAGCCAUGGCACAGAUGGCAAUGCAGAUGCCACGGACUUUUGUUGGGAAGAUCUCUGCACAAAGGAUAUUUGGAAUUGGUCCAUAAGCCGCAACAAAGCAGCAGAAGUAGAUUAUAACACAAGCUGUUGAGAUCCCUGCUUUUAAGACUGGGCUAAUAAGUUGCAAAGUUUCACUAAUGACAAGAAUGAUGAGCGACACUAUCAGCACAGGGAUUGUGGUGAGCAGCAGCUUCCUGCAAAAUCGGGUUAAUUAAUUUGACAAGGCAAGUAUAAAAGUUAAAAUUACCCUUAAGAAAGAGGAAGAGAAAGUAUUUCACAAUGGAAUCAAACAGAGCUGAAGUAUAUUUUCAUCGGCUUGUGGAGUUACAAAUGACAAAAUUCAUACAGUUGCCGGUUUCAAUACUUAAGAUGACAAGUUGGCUGCAUAAGAAGCACUGAGCUUGAUGUUUCAUUCUGAUCAAAAUCAGAACACACAUUUUCAAUAGAUUAAGGACAAUUCUAUUCCUACUUCCCUAGUGAUUCUAAAACAUAACUUGCAGAUAAAAUGAUAAUUUUCAAGAUGGCAUUCAGAAAACACUUUUGAGAAUUUUAAUGUUCAGAUAAUGAGAAUUUAAUUAUGAAAUGUGCAAAAACAUUAUUUUCUAUAACAUCAAUCUAACAAGGAUAUAACCAGAAGGAAACAUUGACGAAAACAAGCAGUAUCCUACAGAGUCACCCCUCAGAAGAAAAGGCACGAGAGUGAAAAAUAGAUGUACAGAAAAACAAAUCACCUUCUGCCUGCUACAUCCAUAAGCUUCAUGGCUACACCUAUGCAGGGAAGCAUCAGAAAGGUUGUGAAAGCACUGAUAAGGAAUGAUGCAGAUUCCGAGCUAAUGCCCAAAUUAGAAAAAAGAACUUCAACACCUGCAUGUUCUAGGAUUUGAGGAGUGUAGUAAAGGACCCCAUUGAUGCCAGAAAACUGCACAUACAUUAAAAGAAUUAAUCAUCAUAUAAAAGGAUUAAAAGUGAGUUCGCAUAAGUUUCAUUGAUAUGAAGAACAAUCUUGUUAAUCUAGCUGUUGGUACUCCUCCUACAAGGUAGGACAGGCCAUCUGUUUUCCUUUUGAUCUUCUGGAAGCAAAAUGUUCAAAACAAGGAUGAAAGAGAAAGCCAACUAAAACCAUGUUCAUGUACUAAACUUUUCACAGGAUCACUGUUUUCGUUUUAAUUCAACAAGAGAAAAAGUAGAGCAACUAAUGAAUAAAACAAUUGCCUACCUGCUGUAGUAUCUGGAUUCCAACCCCAACCAACAAUGCACGCUUAACUCCAGCCUCCAAAAGAGUGGCCCAACUAGGCCCUUUCGAAGCAGUUUCAGAAGGAUGAACCAUUGCAGGUCCAACUGGAUGCUGAUCCAUAAGCUCCUUGGAGUAUAAAGCAGGCUGGCUUACCAAAGCGGCAGCCUGGAUAUACUCACCUUCUUCAGGCACAUCAUAACCAGGAACUGAAACAAGAGAUCCACGUCGGGAUCCUGGAACUCCCUCCUGAUGCAAGUAAAUCCUUUUAAAACCCCCUUCCUUCUUUCCAUCCUCACCUUCUCUCUCCGUCCAUUUCCAUGCCAAUUGCCAACCACCACCAAUGCCUGUACUACCAACUGCCUCUCCAGAUCCCUGCAUGAGACUGCUGUGACGUCUCAUGCUCAAAAUACUGCCAUGGGAAGGAGGGGCAGCCAUGUCCUUUUCCAUGCUUGUUGUCUGGCGAGAGAUUAAUGGACUAUGCAAAUUGUCAUCUGAGUCUGCCCCAGCAAUGUCUGAUGCAUGGUCCUCUCCUUCCCUCUGCAGGCUCUCUUCAUCCCAAUGAUCAUGUUUAACAUGAUGCUCCGCAGUACUAAACAUGCUUCCAAAGGUUGGAAAAAGCGUACUUCGCAUACUUCCCGAUUCUGGAAGCUUUUCAUGAACGCUGCCAAAUAGAGUCACAAGAGGGUCCAUAAGUGGGACACUUUGGUUUGCCAGGCUACCCUGGCGAGAGACAAGUGCCAGAGAACUCUGUCCUGUGACAGGUUUGGCAACCCAUGAGAGGCCUUCUUCAGGUCCAUAUAAUCUGAUUUUGUCUUUCUCGUCAGUAGGUUCCUCACCAUCAGCAAGUUCAUCACCUGGGCCUAUUAUAUAUUCUUCUAUAGAUGUUUCACCCCCGAUUCCAAGACCUUCAACCAGCAAGGCCAUCUCACCUAUGGAUUAAAGAAAAUUUAGCAAGACAAAUAUGAUCAAAUUCUCGCAAAUCAAGAAUUAAAUGGAAAAAGAUAGGAGGGAAGCCACAAUAAUUGAGGUCAAUUAGAAUGGUUGUGACAAAAUAUCUGUGGACUUUUUCCUUUCUCAAUUCAGUACCUUGUCAUUCGGUGAAUGUAUAAAAUCAACUGAGAAGCGAUAUGAGAAUUUCAACUGCUUUAAGUUGUAUGCUGUGUGGUACAUGAUUAUCACUGAUUUGAUGCAUUUACAUGAAUCUGAUCAAACAAUGAAGAUCCAGAAGCUUAAAUAUUUUUCUUUUUUUAAAAAUAAAAUCUUAGUGCCAAAAUUCUGCACUCAUAAAUGUAUCUGAAGUCGAUACAGAGCUCUUUGGAAAUGAUAAAUCUGAUUUUUAAAGACGUCCUUUCAGAACUCUGGAUCAAGAUGGUGACUCUCAUUAAACUAGCAAUAGCAAAAGACUGCAAUGAAAAACUUCAGUUGAAGUAGAAUAAUAAGCUUUGAGCCACAUAUUAAAAAUAUUAAUUGAACCAACCAAAUCGUCAAUAUUUAAGAACGGAGUAAACUAGGGUAGUCCAUAUUCCAUGCUUCUAUUAAUAAACAUAAUGUGCUUAGUCUAGCAGAUAGUAAAUCUUACUGAAAAAUUCAGUUAACUGUGCAGUGUACAUGAUGUUUUCAUCAGAAAUUGAUUUAAGAAGAUCAUGCACACCACCAAACACUGGAGGCAAGGCUCAAGCUCAAUGGAUCAAUUCAAUCAGCAAGGAGACAAUUUUCUGGGCUCCAUCAGAAGUACAUAAUCAUAUCUUGGGAAAGGAAAGAAAAAAACACCAUGAACAAAAGCAAACCUGAAACGUCUUCCCUGCCACGUAAUCUCUGGAGGACCUGCUUUGCCUCAAGCAUCUUUCCUUUACUCACAAGCCACCGAGGAGAUUCAGGCAAGAAAAAUACUGCAAAUGCAAAAUAAAGAAGGGCAGGAAUUGAAAGAACCCCAAGCAUUAACCUCCAACUAGGUGAAGCUAACAAUGACAUCCCAAAAACCAUACAAUAUGCCAGAAACAUGCCACCCGAACCAGUGAAUUGUGGAAGAGUAUUUAACUGUCCCCUUAUUUCUGAUGGAGCGGUCUCAGAUAUAUAGAGUGGGACAAGAGUAACUGCCAGACCAACUCCAAAUCCAUCUAAGAGUCUCGCAAUGCACAGGACAUAAACAUUGGGAGACCAUAACAUUACUAAACCACUAACAAAGUAGAGGACUGAUGAGAGUAUGAGCAUUGGGCGCCGACCAAGCCAAUCUGAUAUGGGUCCUGAGCAUGUUGUAAUAGCUGUGGCUCCAAUGAGUGACAUGGCCACAACAAGACCUUCUACGGUAGUACCCAAGUUGAGGUCCUUCUUGAUGUAGACAAUUGCCCCUGAAACCAAAGAAACAAGAUUAUCGAAGUGCAUUUUGAGCAAUAAUUUGACCUGACAAAAUAGCAUAUAUCACCAACUGAUCUAAAAGAUUCCAAUCCCAAUGGACACAAACCACAGAGUCGUCGAUUGAGCAAAGAAGUAGCCAAUCACAUUGAAGAACUAACAAACAGCUGACAAACUAAAUCUGUAAAUAAAAACAAAUAAAUAAAUAAGGAAAAGCUCUAAAGCGUUAACUACCAGCGAUUGUUGCAUUAUCCCAUCCUUGCAAGAAGUUACCAAUAGUAGCAGCAAUAGCUACAAGUGCAGCUCCGUUCAUCUUUCCGCCAAUGAUUGAAAUCACUCGUCAAUACUCAAAAAAGUAACCUGUAGGAAAAGAAGAUCCCACAUCUAUCAUCAUCAACAUAGAUCCAGUUCACCCAAACAACAAUAAUUGGACUACAUAUAUCGACCAACCAUAACCGUGAAAGCAAUAGCCACAGUGUCAAAUCUUUACAGAUUUGACUGAAUUAUUAAUACUAGCAUAUUUACAUCCACAUAUCAACAGUAUCAAUAAUCAACCUUUAGAAAAUUCCGAUCUCUUAGAUUUCUCACCUCUUGAUACCUCAACAGCCAAAAGGGUCAAAGCCAAAGGACCCUUGCUUGAUGAAAAGGUAGCGAAUUUAAAGCAUACACAACUUAGAAAAGCUAACUUUCCAGAGAAAAAGCUUAAGGAAAAGAGAAACAACUAAUCUAUGAGUAGUAAUACAUAACAGAAGGAACUGCAAACAAAAGAACUGGCUCUUUGGGAUGAAAAAAAGAUAGAAUCUUUAUGGACAGACAAGAAGAUUCUCUACUGAGAUAAAAUUUAAAAAAAGAAAAGAAAAUAAGUUUAUGUAAAUUUGCCGAAAGAAGUGCGCUAACGAACUGAAACGAAAAGCAAUUUUUAAAUAGUUUUUUCAACAAGCCAUCAAACGCUUGCCACUUAAACUUCACUCUGCGACUCUGAAUUUAAAAAAAAAAAAAAUUACUUCACUCCAUAAACUGAGUUCACUGACUCAAGAACAAGUGUAGAGUUUUGGUCCAGGCCCAGAACCGGACACCUUCUUAGAUUCAAAUUGAAGUGCAAUAGUUCCAAUUUUUUACUUCAAAAACACACAGUUAAAAUGAAAUUAAAAAGAGGGUCUGGAACGUACUUCUAAUGACUAAUGAUUAAUCAAUGGACAGCAAACAAAUCAGAAGGAUACUAAUAGAUACACACACACAUACGUAUGUGUAUGUAUGUAUGGGUAAAUUUCACUGCACUCCUACUAGAGAAACUAUCUUCACUCAAUAAAUAAAUACAUAUAUAUAUAUAUAUAUAUCCGUGUGUAUUUUUUAUUUUUUCGGGUUUUAAUUUAUCUGUUAAAUUAUAUAUAUACAUAGGGGUGUAUAAAUUAAAAUGAUAAAACUAUGGUGCAACAAUUGUACCGUAGUUUUGUCUUUUUUUUUUAAUUAAUUACAUAUCAAUGUCUAUAUUUUAUAAAAAAGUUAAAUAAACACUAGAAGUUAUAAAUUUUUAUAUAUGAGUCCUCUUCUGGGAUAAAAUGAAUUUAAAAAAAAAUUAACUGUUACUAUUAUUAAUAUUUAUUAAUGUUAUUAUUAUUAUAUUAAUAUUAUUGUUAUUAUUAUUAAAAUUUAUUAUUUUAAUUAUUGUCAUGUGUUAUUAUUACUACCAUAAAUGUCAUCAUUAUUGAUACUAUUAAUAAUAUUAUUAUUAUCAUUAAAAUUUAUUAUUUUAAUUAUUAUGUAUUAUUAUUGCUGUCAUUAAUUAUUAUUAUUAUUAUGAAAUUAAUUAAUUUUAUUAUUUUAUGUUUACAAUUACUUUAAUUAAGUCAUUAUUAUUAUUUAUUAUUUUUAUUACUAUUAUUAAAAUUUAUUAUUUUAAUAAUUAUUAAUUAUUGUUAUUAUUAUUUUAUUAAUAGUAAUAUUAUUAAAAUUAUUAAAUUUAGUAUUUUAAUUAUUGUCAUGUGUUAUUAUUACUACCAUAAAUGUCAUCAUUAGUAAUAUUAUUAAUAAUAAUAUUAUUAUUAUUAUUAUCAUUAAAAUUUAUUAUUUUAUUAUUUUAAUUAUUAUGUAUUAUUAUUGUUAUUUAUUAUUAUUAUUAUUAUUAUUAUGAAAUUAAUUAAUUUUAUUAUUUUAAUUGUUACAAUUACUUUAAUUAAGUCAUUAUUAUUUAUUAUUUUUAUUACUAUUAUUAAAAUAUAUUAAAUAUAUUAUUUUAAUUAUUAUUAAUUAUUUUUAUUUUUAUCUUUAUUAAUAGUAAUAUUAUGAAAAUUUAUUAAAUUUAUUAUUCUAAUUAUUAUAUUAUUAUUAAUGUUGUCAACAUCAUCAACAUUAUUAAACUUUAUAGAUUUUUUUGUUUUAAGUAAUACUAUUGUCAUUAUUAUUAUUUUGCCUUAAGUAAAUAUUUAAAAACUUUUAAUUUUUAUGAUUUUGUAGUAAACAAUAGGGAAUUAAGUGUUAAUAACCAAUUGAACACAUCUCAGCCGUUGAACACUUUAGUCAUUAGAUCUAUUGGCUAAAUCAGAAAAUGACAAAGUUUGGGUAUCGUGCAACGGUUGCACAGUAGGCGGACCCAAAUUAAAAUAAUUGAAGAUGAUGAGCUUCGGCUGCUUUCCUGUACUUGCUCCGUUGUCGUUUGGACAUCUAUCUUUUGAAAUCGACAGGAUGUCUUUUCUUUGCUUAUUUUUGCCCCCUUUUUUUUUUUUUUCAUUUCUCUCAAUUCUUUGUUAAUUUUGUUUGUCAAGCUGUGACAACGUAAUCUAGUUACAUAAUACAAUAUGGCUUUGUUUAGUAUUAGAUGUUGUAAUUUUAAAGUUAGUCUUAGUUGUUAGGAAAAAAGAUUCGUAACUGUGAUUGAAAAGUUAAUUGUGUUUGAUAAAUAUAACAUUGUUAUGAAAUAAUUAUAAUUAUAUAAAUAUUUAUUAAAGUAAUAUUUUAUCUCUAUUAAACAAUUCUUCAUCUUUUAUAACUCUUUCUACUUUAUAAGAACUUAAUAUUAUUUUUUUAAAAAAGAAAUUAUUUUAAUUAUAUUAAUUUAGAACAAAAGGUAAUUUGAUUUUUAAAUAUGAUAAAUAAUAAGUAAUUUUCUUUUAUUAUUUUCAUUUUUUUCUCUUUUCUAAUUUAUUGACAAAGAGGAGACAUGUUCAAAAUAAUAUAUAAAAAUAUACUAAAGAAAAAUAAAAUUAUGAUUAAAAUAAAAUUAUUUUUUAAUAAAAUAAAAUAGAUUUAGGUGGCUGAAGUUGUUUUCUACCCUUGCAUGUGUACGUGACUGGCAUAGAACGUAAUGCCACAAACGUGAACUUUGAAAAUCCGAGAUGGUAUAUAAAAAUUUUAAAAUACAAUAAACAUAAUAACAAGUGAAAAAGAUGGCUUGGUUUGUAUCUGUACUAUAACAUAUCAUCUUUAUAUCACGUUCGUUCAAAGUACAGCAUUAGAACAGCUAAUUAAGGUUUAAAUACCGUAAGUUCAAUAACCUGAUACAAAUAUUUAACUAAAAAUCCUCAAUUUAAGCAACAUGAGUUCAUUAAUCAAUCUACUCCAUGUAUAACUUCAAAAUGUCAACAGAGCAAAAGAAUAUCUGAUAUAUCGUUGCAUCCCAUGACGAAACAUUUGAAAGGCAUUUUUAUUUUAUUUUUUAGUUGAUUAGGCAUGGUAAAGAGCAAAGAACACGUAUAGUAAAUCAUGUUUUAUAGCAAACAUGUUAGUCGCUUUGUACAUCUGAUCUUGUUCUAAGCUAUCAAUUUUGAUAAUUUCUUCAUACAACUUAGCUUAUAAAUCAACUACUUCCUUCUCAGCAACGAAAAGCACGCUAAUCAAACUCCCUAUUUUAGUUACCAUGGCUGCAACUAACUUAGCCAUUGCCCCAAUAUUUUUGCUUUAACCAUUUCACUCGAGAUUUAAUGUGGUGAGAAUGCUUUGCAACAAGAACCUUGACAAUUUGGCUUCCAUAUUUUGUUCCACUUGUUGGAAGUGCCUAUUUUAGAACCUGCAAUCUAAUUGUCACAUAAAAUUUUGGCUUAAGUCCAACAAUGAUUCAACUAAUACAGCAUCUUGGGCUGUCAUCCAAAAAUACUUAUUUUCCCCGGACCUCUUUGAGCUGGAUCAUAACUCGUUUUGUAACAAUAAUGUAUACAAAAUUAUUAGAAUCCAAAUAGAUACAAUGUCAAAUAAAAAUUAAUUGCGUAAUACAUAAGCAAUCAUAUCAUAGGGAAACAUAUACAAUGUCAAAUGAAAAUUAAUUACAUAAUUCAAGCAAACAGAUGCAAUGUGAAAUGACAAAGGAUUGCAUAAGUCAUAAGCAAACAAAUAUCAAUGUUAAACAACAACCCAGUAUAAAAAGGCAGUACAUCUCAACCAACCAACCAACCAACACAAACUCUUCAUUAUUCUCUAUUUACAUGCCAUGUGUUCUACAUCUCUUGGACCAAAUUUUAUCUUCAUAUAGACGUCUAUUCAUCUUAGGGCUCAGCUAAAUCAAUAAACUUUGAUUCGUUUGACAUUCUAGAGUCAGCUCAUUAUCCAUUUCCAUCUCCAUAUCAUCAUAAGGCAUUUCUUUUCUACUAAAGUUAAGUAGCAUACAACAAAUAGAUUUAAUAUGUCGUUGUGUUUUUAUAUAUAUAUAAUGAAGGACUUCCUCAUCAGCCUAUCUCUUCUUCAAUAACCCAAAACGUCGUUCAAUUACAUUACAAGCACCUAAGUGCUUCAUAUUAAGUAACUUUUCUAGAAUAGUAGGUUGGUAUCCUUCACUAAAGUGACUCAAACGAGGUUACUCGAAUAUCAUUCAAAUGGUAACAUUGUUCUAUACAUAGAGAAAGGAAGAAAACCCUUCAUACUGCUGUAGCCACCAUCAACCAAGUAAUAAUAGCUUAUUAACAAAAUAGGAUAUCAUUAAUCAAUCUAAUUGCCAAAUGAUGUAAUCUUAGAAGCUAAAGAUAAUUUUGGUUAGAUAUAUUACCAUUAGAACUUGAAAACCAUUUCUUCUAUUUAAAGCAUCUUUUAGCAUGCGAAUAUAUUGAGUUGAACCUUUCCAUCCUAGUAAAAAAUAGAUAGAUUGCAUUUGUUGCAAUUUCAUUUUUCCCAGUUUUAUAUUUUCUAUCAACCUUGGAAAUGUGAACCUUUAUGUGCGUCUUCUAACGCACCAAAGCAAUUCUACAUAAUAAGAUAUAAAAAAAAAAUUAUAAGUCAAUAUACAAAAAUGCAUAAGAGAAAAUAUGAUUUGAAAACAAUAUUAUAGAUACCUUAAGCUACUUCCAUUUUGGGUUUGUUGGAUUCUCCAUCACGCGCUCAGGUGUUUUCCAAAACUCCUUUUAGCAUUUAAUUAUUAUUUUUAAACACUCAUGGAAAUGUUUACUAACUGUUGUUUGAAUCUUGUGAAAUUGAAACCAACCAUCCAAUUCUUCAUAUAAUGUGCCUAAAUAUAAAAACAUUGCGGACAUCUCCUCAUAAGAUACAUUUCGAGUGCCAACCAAAUGCCUUUCUCACAAAGAAGGUUACAUAAAAUUUUGAAUGUUUGUCUAUCCGUUCUUAAUUUUGACAAAUAUUUGAUAUCACUUUGAAAAAGCAAAUCAUACACAAAAUAGCUCAUUUGUUUGUAUACUCUAGAGAUUGAUUUUGUACUAUCGAAGUCUCCAUUCAUAAGUCAAGCAAAGAUGAAAACACAUGGCAGUGCACACGGUCACAAUCAUUUGCAAUACCCUAAUCAAGUUCUGUAUAAUUACCAUGACUCUUCUUUCUUGCUAACAAAUAAGUAAUUUCUAUAUCUCAACACAACAAAAUUAAGCCAAUCGAUAUUAAUUAUUUAAAAUUAAUGAACAGAAGCACAAUAUCAGAUAUGAGCAGCAAUGAUUAUUUGGGCACCAUGUAAACAAGAAAUGCAAUUUUAAUAGUACUUUAAUGUAAUGUAAAUAUGCCAAAAUUUAAUCAGUCAUAUUCAUCUUACUUUUUUUUCUUUUUUGUAUUCUGCUGCUGAUAACAAAUAUCUCAAAGACCUCCACAAACAACUCAAAAACCUCAACUGCACAGAAAACCGGCAAUUAACUGUCAAUACUCAAUAGAAUGCUAGACAUUGCUAGUAAUUCGGGAAAUAAAUAUGAAACAGGAAAAAAAAAAAAAAACAGGAAAUUUUGCUCCCAUAAAACUAAGAAUGAAAAAAGAAAAAGAAAAGAGAGAGAUUACUUAGCAACUAUGUAUUUGCUGCUAUUUCCUAUACAAAUAGAUAUUCUUCGUCUAGAUUUGGCUUCUUUUAUUUAAUUAAUUGUCACAUUCAUUAUGGUGUUUUCCAGAAGAUUUUGCUUUUGCAUUUACAGUAACAAAAUAGGAGUACAAGAUCAAGAAUCAAGAGUUAGCAAGUAAUACUCAAACAAGGAAGCUGCGAACGGCGACGGCAGCGGCGAGGAACAUUCACGAUGACAAGGGGCCUGUGGCUUAGCAGAAAUUAGCGAAUCUGAUCGUCAUGUUUUUUUUUUUUUUUUAAAUAUUGAUAUUGGGGCAAGCCUGCGAUUUGUGAGUUUUAUGAAGUGUAUAAUUGUCAGGAGUGCCUAAUUGCCAGCUCUGAGAAUGACAAUUUCAGUCCCAACCGCCCAUCGAAUGGAGAGAUUCCUUUUACUAACUAUAAUUUUAAUUUUGAUGCCACGAGGGCAGCGGUUCUAGCCCCCACAAAAGUAUUGUGGGGGUUAAAUGUUCUUUAUAUUUUUAAAAAAAUUAUUUUUUUUUACGAAAUGCAAGUGGAGUAUGGACAUCCCUCUCAUGUGAGGGAUUAUUUAUCUGGGCAUGUACUUCAUAGAAUUUAUUGUAAUAAUGUAAGUCCCAAUUAUAUAUAUCUGAUUGUAAAUAUCAGUGUAAUAUCUCUGCUACAAUAAGCAGUUGUUGUAAAUAUCUGUGUAAUACAGUAAUCUGAUGAUUAAUCAGUAUUAAAAAAAAAUUAUAAUUUUGAUGGGUCCCAUACACUCUAUUCCAUUCGUGAAUUAAAAAUUCUGAAGUAAGCACAUGCCUCAUUCUUAUUCUCUACUCAUUCAAGUACACAUACCCUGAUUAUAAUAUUGCUUAAUUCUAAGGAAAGAAAAAAAAUUGCAACCCUAUUUAAAAACGCAAACAAAAUUUAUAUAUAUAUAUAUAUAUAUAUAUAUAUAUAUAUAUAUAUAUAUAUAUAUUUUUUUUUUUUUUAAUCCAAAAUUUUUAAGUACGAAAAAAUUUAGAAAAGUUUUAAAAUCUUAUGAUUUUAUAGUGUUAAUUUUAUAAUUUUUUAAAAUUAUGUAAUUUUAAAUUUUUUUCUGAAUUUUUUCAUUUUUUAAAAUCUCUAGUUAGAAUAAUUAAUGUGUAUAAAUAUAUAUAUAAGUCAAAAUUUUACAGAAAGAUGAGGUCGGUAGCUGCGUGCGACAUGAAUAUGGUGGCAUCCAAAUGCCACAUGGGGUAGGUAUAUUUGAACUUGUCACUUUGUAUACGUGAUUCUUACGCCAGUUAGGAUUGCAUUUACAUGUCAUAUUACGUAAUGUUUAUUUCAAGAUCACAAGCUGUUUCGUACGCUUUGGAUCUCAAAUUGGUAUUUUUAUUAUUAUUAUUAUUUAUGCUUAUACAUGCAGCCAAAAUUGCUAGAGAUGCAGCACGUGACAUGGGCCAAAAUAGAAGUUGAUUUUGUUUUCUUUCUUGUCUUCUCAGAGUCAGAGAUUCGAAAGGUUUACUGUAAAAAAAAAAAAAUAAUCGCAUGUCAUAUUCUUUAGUAUCACAGUAAUUUAAUUCUAUAAAGCUUACAUAGAGAACACACACACAUAUAUAUAGUAAGGACUAAGGACCAUGUUAAAACAUAAAAAAAAAAACAUAAAUUUUGAUACACUAAAAAUAAAAAUAUAUUGUAUUAGAGUAUGCAUGUUUCUUGUCUUUUUAUUUAAUUUAAUUUAAAUAAAAUAAAAGAUUCUUCAUUGAAGUCCUAAUAUUAUUUUUUUUAUGUCAAAAAAUGUCCUAAUAUAUAUAUAUAUAUAUAUAUUCAAUUUAUAAAUUACCAAUAACAUUAUAAAAUAUAAAUGAUUUAUUGGCUGACGUUACUCAAACCUUGUCGCAUGAUGCAGUCAUUUUAAUCUACCGCUUCAACUCUAUUAUGAAGUUAUGUAGACAUCUCUCAUCAAAAUAGUUGUAUAAUAAAAUAAAAACUUUCCAUAUGGUCCUAUUAAAUCUUAUUCUCGAUCCAAGAUAUAUUUCGUUUUUUAUAUAGAAUAAAUAUUUAUAUUAAGCUUCACCUUAAAUUGGGCUAAUGUCCUUAGAAAGUAGAAACUCUACCAUUAUUAACUAGAAUAUCAAGAGCCUUAAAAGAGUCGCAUGGAUGUCAUAAAUGGCUCAAAUUCACUCACGAGUCCUAUCCAGCUAAAAUCGAUUUCUUUGUGUUUUUUUUUAUUAUUUUUUUUCAAAAGAAGCCCAUUCCUAAAUUUGUGCCAUUCAAAUAUUCUAUUUCUAGUCCGAGUAAAUUUGAGGAAAAUUUAAAUUUAAAUAGAAUUUGAGGAAAAUUUUUAAAUAGAAGUGAACAAUUUCUUCGAAACGAUGGUUGAUAGUUUUCCACGUGCAAUUUUUAGAAAAGAAAGUCCUGGGCUUUGUGGGCCAUGUGGCAUUAAGUAACGGGCUAUUCUCCAUAACCCGGUACGAGGAAUGCAUAUCUACGACGUCGUCUGUUCGCAAACCAACAGGCGACGUUGUACCUUAUUAGGUACCAUAUCGUUAAUAGCACAAAUGCUCCGUGAACAAGCACAAACAAUUACCCGCGCAAAAUCAAAUGAAACUUGUAAACGACCAACGGCAUCCAAAUCUCGAAUGAUCAUCAACUUAUCAGGGAUCCCUUUGAAAUCAAAACCCAAGAUCUUCUACGAUCCCUGGAUUCAACAAUCAUAUGUGCAACUUCCCCAGAAAUAUUACAAGGCAAUGAAAGCUUGUGGAUCGCUAAAAUCGCUUCCUAUUGAUCGAAAAAUCCAUGCCCAGCUCAUUUCCACUGGUUUAAUCUCUUCGAUUUUCCUCCAAUUGAUAGAUGAUGAUUGUCGCGUGUUUUGUGAUAUUGGGCCUCGUUAUUUGUUCACUUGCAAUACGAUGAUUAACGGGGGGUUCGGUGUCAGGGAUCGGGUUGAUGGUAGCAGAGAAAUUGUUCGAUGAAAUGCCGAAGAGAGACUCGGUUUCUUGGAACUCAAUGACGUUGGCUUAUUUUUGUAAUGGGAUGGCCUAUGAUAUCUGAAGGUUAUUACUUUGAUGAUUCAAGAAGCUAAUUGAGUGCCAAAUUUGUAUUUGUUCUCUUGUGUGAUUAAGGCUUGUGUGUGUCGGGAAUAUCAAAAUGGCUCUUCAUUUGCACGGUCUUGUGAAGAAAUUUUUUUUUGGAAGUGAUGAAUCGAUUGAGAAAUCUAGUAUCGAUAUGCAUGUUAAGUGUGGUGCAGUUGAUUAUGCAGAGAGCGCGUUUUUGAGGAUGCCGAAUCCGAGUUUAUUUUGUUGGAAUAGUAUGAUUUCUGACUAUUCUAAGUUAUAUUCUGUGGAUAAGGCUAUUAAUUAUGUUUCAGAAAAUGCCUGAACGUGACUUAGUGUCAUGGAACACAAUGAUUUCUAUUUUGACUCGGCAUGGCUUUGGGUUUGAAACUCUCUGUGCGUUUGUUGAGCUGUGGAAUCACGGUUUCGGACUGAGUUCCAUGCUGUAUGCUACUGGUUUUAGUGCAUGCGCGAGCGUAUAUGAUCUUGAAUGGGGCCCCCAUUUGCAUUCUCGGGUCGUGCAUAUGGAACCAAGUCUAGAUGUUUUCGUGGGCAGUGGCCUGAUUGAUAUCUACGGAAAAUGUGGAUGUGUAGAAUAUGCAAGGCGGUGUCUGCAGCUUAAGUGAAUAUAAUGCAGUUUUGUGGACUUCUUUGAUUAGCGGAGUUGCUCAGUUUGGGCUUGAAUGAGAAGCUUUGAUGUGAUUUAACCAAAUGAGAGAGAUUCCUGUUGUGUUGGAUGAGUUUACACCCUUGCCACAGGUUUUGGGGCUUUGUUCAGAUCCAAAGUACCUUUGAACUGGGGAAUAGCUUCAUGCAUAUACAAAAAGAAUGGCAUAGAGUCCUCUAUUCAGAUAGGAAAUGCUCUUGUUACAAUGUAUGCAGAAGGAGGUAGUACUCAGAAAGCAGAUCUUGCAUUUGAAUUGAUGUCAAGAAGGAAUAUGAUAUCUUGGAUGGUACUGAUCUCUGCAUUCUCUCAAGCUGGUGAUCAUGAAAAGCCCAGAUAUAUAUUUUUUUUUGUUGAUAAAAUGCAUUAGUGAAGUAUUAUACCUUGGAAUUCUAUGAUAAUCACGCAUAAUCAACAUGGAUUUGUAGAAGAUGGUAUCAAACUGUUUGUUGUAAUGCUACAAGAAGGGAUUAAGCCAGGUUGGGUCAUCUUUGCUACUUCAAUCAAUGCCUUUUUCUGAGUGGCAAUAGUAAUGCUGGGGAUCCAAAUUGUAGCUCUAGCUGAAAAGUUAGGAUUUGGUUCUGACGUUUCAGUUGUCAGUAGUGUUAUCUCUAUGCAUUCAAGAUGUCGACUAGUUGAGGCAUGAAAAACAUUUGAUUCUAUAUCUAUGAAAUCUGAUUUCUUGGAAUUCAAUGACAGCAUGAUACGCUCAGAAUGGUGACUCGAAGAAAGCUUCUGAGAUUUUUUUAUUAUAUGUCGAAGAUGAAAUGGAGGCCUGAUCAUGUAAGUUUGUGUCUCUCCUAUCAGGUUGUAGCCAUUCAGGGCUAGUCACCAAAGGCAAACAUUAUUUUACUGCAAUGGCUAAAUUCACCUACACAUGCUAUUUUGUGUGCAUGGUGGAUCUGCUUGGGCUGUCUGGGUUGCUUGAGGAGGCUAAGAAAUUGAUUGAUGAAAUGCCUUCUAAGCCAACAUGUGUUAUAUGGGGAGCUUUGCUUGGUGCUUGUUGCAGCCGAUAUAACACAAAAUUAGCAGAACUUGUGAUGGAGGAAUUUGCUCCAGUUGGAUGUCAAAGUCUUUGGUAGUUAAUAGUCUUUUAGCAAAUCUCUAUUCAGACACUGGAGAACUAGAUGGUGUUGCAAGUUUAAGGAAACUAAGGAAUUAGAAACUAGAAAGAAUCAUGGUUGCAGCUGGAUAGAAGUUGAUGACAGGGUAAAUGUCUUUACUAUGGACGAUGUGAAUCAUCAUCGAAAUGCGGAAAUCUAUGGUCUUCAGAAGAUUAGCGAAAAGAUAGAAAAUAUAGGAAACUGUGGUGAGGCAGUUUAGUUCCAUUAGUUCCCAGAUCUGGCCAUGUCGUCUGGAUUGAUUAGCAUCUCUGCUUGGAUGCCCAUCCAUGUUUUAAGGAUAUUACCGAGUUUGGCGAGAUUGCCACUUGCUACAUAUGCUGGUUUCCAUUAUUACAUAUUCUUAUUCCAAUUAUUCCCUAAUACAAGUAACGAAACAAUUCAGACAAAACCACAAACGCUAAUCCACCCACUAGUGAAUAAUAUUUUAUACCAUUUAAAUAAAAUAAGCAAUAGAAACAAACCAAAAAAAAAAUAAAAUUUUUAAAUAAAAUUGACAACGUGAAUUGUUUGUAUUUCUACUAAAUUAUUAUCAAAUCAAAAGCUCUCUCUCUUUACAGGCGCAACAAAAUACAGUCUUUAAUGUUUGUACUCUCUGCUGACUUUUUUUUCCCCCUUGUGUUUGUUUCUUGCAAGGAAGGAGGGUCGUAACGAAUUGCAAGUAUGAAAUCCCUCUAGACUUGUGAAACAAACCACCGAGGCAUUUGCUUGCUCAUUUUGAAAACUUCACAUCUGGAUUUCUUAUUGGUUUAAGCCACAUAUCAGCCAUUACUCGCGAGGAAAUGCUCCACAACAAAUCUUGGCCCUUUAUGAAUACAUGUUUCCCCUUUUUCCCUGCCUUUCCUAGUCCGUACGCCAACAACCAUUGCGUAGCAGUCAGCCUCUGCUUCUCACCAUCCCACAAACUCCUUUUUCCUCCUGAUCGCACCUUGAAACCUCCAAGAUGCGAACUCGUCACCUUGAAUCUCUUCUCCUCGUCAUACUUGUUGUCCUUAUUGAUUUCAGCACGCACUUCAUCUGCAUGAAUAAGUGCAACUACAGAGCCUCCAACUGCUUCAUAUCUCCUGAUUGGAUCCCGCAGCUGGAUGACCACUGCAAGUGUGAUCGUCUCUUGAUCCCUAGGCUGCCCAUUCCAAGUAGUCAAGCUGUAACUCUUGGUCCAAUCCUCAAGUGGAAUGGCAGAAGCAAGAGGGUGGUUCUGAUAUUUGCCACUGCCUGUAAUUAUCUUUUCACUGAGUGGAGAAACAUCAAAGGGAGCAUCUUCCUCAGCCAUUUCUGCCUGAACUUUUAAGGCCUCAACUGUCAUCGUCUCAAUCUUCUGCAAUGAGAAAGCCAAAAUCUCUUCUGCUGUCAUUGGAUUCUCAUUCACAUUCCAAAUUCCUGUUGAAAUUCUCUCUUUCCGGCCGGUACUCGUGGCAGUUGCCAUGGUUUUUACGGCAGCAAUGGUCCGUGCAGCACUUGAGCUAGCACCUUCUUUGUUUCUCCCUUGGAUGAUUGCAGAAGCAAUGCCUUCAAAAGCUAUUUGUUCUGCAGUUUUACCCAUCAGUUCAUCCAUGGGCAUCAAAGAUAAAAUCUGUGAGCUGAGUUCCUCAAAUCCAACAGCUGCCAUUUGCUGGAAUACUUCAAACCCGCUCGUGGAUUUAUUUGAUGGAAGGACCAACGGCUUUGAUAUUUGCAUCGCUAGUUUUGGAGUGUCUUUCCUUGCAACUUCAAUGUCGAGAGGAUUCAUGGCCACUAAGUAGCCACCAUCCCUUGUCUGAACCACAGAACCUAAGCCCUUUCCAAGAUCUGGGAGGUACACUUUGGUUUUGGUAUCAUUUGUAUCCUCGGUUCCAUCCAGCUGCAGAGGAGGAAUUUCAGGUUGAUAAAAUUUGAAUUCUUUAGUCCCUUCAUCCUCAAGCAUCUGCAGAAAUUCCCUCGUCACAGUUUCCUCGUCUGCGUCUAAUCUUUGUGAUUCAGUUUCUUCUUCUGUUUUGAUGAUUCUUUCUUCUUCCAUCAUAGAUUCAAGAGCUGUUAUUUGCUGAGCUAUUGAAUCAAGCUCUGUUAAUCUUGAGAGAUGUAGUGGAUCGUGCAUCAUCUCCUUAACUACCUCACUUGAUGCUGACUCUCCUUCAGAUGCUCCUUGCGCAGCCUCUACUUUGUUCUGAAUCUCAACUCCUUUAUCCACAACUUCGAAGUCUGGGAGAUCAAGAUCCUGAUCCUCCACAACUUCCUUCUUUGGUUCUGGUUCUUCAGAUUUCUUAACCGAGGUAGAGGAUGACGGAACUGGGUCAGGCUCAUCAAGGUUCAAGUCGUCAAUUCCUUGAAGAUCAACGGAAGCUCCAGUCUGUGAGGGAGUCCAAGCUUCAGCUCGGCUUGCCAGUCUUGGACUAGGCACACUGAAUGAAGUUUUUGAUUGCUUUCGGCCAAAAGAUGAAGAGAAAUUUCUGGACUUGUUCGACUUUGCUCCCUCGGUCUGACUAUAAAUAUCAAUCCCUCCAUCUUUUUCCAUAAUUUGAAACCCCAGUUUGAGAACAAGUUCUCCUCCUUUUGCCUUUCCUGAUAGAUUGAAGCUUAUAUCCCACUGUCGAACACGAGCACCCUGAAUGCUUUUAUCCAUGGAUUCCUGAAUUAGUUGGCUCAAAUCCACGGAAUGUCUCCCGAAAUUAAGCUCUUGAGCAUCGAUUGCAAACACAUAAAUCGAAAACGGACGGGGCUCAAACCUUAGCGGCUUUCCAUUGCCAGGGGUAAAAUAUACAUGACACUUAACAAACAGGGUUUCUUCAAAAUCGGCAGCUCCCUGUGAAACCCUAGAGGGCAUUGUAUGAACCGCUCCAUCCUUAGUUUCUUUCUUCCUCACACAAACAGAAAGGCGAAGCCCAUUCAUAGAGGCAGGCAGGCCUUGGACGGUUACAACUUCAACAGAGAACAAACAGCUCAAUUUCUGCAUUCCAAUAUGUGUAAGGGCUCGAAUAGGCUUCCAGUUCCAAAGCCCUUUCUUUUCAGCCGAGCCUAUUCUUUCGUCCAACCUCUUGGCCUCCGGCUGCUUCGACACCUUGCCUCUAUCCCUCUGUUCAUUUUCAAAUCCAAUGUCACCAUCAAGCUUAGGCCUAGAACGCCAAGGGGACAAGGACAUACGUCUUGACCGGGGCCUACUGCUGGAAGUUCCCUCAACUUUAGAGGCGCUGAUCUCAUUCUCAUCCGCAGAUGUGAUUUGGGGAACUGAACUUCGGGGAAGAGCAAGAGAGGCGGUUCUUCUGUUGGUUGUAGGGUGAGUUUGGUAGAGGGAUUGGCUAAGUGCUUCUAGUUCUUCCAGCAGCUGAGCAUUGGAAUUCCUCCUAUUAGAAUCUGUUGCCAUUAAUAUUGAAUAACAAGAAAAACAACAAGAAGUGGUGAAGAUGAAGAUGUUGAUUGAGGCUAAUUUUUACUUUCGGCUUCGGGAAGAUGGAAUGGUGAAGAUAUGGAGUUGAAAUGUUUUUUGAGGUGGGAAGUUUGCCAUAGAAUAGAUGAUGAACACUUGAGGCAACUGUGGUGGUCCUUGCAGAACCAAGUAACUUGUUGAAAAUAAUGUGUGAAGGAUAGUGGAAGAACGUUAUUACACCAACUCAUUGGUUUCAGGAUUGAAGUGACAAAAUGGUCCCCAGAUUAUUUAAUUUUUUUAUUUUCCAGAAAGUUGUGUGGUUCUACUACUACUACUACUACUGUUAGUUAUGAAUUAUUAGUUAAACUUCAUUUUCCCUUCCCGCGAAGCUGCCGUGACUUUUCUCCCCGCCCGCGCUUUGGUUGUUUUGUUAGUUAUUAGUUACUGUGAUUUGUUGAGGCUGUCAGGCUGUGAUGUCAAAUAUAAUAAUGGAGGGACAUGGGUCUAUCCUGCCAUUGCCCAUCAAACUUCUCGUUGCAUUUGCCUUACCAAAAUGUUUUUCCCAAUUUGUUCAUUGUAUUUUGAUUUUAAAAACCAACUUUAAGAAUUCUAACUUGAGUGACUGAUCAGACAGACAAUUGAAAAAAAAAAAUAUAACAAAAAUUUCUAGGGAUAAGAGGCCGAUCUUCUUCAAGAGCUCACAUCAAUUAGAGGGUUUGACAUGUUGAUGUCUGCUUUUGCAGCUUGGGCUAUAAUAUGUUCCAAGGGUUGGACUGUUCGCCAAUUAAAGCGGUAAAGAUCUUAAUAAAUGAUCGAGAUUUCUCAUGUUCUAAACUUUUAACUAUGAUUAAAUGUAUGUAAACAUCCCAUUAAAGCGGUAAAAAUCUUAAUAAAUGAUCGAGAUUUCUCAUGUUAUAAACUUUUAACUAUGAUUAAGUGUAUGUUUUUUUAAAUAAAAAAAAUAGUAAGGGGUGGACAAAGUCCAAAUAAUUUUUUUUUCCUUUUACUAUCUUCAAGAAUCAAAUUCAGGUGGUCAGUAGUUACAAGCUUCGUGUUAUUACCAACCCUACCACACUCUUAAGGGCGAUUAAGUGUAUAUUUGGUAUGAGUUAUCUAAUGACUAUAAAUAUUUAUUUAAUCUCAUAUACUUUUUUAAAAAAAUUUCUAUUGUCGUUUGAUUUUGUUUUUUAGUAGAAAUUUUGAAGAUAAAGUAAGCUAUUUUGGUUCUACUAGUAAAAACUUAAAUUUUAGACUUUUGGGAGACGAGGUUAAUUUUUUUUUUAAAUGUUAAAUUAUCUAAGAGAUCCUUAACUUAUUUAACAAUCUUAUUCAUUCAUUUCAUAACACAAAUUCAAACAACGUGUAAGUAAUUUUAUAAUUUUAAAUAAAAACUGUCAUUAAUAACUAAACAAUUAAAAAAAUUAGUAAAACUUUACUUGUAAGAUCUCUACAAACAAAAUCUCUAAUUAAAUAAAUUUUAUUCGAAAAACUACACGAAAUAAAGACUAAUUUAAAACGAAUUGGGCUUCGAGCAUGAAAUUGAAACCAAGCAACACGAUGGCUUGGCUGAUGAAUUGGGCCGGGCUGUCAUUAGUUGGACCAAACGGCGUAGAUCCAUACAAUAUUUUGCUUUUUUUUUUUAAAAAAAAAAAUGUGGUCAUAAUAUACGCAUAUUUCCACGUCCACAGCCACAUCCCCACAAAAAAGUAAAAAAUUUGGGGCCGUGAACAGCCUUGAAUAAGUCAAAGGGUUUGGCUAACACGGGUUUCUCCUGACUUGACUGACUAAAAUUUUACAAAAUCUUGGACAUAAUUUAAUGGUUGCAUGCAUAAAUAGUGCUUCAUAAAAGAAAAUUAAAGCAAAACACACAGGAUCGCAUCAUUUACAAUAUUGUAUUUUAUAUAAUAUUUUGUAGAAUAGAUUUGAGAGUAGUUGAGCUGACGGAGAUGUCAGAAUUGAGCGAGCAAAUGAUAAGAGAAACAGAAGCCAAAAAGGCAAUAUUUGAAGGGCUGCCAAUGGAGACUAGUUCCUCCUUAAACUACAAUGAUUUCGAGGACUGCAAAAGGAAAGGCUAUGGCACUGAGGCACACUUUCCAGUCGCCAAUCCUCACCAAGGCGGAGGCGGCACUGACCUUUCUCCCUCUCUUUCUCAUUCUCAUCAGGCAGAAGCCACCGCCUCCGUUGAUGCUGCCAACCGCCAACACCAAGGCAUUCCAUCUAAUUAGUUCUAUAUUUUUUGGUACAUGUAACGAGCUAACGACCGGUUGUAUAUUCAAAGCGCUUAAUAUAAAAUAGGAGGAAAUUAAAAAAAAAAAGUGAAAAUAAAAUGGCUAGAUAAAAAGUUUCUAUUCUAUUAAGAAAGAUUAUAAUCAAUGAGUUAUUAUUUAAUUUAUAGAUACUACUUAUGUGAACAAGUCAUGACUAUUUUGAUUAACAAUUUUAGUGAGAAUCAUUUCUAUUGCAUGCAUAUAUCCAUGCUAAUGUGGUGUGUUAUAUCGAUUAAGAGGCUGUAAAUAUAUUAUGUUAAUGCCAAUAUAGUACUAUAUAUAGUGUGUGUGUGUGUGUGUGUUUUGAAUAUUAUAUUUUUAUGGUGGGAUUCGGGCUGAAUUUAAAUCUAUAUAUAUAUAUAUAUUUAUAUAUUUAAAUCAAUGUGAUUUAUCUAUCGAGCAUCGACUAACGGACCAUUCAUCACAAACCAAUUAACACAGGCUUAUAUAUUUUGGGAUUGCACGCACACCAAUAUUUAUUAAAGCAGGCCCAAGGUCCGAAGGUAAUGGGCCUCAAAAAAUAGGGAGGCCCAAAACAAGCAGGCCAUUAAAAAAAAAAAAAUUGACGGAGUUGGAUUUGGAAAGGAGAAGGAAAAUCGAAACAGAGAGAAAAUGGCGAUAAUGAGAGGCGAGCCACUGGUGGCGAAGCUGGCUGCUUUGGCUAAGUACGUGGUUUUACCGGGAUCUAUGGCUGCUGCUUUAAUCUAUUCGCCUCCCCAAUAUGGAUCCUCCACCAAGUCCCAGAAAUCGCCUAAAUAGGUUCUUUUAUUUAUUUAUUUAUUUAUUUCACCUUUUAUAGAGCUAGGGUUUUGCAUAUUCUGAUUCUUAGCUUUCGGAUUUACUUGAAUUGCUUGAUUUGGAAAAUUGGGGUAUGUUCGAUUUAUUAUCUAUGCACUGGAGUAAAAAUCAUAACAAGUUGAAAAUCUUAGUUUCAGCUCCGAAAGGGUUUUGUAUUUGAUGGUCGUGUAUAUUAUAUUUCAAAUUCCGACCAGUUGAUGGUAACUAAUUCAUUUGGUUGCCGGUUUAGUCCAUGUCAGAGGGUUAUUGGUUUCUUAUCAUUUGGUUAUUCUCGGUUCCAGGUUUUAAUGGUUGUGUAAUCCAAUGGUUUACUAAAUAGAUUGGUUUAGUUAUGAAAUUGGUUUUCUUUAAAUUCCUUUUCCCCGGAGCUUUUACUUACAUUAAGUAGACACCUGAUUUCUCUCCUAAGAUUCACGGUUAUCAACUAGGUUUUUAACUCUGUAAGCAUUCCGAGUCUGUAAUAACAAUACUUGUUAGUAUCUAAUGUUGUGAUUUAGGGUCAACAUAAUGCUUUUUACAGGAAAAGGCUGUUGUUUGGUUGCUUGUGGGCACUCGGAAAUGAUGAUUUACACCUUUCUUACUUACCCUCCUAUGCAAGAAUUGUGAAUUCAAAUUAAUCCGACUAACUCCUAGUAUACUUGAUGCAGGGGCAUUUGGAACGCUUCGCUCUGUAAUUGCAGAUGGUGGGCAAUGUUAUAAUAUCAGCUGCCAAAAAUAAUUGCUGGAUAUGUUUUGCAGGCAUUUGUACUUCAGUGUUUGUUGCAUUCUGAUGAAGAACUUGUGUUGUGAAUCUUCUUUAUGAAUAGACUUUGUUGGAAAUAAACUGUUACUCAAUUGGUUCAAGAAGGUCCUGUUACUCAAUUGUGAAUCUUCUUUAUUAAUUAAAUUGAUCGCACAUCAGUGCUUCAAAUUGGAAACAUGAAUGGCAUUUUUACUUGCUUGUGGAAUGUCUGUUGUUGAUAGCAUGAGCGUGGCAUAUAUCAUAUGAUUGUGGGGCAGAUCAUACAUAAACUUGAGAGCCCUUGUACAUAAAGUUACACAGUCUUUUUUAGGGCAGAUAGAUGUUAGCAUACGUGAUCCUUUCAUUUGGCGUCUUGACUUUAUAGAGUUAGACGGCCGAGAUUAUGUGAAGCCAUUUCAAGAGCAUUGGUGUUAGCGAAUUGAAGGCUACGUCCUGAAGUAGGAGGGCCGGCCUUUGGUGGAUUGAAUGAAGAUCAGAAUUGAGGCAGGAGGACGAUAAUUUAGAGAGUGAUGAUUGAUUGUUAGCAUCGUGGGCUUUCUUCUCCUGUGUUUCCCUAGAAGGCCCACGAAGGGAAAAAAAAGACUUCUUCAUCAGGAGUAACAAUUGUUUGAAAUUUGAAACGAUCAAAUGCAAACUUACAGAAGUGUAGCGAGAAACGUGUAUUGAUGUCUCGGUUUCGCUGCGAGAUUCUCUCACACAAGUCAAGUUCAAGUAUAGGAUUUUACUAUGUUACAUUUAAUGUAACAUACAUAAUUUACAAGAACCACAUAAUUAUGUAGGUUCCACAAUUUGUGUGGUUCUUAUGGGUUGUGUAUGUUACAUUAAAUGUAACAUAGGGACUCCCACAAGUAUAUGGCCCGACAAUGAAGGGAAACAUCUUUUAAUUGUUAGCGAAUUGACACUAGAUUGGAUAUAACUAUGAACCAGCAAUACCGAAUCUAUGCAUAGCUAUGAGCAAUGGCAUGAUGAUUACAGAAUUUGAAACACGUUGGUGUCGAACAUGAUGAUGCUGAUGGUAUUUUCAUCCAUCAUCAUGAAUCAUGAUGAUUAAAUGAACUGAACGUGGGUUUCUUUUCGGAUGCCCAAAUCCAAAUCCAAAAUCCUUGUCUCCCCUAAACAACAGAGCCAAUGUAUCAGAAUUCAGAGUGCAAAGCCAUAGAGUGUGGCCAGACCCCUACAAACCCUGUAGGCUAUAGCCUCUGCACAUUGCAUGCAAAACAGGAAAAAGGGCCCCAAUCCCAUCAUCAAUCAUAAAUAAAAGUGACGUCAAAAUUCAUAAAACAAACAAACAAACAAACAAACAAACAAACAAACAAACACACACCUCAAAUCUAAUUCCCAUCGUUGCUGUCACAUCGAUCAAACGCAUUAGAAAACUUCGUUUUUCAUUUUUCGCGAGAAUAACGCAUUUGAAAAUUAAAAUUGCAUAAAAUGGCAAAUAUUACAUAGAGGGAUACGAGUAUGGAUGGAUGGGCUCUACUUAUAUAAUACAACGAGGGACACCUAAGAUUCGAUCUACAUAUAUAGAUGGUAUACAGGCAAAUAUAUUAUAUAUGAUUAUUAUAGUAAUCUAAUGAAAAAGUAGAUAAGUGCAUAGAAGGAAGAUCUCUUAAGCACCCAAUGGCCAAGAUUUUUCGACGACUUGAAAGCCGGUUCUGUUGAAAGCAAUUGAAGUGGACAUGUCAUUGACAGCAGUAGCGGCAAAGGCAGAGGGUUGUGUGAGUCCAGGAAAGCUACAAUCGAACUCAGAAAACAAGGGAUUUGAAUAUGGGUUUGGUUGAAUUUUGCUGUCCAUCCAGUAGCAAUUGCUCCAGUUAUCAUUACUAUUGUCAUCAGCAGCAGUAGCAGGAGGCAGCUGGAUAUGGGAAAAGUUUGCUUCUGUCUUGCAGUGUUUGGGACUAGCGGCUAAUUCAUUGCAGCAGCUGAAAUCUUGGUGUGAGAGGAGUGCCUUGAAAAGCAUGGAUGGUGAUGUGUUGUUGCCAAUGUUUUCAGUGAUGUUGUUCAUCAAAAUGUGUUUGUUUGUUACUGCGGAGGUCUCAAACAAGGCAUUUACUGGGAAUAGGUGAUGAUGAUGGUUGUCUUGUUGCUGAUUCACGAAAUGGUUCGGAAGAUUUUCCAAGAUUGGGUUGUGGUUUUGAGACUGACAUUCCAACAGUAAUGUUGUCGUUGCUGGCCCUGGGGCAUCAAGCAAAGCAGGCAAGCAAGCACCAGCUGUUGCAGCUGCCUCAAACAAAUAGUUUUGUCCUUGGAGAAGCAAUCCAUUUUUCUUCUCCCCACUCACUACUGCUUUGUUAAAUAUCCUGCAAAUCACCCAUUCCUCCUGCAGUCCCCACGCAUUUCACACGCGUAAGUUGUAACGCUACAACAAGUAAUUAAAUAUACAAAUACCAUACAUGAUAAGUCAACCCAGAAAGUGACAAAAGAUAGCUAGCCAAAAGCUACUAAGCUAGCUGGCUAGCUUGAUUGGCACGGCACACGUCUGACGUGUUGGGAAGAGUUGAGAGUUUAGGACUUAUGUAAGAGGGUCCUAAUGAAUAGUAAGUAAGUACCUUACACGUGUGGCGGUAUGAGAAGUCACCGUCGAGGCGGUAUUCAUGCAUGACCCAUUUGGUCUUUUCGCCACGAGGAGCUCUGCCUUUGUAAAAAACAAGGGUUUUUUUCAUGCCAAGUAAGGCUCCACUUGAGCCACUGCACACUUCUCUAUCUUUGCCAGUAGCUUUCCAGUAACCAGCUCCUGUUGCUCUGUUUGUUCUUAAUCCGGUAGGAUACUUUCUGUCUCUUAAGCUGAAGAAGUACCACUCUUUCUCCCCCAUUUUUGCUACAUCUACACAAAUUAAAACGUGCAAAUGUUAUUAACACAUUAAUUCAUUAUUAAUUAACUAGCUUUGUCAGGAUUAACAGGUUAUAGAAAGGGGUAUGUGUGUGUUUCACCCGGACAUAUAUAACGGACGACUUGUGAGUGAGAGAGAAACAUUAAGUAUUUACCAGGAAGCUCCCAAGGUUCACAUCUGUUGAGGUCAACUUCAGCGAUUUCAACACCACAGAAGGUGCCAUUAAAGACCUUUGAGGCUAAAUAAAAUGUGAUGAGCUCUUCAUCAGUUGGGUGAAAUCUAAACCCUGGUGGCAACCCUUGCUCAUUCACUUCAUCUCCAUUCAAUUCACUCAAAACGUCUUCCAUAGCCAACAUGAUGGUUUUGAUGAUUGAUUGAUGAUAUGUAUUCUAAAAGAAAAAGUAGGUUUUUGGGGGGGGGGGGGGGUUGAGAGAGAGAGGGAGAGAUUUGUUAUAUAUUUAGGAUGUAACAAAACUUAGAAGAAGAGGGUUUGUAAUAUAUAUAGGGAGAAGCGCUGAAACCAAAGGAGAAGAACAGCUAGCAGUAGCUAUUUUAAUGAAUUAUGAACGGGAGGCUUUGAGAGAGAGAGAGAUUUUGGGUUCAAAAUAUGCUAUGUGGAGAGCGGUGAGGGACCUAGAAUAAGCCCACCUGACAGCUGAAAGGCUUCUUCCCAAAACAGGCAAAAGAAAAUUAUAAAAACGAGAGAGAGAGAGAGAGAGAGAGAGAGCUAAUUAUAAAUGCAAACAAGUUGGUUGUAGAGAUUUAUGCGUGCGUGUGUGAGCAUGUUUUUAGAGACUAGAGACUGGAGAGAUGAGUCAGGUUUUUUUCAGAUGGAUAACACGAGAGGGCUAUUGUAGCCCUUUGCCAGCAGCUCUGAUUCUCUCAACAGUGAGAUCAUCAUCCCACCUAAUUCUUCUUUUUUCUGUGUAUCAAAUUUUUUAAUGGUGAAUGCAGGAUUUAAUUGUACAACAAGAUUUCCACAUCCCCACAACUCAUCUCCCUUUUUUGUUUUUCUUUCUUGCAAAAUACCCCCCGUUUUAUAUAUCACAAUUAUUUAAUCGAGCUGGAUGUAUUUUCGGUGUUAUAACUCUGAUUUAUUGUUAAUUUGCACAUCAUCCAUUGAUUAAUUGAGGUACCUGCUUUUUUUUUUCUUUUUUUUCUCUCUCUCUCUCUCUCUCUCUCUCUCUCUCUCUAUGUGAUCAAUAGUGAGAUCGAAAUGGUUUGUUGGAUUGUCUUUUGUACUGAUGCAUGUGUAAAUCGGUAGCUAUUGGCAGACAUGAAUAUUCUUGCUUGUUUAAACACAAAUUACCAUAUAUCUUCGCUAGCGUCAUAAUUCUCUUUCAUCUGAGUUUUUAUCUAAACAAAUGCAUGCAUAUUAUUGAAUUUUUUAAAAACAAGAUUAGAUAAAAAUAUGGAUAAAAAUUUAAAGUUGUGCUGAUAUUUUGCUGAUCACUUAUUUAAGUAAAAGAAACAAAAAAAAAAUUAAAAUUUAAAAUAAUUUUGACCAUUAAUUAAAUACGUAAUAUUAAUUCAAUAUUUAAUAAAAACUCAUCUCAACCCUAAAUUUUAAUAAUGUUAUGAGUAUAUUCUAAUUUAUUAAGGUUUUUUUUUUUACCCCUCACCUUCUAAAUUUACAAUUUCAGGAACUGUUUCGUAGUAUAUAUCAUGUCUUUGGCAAAAGUCAUCUGUCAACCACUCAAGCCUUAGCUUUUACUACGGACUUUAUUCAGUGAAGGCAUUAAUUACAUAACAGAGGCAAAUUUGCAAAAAGGAGCCAUUCUAGUUUCGAAAUCUCGGAGUCAGCUUUCUUGCUCGUGUCUGCCUUCGUUUUCCGGGAAAAUAAAUAAAUAAAUAAAUAAUUUAUUUGACGGAUUAUGUUGGUGAUUUCGAAAAUAAUAAUAACAAUAAUAAGAAAAAUAUUAACUGAACUAAAUCUUAACAAAAAAUGUGCCAAAAACACAUUUAAAAUACCGUCGUUUUAGGUGUGUUUAUAAAGAAAAUUCCUCAUCGAAUUAGUCAGAUGACAUACAAGAGCAUAAUCGUAACAACUAACAAAUUAAGUUCUUUUGUUAAAUUGGUCGGUAUUCCAUCAUUAAACCUAGUACACUAACUCACACACGAGCUAUAUAACUAAUUGAGUACGUAUGUAUGUGUAUGUGUGUGUGUGUGUGUAUAUAUAUAUAUAUAUACAACUAUAGCUAGUGAGGAAAUAAAAUUAAUCCUUUUUCAUAUACAUAGGCUUUUUUGGUAUGAAAUGAAACAAUUUAGAUAAGCUCAUUGCUACGACCUAGAAUCUGAUUAAUUUAGCAUAGGUUUCAUGAAUAACCAACAAUUGAUCUGAUAGAUUGAUAAGUAGCGUAUACUUGGUCCAUCAAUUGAUAUUGGUGAUUUCUUGGUCAUGAUCUGUUAUAGCUAAAGUUUUAUAAAAGAGCAUUUUCAUGGAGUAGAAACCUCCAAGGGAAUGUACGGUUUUCAUAAGGCUGGUCUUAGUAUUGGAUUGAGUGGAUUUGAUGGACAAAAAAUUUACCAAGCGAUAUUUUGAAUUCAAAGUUUUAAAUAAAAGGAAGCUCACAAUUAAUAAAUACUUAUAAACUCUCAUGUGAUAGUUAUAAUCUUCAUUUUACCAAAAACUAACUAUGACUUUGAAGCUACAAAAUCCAUUACACUAGAUGGAGCUUCAAUGGAUAUAUAAUUUGCAAAUGCAUGCAAAUUUUUGACUUGGACAAAACUCAAAUGAUAAAAGCUUAUUAUUAACUUAGGACGACGAGCGUGUUUCGAAAUUUUCUUGAGCAGAUACAGACAAAGAUAGAGAAUUGGGUCCCCGUCGUUAAAUAAUUUGGGGUUGCAAUAAAUGGGGCAGCAGCAGCUUUCAAAUGUCGGCGUUGCACGUGUUGGUAUUGAUCAGCUAGUUAAUAAAAGGGUCUCCCUCAUCACUGCACUGCUGCCAAUAUUUACUAUGAAAAUAAUUUUAACUAAGCGUCUUGGAUCUUUAGAAACUCUUUCAAGUAAAAGAUAACACGACAGCCCUAAGUCUAUGAUCUAUCUAAUGCACGUACUGCGUAUGUAUGUAUGUAUGUAUGUAUGUAUUAUUACUAUUAUUAUUUACUCGCUCUCAGCUAUUAGGCUAUUGCCAUUGGGGUUGCAUAAGCCUACUACUGGUUGCUUGGAUUGUUAAUUAGCCCUAGCCCUUCCCCUGACCCAGCCCCUUAUAGCCCUGCAGUUUCUUUCUUUAUAUUUCCUUUUAAUUUAUAUGUUUUUCUAAAGAGAUUCUCUAAUUCUGAUCACACGUGAUGUGGAGUCCCUGAUCUUGUUCUUUUUUAAAAGAAAAUCUCUGAUAACAUUAAAUUCAUCCAACUGUAAUAAAACUGUUAUUGGGGUUGAUUGAAUCAAUGGCCGCUUGAAAGCCAGUAGCUUUCAUUCUGAUUUUCUGACAAAAAUGAACAACUCAUAAUCAUACGCAAUAGAUUACCUUCUCUCGUUAUCCCAAAAACAAACUCACCAAUCAUCGCCCUCCAUUCUUAAUUUCUAAUUGCAUGCACGUCAUCAGCCAAUUAGUAAAAUAAUUUUUUUCCUUUUUUCUUUUUUAUUUUGCAUAUAUAUAUGCAUGCAGGCUCCCGCAAGCAAAUUUAUAUAUAUAUAUAUAUAUUUGAAUUUCAAAUGCAAAGGUAUCUACUUUACAAAAUACCUACCGAGUAAAUCCAAUGCCAUUUUGCAGCAAUAUUACGUCUCCUUUUUGUUUGAAAGAAAGGUGUUAUAUAUACAUAUACGGGCUUAACAAAUUCCAUUCACUACUACAUAUAUAUUCUCAAUAUAAUUAUGCAAUACCUAAUAAAUGGUAAAUUGCAGCUGUGAAUUUCAGUUAAUCCAAGAACAGAACGUGGUAAUAUAAUUAAGGCAUCCUAAUGUAAAUAAUAUCGUCUACGAAUUUAUUACUUACUAUCAUAUUAUAAGUGACAAGUUUAAAGGGUUUAUUGUAAUUGAACAGGAAAUGGGAAACUUAUAUAUGUAUUCUUCCCCCAAAAAAAAAGGCAAAUAGGGUAAUGUGAAUGAACAGAUGAACGGUGAAAAAGUAGAAGAAAGUGAGAAAAUUAGGUGCAUGGGAGUGGGAGGGAUCACAUCAGACUGAGACUCAGAACAAUAAUAAAUAGAGAAGUCAGGGAAAGGACCUGCCACCACCGCCCCCCACUGCCCUAUGAGACUGAGACUGAGACUGAGAGACAUCGCCAACAAGCAAACUCGUCAGUUACCCGUUUUAUUAUUAUUAUUAUUUUUAUUCUGUUUCAUCAAUUCACAUUUUAUUUCUUUCCAUUCAUUUAUUAAAAUAGACGAAUUCAAGAAGAUUAUUCAGCGCAUUAUUAUUAUUAUUAUUAUUAUUAUUAUUAUUAUUAUUAUUAUUAAAUGAAAUCCAUUAUUAUUCGAUGAAAUUUCAAUCGCAGACCUAUGCUUUUACUGUUUCUUCUUCUGUUGUUGACUAAAGCCCCCACUUUUGUUCUGAAUCCGUAAAUUGACAUUUAAUAUUUGGAAUUUGUCACAGCUCAACAUACUUACUACUCAUAUGAUAGUCCAGAGGGCCCCCAGGGUUGGACCUAUUUGAUGAAUAUAGAACAAUAAAUUCUUUUAGUGACAAUUACUACCUAUAAUUUAAGAAUAUUUAUUUUAUAUCAUCAGGAAUGAGUAUCAGAAUAAUAAGUACUAACCACGUACUCUAGAUCCGCACAAUAAUAAUAUAGUUCGAACUAAAAAUAUGUACAUGGCGAGACUGAAAUCUAUUAUUACAUUUUACAACGGGAGAAAAUAUCACUGAUAAGUAACAUCCAUGUACUAUAUAUGCAUUAAUAUCAAACUCAAGUGGCUAAUUGUGAGAAAUGAUUAUUUAAAUUUCUGUAUUUGUCUUAGGUUAAAGUUGAUGAUAUUAAUACAUAUCAUUCGAACAAACACAUGCAAAAGUUUAAAAAUUAAUUGACCUCGAGGAGGCACAGAAUUAAAUUAAUUCUGAUAUGCAAGGACAGAAAAACUUUGUAGUACGUAAUUGUAUUGUGUGUGUGUGUAUGCUAAAGAUAAAAUUUUGAGAGAAAUUUUAAAAGAGACCAAUCACUAAUGACCAAUUUAUGAUUUACGAAGAAAUUUUAAAAUAUAUUAAAAGUAUCAGGUCAAUCAUGUAAUAAAUAAAUAAUGUUGUAGUAUAUGUAUAUUCAUUUUAAAAAAUUAUUGUGUAAGUAAUAAUUAUAUUAAAUUUAAUUAUACAUAUCAUACUAACGUAAAUUAAAUCAAUUAAUUAUAAUAAAUUAAAAAUAUUAUAUGAUUUCUCAUUACGUGUGGGCGCGCGCGCGUAACAUUUAAUAAUACGUGAUGGUGAUGGUGAUGGCGAUGGCGAUGAGAUGAGAUGAUAUCCUAAUGCCGUUUCGCUACUUAAUAAUUUAUUAGCCACGCCGAUCACUCAGCUGCGAAUUAAAUAACAAUUAAUACAGAUAUAUAACUGAUAACACACACUCCGUUCGCCGGAUGCUGCUGGGUAGCGGCCUCCUUUUUCAUGUCAUUAUUGGUGGCAACUUUAUGCCAUUGUGUGCUCUUGAAUUUGCAGCCAACUUGGAUCCAGGUGCGACUGGGACUCAUCUCUUUAAAUGAUCAAAAUCACUAUUUAUCUCUCAGUCAGAAUUCAUAUUACAUCAGACCUACUACUACUUUAUCCUCAUUACCUUAUAUAUGUACACACACUCUAACGAUAACAUUUUUAUUUUAAUAAAGGGAAGAUAUUGAUCAUAAAUAAAAAAUAUAAAGUUUAAUAUAAAUAAAAAAAUAAAAUCCCUAAUAUAUUGAAAUAUAUAUUUUUUAAUAUAUUUAGUAGUGUAUUCACUUUAACAAAAUAAAAAUGUCCUCAUUAGAUAAUGAACAUAUAUAUAUAUAUGUAAUUCUCAAAUGAGAACAUGGUAAUUUUUAAUGAGUCUCAAUGAAUAACCUAAACAAUUUUAGAUGCGGGCAGGCUCUGGCACUUGUUUUUUUUUUUUUAUCGUAUAAGAUUCUUUUGAUUUUUUUUCCUAAAUUACAAUUUUAUUUCUUUUUAAAUUGUCAAAUGGGAAGACUAAUUUUCUCUCUCAUACUAGAAUUGUGGUUUUACAUGAUAAGUAAUGGGGUGCCAAUAGCACCACUCUUUUUUCAAAUUUAGAAUCUUAUUCUAGCUAGCUUAUAGCACAUGCAAUUUGCGAGGCUCAAUUUGCGAAGAAAUCAAGAAAGCAGCUACCAGUUUCCACAAUAAAUUGUUAGGGAAUUCUAAUCCGACCUAAAAUCUUUCAAGUAAAAAAUAUCAAGCCAAUAAUAAAUAAAAAAUAUAUGGAGAAUAAAACUAAUCUCACAACACAAGAACUUAUGUGGAAAACUCAUAUACUAGAAAAAAAACCACGGUUACCAAGUACAAUGAGAGAAAAAUCUAUUAUGUGAAAAAUUAUUAUAAUUACCCUAAUAGUUUUUUCACACCCAAACCUCAAUAACACCUAAUCUCUUAAUAUACCUACCGUUUCCCCCACACUUGAAGCUCUCUACUUGUAGAGAACUGAUUGAUGUAUUAUACAAAUAAGUGAACUCAGCCUUUUAUACAUAGUGAUUAUUUCUUGUAAGAGACGUGUUUUUUUUUUCUUAUAUUAGUUGUACUCCUCAUUGAAUAAGUCAAGAUCAAAAGGGAAAAUUACUUAUUCCUUAAAUAGGAAUUCUACUAAAGAAGAAAAUAUCCUAGGAAAUAAGGAAAUCCUUAUUGAAAACAAUCUACCAUGUAUCUUCACAACCAUAUCGUCUCCACCUUCUUUACUUUACCAAAACUACACUCACAUAAGGCUUAUGAGAAUCUCUCCACCAUGGGUAAAUUCUUAUCCUCUACCCUACAUAAAUGUCAAACCAUACCUUAUGUACAAAUCCUUUGGACCCCUAAUAGCAACACAUCCUCUUCCAUGGCACGUAAAAAAAGGUAAACAAGUCUCUCGUGGAGAAAAAAAACACACCACCAGCCAACAUAAUCAAUAUCUCUAUCUUCUGAUUUGGAGCUAUUUGCUGAACUUAUUCUAUUCCAACAAUCUCCUUAAAGGUGCCUUGAUUGUCUACACACUUCAGGAGCAUCCAUUAGUGGGAAUAUGGUUUACAUUGCCCUUGUUUUCCUUGCAUAACAAGAUAAAAUCAAUAUAUCAUGGACUUGAAUUUGCCACAAGCCAAAAUUAAUUCUUCCAUCAAACUUUUCUAUUUCUACCUUUAUAGGUUUUGAAAAAUCUCAUUGCUAAUAUAUUUGCUCUGCUGCGACCUUAGCUUUGAUACCACUUGUUAGGAAGUUUUAAUCUCACGCAAGAUCUUGCAAGCAAAAAAUAUAAUCUAAAUAAUAAUAAGAAAAUAGAUAAAGAAUAAAAUUAAUCACACAACACAAGAAUUUACAUGGAAAACUCUUAUACUAGGGAAAGACGACAGCCGCCAAGGACGACAAGACAUAAAUCCACUAUACAGAAAAUUAUUACAAUUACUGUAGUAUUUUGCUCACACUUAAAACCCCAAUAACACUCGAUAUCUUAAUAGACAUGAUGUUUCUCUCACAUUAGAAAAUGUCUACCUGCAGAGAGCUGAUUGCUAUGUUAUACUGAUAAGUGAACUGGAUCUCUUUAUAUAUAGUGAUUAUUUAUUGUAAAAGAAGUAUUUUUUUCUUAUACUAGUUGUACUCCUCAUUGAAUAAGUCAACUCCAAAGGGAAAAUUACUUCUUCCUUAAAUAUGAAUCCCACUAAAGAAAAAAAAUAUCCUAAGAAAUCCUUAUUAAAAAAUAAAACAUAUUUCCUAACGUAAAUCAUAGUCAUACUAAAGCGAUUUCAUUUUUAACCGAAUGUUAAUCAGAAUUAUAUCAAAGCCAUAAUAAUAAUUGGGGAUGGGGGAUCCCCAUGCCAUACAAUUACAAUUUAUAUUCUGAAUUUCAUAUAGUCAUAUUAUGUUAAAAUUAUAAAACCUCAUAUUUCAUGUUCCAUUAUGAUUAUAAAUACAAGUGCCUAAUUUGUGAGUUUAAGAUACACUUUAAAUUGGAACAAGCAUACAUAAAGUUUGUAUUGUGACAUAGGAAUGUUUUCAAAUUUAGUCCAAGAGACGAACACAAUCCAAGAUCAUGACUCCACUUGUUCGAUUAACUGUAUUUUUUAGAGGUAACUAAAUUAUGUAUUUUAUAUUGAUAGAAAGAUAAACGUUUCUAACUUUUUAAGAAUUUUACGGAAUUAAAUUCAAAUUUCUCUUCAUAAAGAUAUUCAAGAUUUUGUCAACAAAGUCAUACUUAAUUGUCAAGAUUUCUGCACAAGUUUACAGGAAUCAACUUUAACCUCAUGGUGUUCGAUUUAAUGAACUUCAUGAUCCCCAAAAAUCCUCAUAACUAAUAUUACCUUUUUGUCCGCUCUUUUUGGAGAAAAAGUUUGUGCACAAAUCAUAAUUUACAAUACUGGAGGGACUAAGAUCCUCUCCUUGUCUCUCCUUAUACUUAUAAUCUAGUGAAAAAAGUUGGCUUGAUUAUUAAAAAAAAAGUGAAAGUACAAAUACAAAACUCAAUUUUGACCACUCAUUAAACAAAGGGAGGUAAUGAGAGAAAAAAAGACAAUGUAAGGAUCUUUAUCUUGUGGAAUUAUAAUUUGAUAUGACAAUGCUAUAGAUUAAUUAUCAACAAUAUAAUUUGUUGAGAUAUUUAGUCCAUCAUAUUCCUGCUAACACGAUCUAACUUUAAUAAUCCUUUUUAUUAGGUUUAAGAUGUGCAGUUUCAUCUCAAAAACUAAUCCAUUUAGUAAUUAAACUGAUAGAUCUUAUUUGUAAGCACUAUUUCUUUUAUUCGUCAACUCAACCAGUUAAUACGUUUAUGCCAAAAAAUCGAAUGAGUAGGUAAGUUCCCACCAACUAAAACAAAUAAUAUUUUAUGUCAAUUAUCCACCAUAUUAUCAAGGCACAUGAACAUAUGCUUCGAUUGAAAGCCAUGUAAAGAACCAAUCUUUAAGACUCGGUUUUGAAAGACAAUUAUAUCCAACAACUUUACUUGAAAGCAAUAUUUCAAUUACAUAAAACUAUAUAACCCCAUUUUAUCUUCGCCUUCGGCUUCAUCCCUCAAAAAAAAAAAAAAUGGCUCUUUGUUCACAGUUUAAGACAAUUUUAAUCGCAUUUUGUAUUUCUUUGUUUAUUCGUUCAUCUUUUGCAAGAGAUUUCUCCAUCGUGGGCUACUCUCCUGAGGACUUGACUUCAAAUGACAAGCUCAUCGAUCUCUUUGAGUCAUGGAUGUCCAAAUUCGAAAAGGUUUAUGAGAGCCUUGAGGAGAAGUUGGAGAGAUUUGAGAUUUUUAAGGAUAAUUUGAAGCACAUUGAUGAGACCAAUAAGAAGAUAAAAAAUUAUUGGCUUGGUCUGAAUGAAUUUGCUGAUUUGAGGCACGAAGAGUUCAAAGAGAUGUUUUUAGGAUUGAAGCCUGAUUUGGCUAGAAGAAAAGAUCGAUUCCAUGAAGAGUUUAGUUAUAAAGAUGUUGUUGAUUUGCCUAAAUCUGUGGAUUGGAGAAAGAAAGGUGCAGUUACUCAUGUCAAGAACCAAGGUUCAUGUGGUAAGCAUUUAAAUAUAGCUAGCUUGAUUACACAAGUAAUUUAGUAGUAUGUUAAAUUUAAUUAGCGUAUAUUUGUAACUUUUCUAGUUAAAGUUGAAAGCAUAAGCGUACAUGAAAAAUGAGUUAAAGCAAGUGCUUGUUUGGAAAAGAGAAUCAGCAUAGAUUAAUUAAUUUAUUUAACAUCAUAUUCAUAUUUUGGAACCACCCAUCUAUGUUACACUUAAUAGAUAGUGAUUCCCUUUCACUUUCACAAUAAUAAUGGAUUGAAUGCAGUAGCACGUUGAUUUCAAGCAUAUAUACCCUCAAUGAGGGGUGUGUGUUUGUAUAUAGCAAGAGAUUAUCAAUAAUAUAUAUAGGGUUGAUUUUUUUUUAUUUUGUUCGGUAUGUGCAGGUAGCUGCUGGGCAUUUUCAACAGUGGCUGCAGUUGAGGGAAUAAACCAAAUUGUUACAGGAAAUUUGGCUUCAUUGUCUGAGCAAGAACUAAUCGACUGUGACAACACAUAUAACAGUGGUUGCAAUGGGGGCCUAAUGGAUUAUGCAUUUCAGUACAUUGUCUCAACUGGUGGGCUUCACAAAGAAGAAGACUAUCCUUACAUUAUGGAGGAAGGCACUUGUGAGAUGACUAAGGUAAUUAAUCUCCAAAUUUAACACUUGACCCAACAUCAACAAUUUCAUUAGUUAAUUACCAAAGUUUAAAAAAGAAAUAACGACUUUUUAAAAAAAAAAUUAGUUACAAAAGAUUAUCCAAUCCAUACAUGCAUCACGGAACGAUUUUUUAAUUUUCUUUUACAGGGAGAAUCAGAGGUUGUAACCAUCAAUGGGUACCAUGAUGUUCCCCAAAAUAGCGAAGACAGCCUCUUGAAGGCACUUGCAAAUCAGCCUCUCAGUGUUGCCAUUGAAGCUUCUGGCCGAGAUUUCCAAUUUUAUAGUGGGGUGAGUCCCCGCAUUGUUAUAAUCGUUUUUUGGAGGUGGGCUGAGCCCCGCAUAUAUAAGGCGUUGCUCAUUGGUCAAGCAUUUAUUGAUUUGUACUGAUUAUAUAUAUAUAUAUAUAUAUAUAUAUAUAGACACACACACAGAGUUAUUGAUCGUAGUCCGAUGUUUAAUUGUAGGGUGUUUAUGAUGGGCACUGUGGAACUCAGUUGGACCAUGGAGUGGCAGCCGUUGGAUAUGGAUCUACCAGAGGCUUGGAUUACAUAAUUGUGAAGAAUUCAUGGGGACCAAAAUGGGGGGAAAAAGGCUACAUAAGAAUGAAGAGGAACACUGGAAAACCUGAAGGCCUCUGUGGAAUCAACAAAAUGGCUUCUUAUCCCAUUAAAAAGAAGUGAUGAGCCUCAUGCCUCCAUUUCACUUUCAUCAAAACACUAUAUAACAUUUGCUAGUGUGUCAAUAUUAUUAAUUAAUUUCUAAUAUUGUCAUACAGGCUAUAUAUAUAUAUAUAUAUAAACCAUUAACAAUGUAAUGUUUAUUUUGAUAUAUAUAUAUAUUUAUGUUACAACAUGCCUUGUCACUUCUAGUAUACACAAGGUUUUCAAGCUUAAUUAUGUUCUACAAAUUAAAAUGCCUUAAUCACAGAAUUCGUAAAUCGCAAACCACAUUUUGAUACAAUUUACAUUAACACAGACGGAGAGUGAUAUUCUCUAUGGAGCAUCAGCAUUAACAGCAACUUCAUUAUUGUUGCGAGGUGAAUUUGUUCGCAAGCUUGAUUUCGUGAGACAUCUAAGAAAACACAGCGCAUCGGAAUCAUCUUCUUUCUCAUUCUCCUCCAGUGAUCUCCCCAUUGUUUCACGGGUGAAAAAAUAAGUAAUGGCGAAUCCCAUAAAACAAACACCACCCAAGAUCAACAAUGCUAUGGUCACUCCAGUCGCAUUAACUGCCUUAUCUUUUUUGUUAUCUUCUUGUGAAGCCCACAAGAAGGCUACUGUCCCAAUUAUGGCACCAACUUUUCCAAAAGCCCCGAAAUCCCAUGACAUGUUGAUCUAAAUCUUGCAGGAAAUAGCUCAGCGGGCACAAUGAAAGUUGUUGUAUUGGGACCAAAGUUUGCAAAGAAAAAUGUUAGGGCAUAGAGGAACAUGAAUCCGAAAUUGGUGUGCUUGCUCCAUUUAUAGCUAUAAGGUACCCCAAGGGCUAAGUAAAUUACCCCCAUGAAGAAAAACCCUAGGGCUUGGAUUGCGACUCUGCCUAUACGAUCAAUGAAAAAGACGGUGACAAAGUAACCUGGAAUAGUGGAACAAAUGGCGAAAAUGGCUUGGUGUCUUGCAACUUUGAAGGCUUCUUCAAAUGCAUUCAUGGUCUGAUCAUGACCGUUGCCAUCAAUGUUGCCAUCAAUGUUGCCAUCAAUAUACUGAUGGUAGAUUUUAGAUUGGAAGAGGUUGCUACUGUAGAAGACUAUGUCGACGAGCAGCCACGAGGUGGCGCAGGCGAACAGGUCGCGGCCGUGUCGGCGUAGGAAUCGCUUGGAGAUUAAGGGGUACUGGGGUGGACUUGGUGGCAAUGGAUACUCCUCUGCAAUUUGGCUUAUCGAUACGUCUAGUACUUUCUCCAUGUCUUUUGCGGCUUGCAUUACAUUUUGCUCCACCAAAGCCGUGUAUCUUAAAGAAAUUAAAAAUAAUUCAAUAAUAAGCUAUAUAUACAUAUAAUACAGUAAAAAUCACUCCCCAAUAUAUAUAUAUAUAUAUAUAUAUGCGCGCGCGCACGUACACGUACAAAUUAAAUGGGUCAAAACACAGGUAGGUAGGGGUACAGAGAUAGCGUACCUUGCAGAUUCAGGCAUCGUCAUACGCCAAUAAUAGGUGAAAGCAGCCGGAAUAGAACCCAGCAUGAGAAUCAACCUCCAGGCAAUAUCAGCUUGAUGCUGCGUCUUGUUGACAUCGUCGUCCCGAGUUGUGGUUGCCUCAAAGAUUUUGCAAACCGCCAUGGUGACCGUAGAGCUGGCCAAGAUACCAAAGCCCUGCAUAGAAAAAACCGCCGCAAUGAAGGCGCCACGCGUCAUCUUGUUAGCGAACUCGGACAUGAUGGUAGCAGAUAAGGGAUAGUCCCCGCCGAUGCCAACUCCAAGCAAGAACCUGAAGAAGCCUAGACUCCCGAGGACGCAUUGUUUAGUGGUGCAAAUGGAGAAGCCACAUGCAAGGGAGCUAAGCACCAUCAACAUCAAUGCUAAUCCGUACACGCGCCGACGUCCGAUGCGGUCACCUAGUCUACCGAAGACCAGCUGCCCUAUCACUGUGCCCAGUAAAGCCAGGGGUAACAUCGUCGAUACGACCGCCUUUGGGAUUUGGAAUCCCUUCUCUCCAUCUCGAUUGGCGCCAUCGCUGUAGUAGAUUCUUCCGAGGAGCUUCAUGAUGGGCGGGAUACAGAAGAGGUCAUAGGCAUCGGUAAAGAGCCCCAUCCCGGCUAUUAUUAUGGCUUUGAAGUGAUAGUACUGGGUCUUUGCUGAGUCUAGCGCUGAGAGCACUUUCAACGCCAUUCUUAUUUAUUUAUUUCUUGAUCUCUUUAUUCUGCUUGCUGUUGAUCAUCAGCGAGCUGGAUAUUUAUAUAGCUCAUGAACAAUUAAUUCAAGAUCUCUCUCUUGCUCUUGCUUUUGAUCUUUUUAUUUAGAAAUUAAUUAUUAUUAUUAUAAUAAACUUAAUAUUAGCAAGAAAGCCCCCAGUACCAUGGGGUUUCGUUGAUGUGAUCGAAGGUUGACUUGUGAAGUUAGGCCCUGUUUGUCUGAUUAGAUAUAUAAUCUAGAUCACGAGCUCAUGUACGUACCAAACGGAGCCUUAUCCAGCCGGGGCUGUGAUUCCAAGAAGAUGCGGAUAAUUUGAUUAAUUUCAUCGGCCAUUUUAGCUUUAAAAUAUUGACUUGGGUUUUGUUCAAAGUCUUUUCUCUGCUUCCAUUUGCUGCUGAGUGUUUGAAGAUAUUGGAAUUUAAGACUACGAUCAAUGUUUGGUGGUUGUGACUUGUGGUGUUGUUUAUGAAUAAUAAAAUAUCUUACGACGGCUUUUGUUUCUGGUUCCGAGUUAAUUUCGUCCUCUUAUCUUUUAUAUUAUUACGAUUGUGUUGAAAAAAAAAUAAUAUUAAUAUUAAUAAUAACAACAACAACGUUCCUUCCUUUGAAUUGUUUACUAUUAAUAUUUUUUGGGCCAGCAUUAGUUUUCAUUUUUGCUUUUUUUUUUUUUCCAACUGUUUUUGUUUGGAAAAUUUGGUCUUGUCGAUGCCGAGGAGGAAGAAAAUGAUACAUUAGCUAGAAUAGAAAAGUCUAAUUGUCUUGUGGAAAUUAAUACUCGCAAGUAUUAAUUACAAUCAAACAUUUAUGGCGUAGGGUAUGUGGAGUGUGGACCAUCCUUCGAUUGGACUCAAUGUGUUGCUUGAGAGAAAAAAGAAAAAAAAAAACGAAUUGGAAAAUUUUCGACGGUCAAUAAACCUCAUCGCUGGAUACGAAGCAACCCCGAAGGAAAUAAAUUCCAGUCUUUUGAAUUCUCACGUAUUUUUUUCCCACGGAAUCUGAAACUUGUGUCUUUGACUCUCUCUGUGUGAGACUUUAUAGUUUAUUUCUAUAAAAAAAAAAAAAAAAGUAAAUUCGGUCAUGAGGUAGUAGUUUUUGCUUUGGCUUAAUGCCCCGCCACCAAAGUUUUCUCCAAGUCACAGAUGCACCAAAAUGAUGUACGUGACACAAGCUCACAUGACAUUGGACUUGUAUCAAAACAGUUUUUAUUAAUAAAAAGAAGAAUAAUGCCAGAAAUUCUAACAAUUAAAUCUUAACUUAAAUUCUAAUUAAAAUGAUAUUCAUUUUUUUUUUUGAGAAGAAAAUAAUAUUCAUUUAAUAGAUGAUAGAAUAUAAUUUUAUUCAUAUUGAUUAUAUAAAAUUUAUUAUCUAAUAAAUGAAUAUCACAUAAUAAUUAAAUUUAAUUGUUGAAAUCUAAAUAAUUAUUGAUUUUUUUAAAAAAGAAAAGACACACAUCAUUCAUGAUUCAAGCAUUAUAUUAAAGAACACACACACACACACACACACACACACACACACACACACACACACACACAUAUAUAUAUAUAUAUAUAUAUUAUUAGUAAAUUUUCCAAAUAUUAUCUCAGUACUUCCAUCUCAGUUCCCAGUUAUUGUAACGUCACCAAUAUUCCCUUCCCACCAUCAAAUGAAUAAAUACCACCUCCCUCACCUAAUCAAGAUAAGAAAUUCAAUGGUAAAAGGAAAUUUUGCUAUUUUAAAAAUUAUUUUAGCUUGACCAAAGAACAGCAAAAUCUAUUUACAUUAAACCCAAGAUGAACUUCCAAUAUUUUACAGUUUAAACUGCUCUCUGUAGCACUAUUCCAUAACUCCACAGAACAUAAGCUUUUCUCAAAUUUCAAGGUACAGAAUGUUGAUGCGGCUAUCAACUGAGGUACUUGCCAGCCUUUCUGUGUUUCAUAACCAUCCCCUCCAGAAUUCCAUCCUGGCGGAAUUGGGGGUGGAAUAAUCUGGGAUCAACGGGUCCUGGUAGACUAAAUGAAACAGUGAAUUCUCCCUGUGGACAAAGUUGCUGCUGCAACAUCUUGUAUACUUUUGAUGAGUUUUUUGCAACAUCUCCUUCAGUCAUAACUCCUUGUAUUUGGACAUUUCCAUUGCGACGGAUAAUGCAUUUCAGGUUACCUGUAAAGACAAGCAUUAUCUACCAGGUCAUCUCCUACUUAUUACUUUUUUAUUUUUUUUAUCGGAUAGAUUAUUCACUACAUGAAGCACUGCAAAAUGCUCUCCUUUAACUUUAAAACGAAAGACCGAAAGGACAUUGCGUACACCUCGUCCACAUGCAUACUGCAUCAUCUCACAUGCCAAUGAUAUUAUUAAAUAAAUUUUGAUCCUUACUUGUAUCCUUUCGGGCGCCAGGCAGUGAAACUCGGAAAAGAUAGGCCUUAUCACUCACACCGAUGUCAUAAAGACCAAGGGGUGGCGCGCCACAACCUUCCUUUGCUGAUCCUUCUACAACAACAAGUGGCUUCAUUCGUGGAUGGUCAGCAUACUUCAACACGUCCAUUAUUCCAAUUUUUGCUUCCCAGCCUACAUAAUUACCAUGAGCAAGCAAACAGUAUGAGUUUGCGUACAAAAGAGUGUAUAAUGCACUGUCUACUGAUCAUCGAAACGUGCUUCUAGCAAGCAACAGUUCUCAUAUCUUAAAUAGCUUUCCUAAGUCAUUAAAGAAAAUUGAAAAAAAUAACAGAGAGAGGGCAAAUAUCGUUUUCCUAAUUAGCCACUGGAUCCUUCUUAAAGCUGGUUCAUUGACAUGCUAUUUAAAUUGUGGAGAUGCUCAUAGAACAUAGAAACAUUAUCACUUACAAUCUCACAUUAUCCGCAAAGGAUAAUUCUGAAAAAGGAAAGAAGAAAAAGGUACAACACACAAUUGAAUUGAACUCAAUAUGGUCACAAAUACAGCGCAACCUCCACCGUGCCAAGCUCUUUUAAUUUUUUGCUAUAUUAGUAAAAAUAACACUUUGCUAACAUCAAGUUUCCAACCACAUGACAACAUGGAAAGUCUGCAAGCAUGCAUGAAAAGCGAUCUCACCUUCAGCUUCCAGGUCAAGAAAAUGAUUUAAUUUGCUGAUAUUUACUAUAUUCAGGAUCAUUACGAUUGGGGGGGUUGCGGAAAAAGAAAAACAGUGAGAUUCUGCCCUAGAGAAGAUGAGAAUUACAAUAAAGAUAAAUAAAUGCAAUGUGUUGCUUAACCUAUUCUCCAAUGGAACUUAAAGGGACAUAACCAUAUUCAAGAGAAGUUGGCAGGUACGACACGAUAAAUAAUGACACCGCUAGAAUAUAUCUUCUCUUUCCGAAAACAACCCCAUGCCAAAUCACCACAAAAUACAUGUAAACUGACAAAACUUAUUGUAAAUAGUAGAAUACUCACUGGAGUUUUAAUCAUAGUACAAUCAAAAAACUACCUCAUCGAACUACUCAUGGAGACUGAUAAUAGGAGAAACAUUAUGUUAUACAGAAAACAUAAUCAACUUCAUGUAAAUGGAAAAAACGGUAAGGAGAACAAUUCAAAUCCCAAAAUAGCACAGGAAAAGGUUGGUCUACAUGAAUCAAUUUUGCCGCCACGUACCAUGCUACCCAAAAGGUCAAACAAAGAUAACAUGUCCCCAAAUGUAAAAACCGGAACGAGAUAAACCCAAAUACUGAAAAGAAUACGGGAAGAGGUGACUCUAAAAUUAACAGAGAUAAACAUAUUCCCUUAUGGCAAAAACCAGAAGGAGAUCAAUUGAAAUCAAGAAAAAGCACUGGAAAAGUUUGGCUUUCAUGAUUUAAUUUUCCCGUGACUUAUGCUGCCCAAAAGGCCAAUCAAGCACUAAAAUAACAGAGAUAACCUAUUCCCUACCAGGAAAAACCAGAGGAGAUCACCUCAAAUCCCUAGAAAGCGCAGAAAAGGUUGGCCAUUUUGCCUCAAAGUACCAUGCUAAACAAAUGGUCGCCCCACCCCAAAAAAAAAAAAAAAAACACAGUUAUCCACCCCACCACUAAAUUACUACACAGAAACAAAGUGAUACAAAUCGAAACAACCCUAAAAUAUUAUUAUCUACUUAAUCCACAGCUCACAAAAGACUGUUCAGUUGCUAAAAAAGUAAUCAGUGUUCAGUGUGACUAUGUUUCAAAAAUGCAACCAGCAUUAAAAAAAAAAGAAGAAAAAAUACAAUGAGUUCAAGAAUACCAAACAAGAUGAAACAAUGAUAAUAUCAAUGCCAAAGAUCCUUAAAAGAAUGAACUUUCGACGGAAAUAUUAACAAAAAAAUCAUCAAUGCAUUAAAUAUAAGUCAAAUAAUGAACCUUCACAUCAGAAAUGCAAAAAUCUAAGAGAAAAUUCGGAGAAAUGACAAAUAAUUCCAAAAUGCAGGAAAAUUAAGCAAGAUAUGAUCAUAACUAAUCGUUAUAAUGUACAUAAUAAAAAAAAGAAAUAAUUUGCGAAUUGAAAAUGGAAAUUCGAUCACAAAGUUAACACCUGAAACGAAAAGCAUUAGAUAAGAAGGUAUGAAUUAAUCAAAAGUAAAAAGGAUGAAAAUGAACUAAGAAAGAAAAGUUACGCUUAGGGUUUCGAGAGCAAAACGACGGCGUUAACGUCUGAGCUACGAGGCCGUUUCUUGCUUUGUAGCGGCCAGAGGAAUUUGCUCACACUUUGCACACUCUCGUCUGCUCUUGAGUCGCUAUUUAUUUAUUUCCAGUACGCGGCCGCUAUUGAGACGUGCCUUCAUCGUGACACGUGUAUCAUCUAACAUGUAACAAAAAUGCCCUUCAUUUAUUUUUACAUGUAGUUAUAUACACACUCAUACAUACAUUGGAGCAUUCACGUAUUUUUAUACAUACACACACUCAUACAUUGGAGCAGCCAUCAAGAUUCGAAGCCACCGAGGGCUAAAUUUAGUGAAUUUUUUUGUAAAUAGAGAACAUAUUUAUUGGAAGAAAGAAAAAUAAUAAUAACUGUAAAAACAACUUAAAAUUAAAAUACAGUUGAAACAUCGAUAUAUUAAUAUUUCCUUUUAGUAAUUUUUAUAAUUUAAUAAAUUUAUAAGACAAUAAAUUUCGUAAGAGAUUCUUGUUUUACAAAUUUGGUGAAGAACAGAAUCUAAAUAAGACUUAAAAUAGAUUAUGUGAAGUAAGUAAUAUGUGAAUAUACGCUAUUUUACAUAUGAUUACACUUGUCACAAUUCUUUUCUUUUCGAAACAUUGAUUCUAACCGUUGUUGUGUGUUUUUCUUGAAAAAAAAAACCUUUAAACAGUAUAUCAUAUCAAUUAUAAGGGCAAAACUAUGUUGCAACUGUGGUAUGGUACCACAGUUGUAACCAACCAUUGAAUAUACAGUUGUAUAGUUGCAUUAAUUAGAUUCAAUAGCUGAAAGCAACUGUGGUACCGUACCACUGUUGCAACAUAAUUAAACUCCAGUUAUAAACUUAUAAAUUUCCGUUUUCGAUUAUAGUAAAUUUUCAGUCAAUAUAUGAACUUAUUACGUUCAACUUUUGUGUAUCACAAAAAUUGAAACUAUAAUAAUAGUUUUCUUGUUGUUUUUUGUUUAAAAUAAAUAAAUUUAGACCGAUAUUUAUUUAUAAUCUAAAUAUUUGCAACUCAAAACAGAAUUUUAAAUCGUUAAUUUUGAGCUAGACAGAUUUAUGCAGCAAAUAAAAAGAUAAAAGGAAACAAAUUUUUUCCACUUCUUCAGAACAGACCCUUGUUAAUUAGAUUAUAUCACCCUAAGAAAAUACAAAUGGCAUAAAUAUACACAUGAGCCAAUCCAAAAAGGAGAUUUGUUGUGGAUGAACUGCAACUUACAGAUGACGAAUUCCCGAACUGCUCAUAAAGCAAAAAAAAAAAAAAAUGAUACGUAUUACUUUUGCUUAAUGACAACUGCUUCAAAAAUGCCAUCACAUCUAAAAUGCGGUGAAAACAGCCGGGGAUCAACCGGCCCGGGAAGACUGAAAUCAAGUGUAAACUGGCCAGGUGGGCAUAUUUGAUGAAGUCUCAUACAGAAUACCCGGGAACGUUUCCUAAUAGUUUUUCCACCAGAUGUUGACCCUUGAAUAUGAACCUUUCCAUCCGCUUCAAUCUCACAACUGAAGUGACCUGCUAUGAAGUAUGAAGAAUUGUUAUCAGUUGUCAGAAUCCAAAGAAAGACCAAACUGCAUUGUAAUUGUUCAUAAAAGAGUGCACUAAGAGAGACAUUGACUGUGCCUCAUUGCAAAUUGCAUUCUGAUGCAUUCUGUAAGGGCAGCCCCAGGAUGGGGUCCUAUUAAGUUGCAUCACUAACCCAAAAUCCUUUUUUUUAAUGUAAUUCAGUUGUUGCAUGUUAAACAAUUAGAAGUCAUGACAAACUACUUUUGAGUCAAUGUUAGUUGCAUGUAUUGUAACUUAAUAGCUGCUUCCAGCUUGACAUAUAUUUAGAAUAUAUCGCUAUGAAGGUGUCAAUCAGACUAAUAGCAGCUCGAAUGGUGAAACUAUGCAGCCGGUGCAUGGAACAGUCAACUAAAAUAUACACUUUUGAUUGAUGGGAUUCUAAUUAUUGUCAUGAAACAAAAAUGUUCUCCCAUCCUAACCCUGUUCUCAGUUCACCUUCAUGGUCUGCAUAAUAGCUUGCAUGAAGGAGGCGUGUUAAUGGCAUUUUCAUGACACAGGGAAACCCCAAAGGCUAGCAUACUAGUAAAUAGUAACAUACACUAUAGGUAUAUACAUAAAAAAGAACCGGGGAAAGAAGAAAAAAACUUACUAUAAUCUCUCCUGACUCCAGGUAGAGCAGCUUGGAAGAAAUAGGCUAGUUUGCUAAUGCCUAUGUCCACGACGCCAAUUGGUGGUCCUACCAUUCCCUUUGUCGCAGUUCCAGUCAGAGUAACAGAUGCAUCUGACAUACAUUCUUUCCCAUUUGGAACAGUUAAAAGGGGCAUCAUGGCAGGUCCAUCCCUAUUGCAGUUUUUCAGGAAGGCUCCUUGCAGAAUAUGAUGAUUUGACACUGAAACAGGAUGAGAGAGUGCUGGCUCAGGAAGAGGGUUAUUAGGGUGUCUUUCCAUACAUGGUUCUCGGGAUUGUGAUGAAGAAUUAUGGUUUCCAUCAGAAAUAUUUCCAGUAGCAUUGGCCUUACUAUUUUUCAUGUAAUUCUGCUUCCCAUCUUCUUUGCGUUUCUUGUAUUCAUGUUCAUAACACAGGGAUUUGAUUUUAUCAAUCUUCAAAUCAUCCAUACCAGAUAAGGAUCUGAACCUCACUAGGUCCUCCUUUUUGAUGAAUGAUGUAUCUGGAUCAUCAAUAAGAACAAUCCCCUUCACAAUCUCGUAACGUCCAGAAUACCUUUUAUGUCCAUGAAUAUUCAAUGGGAAAAAACUUGUGAACUGCUGACAAUCCUCUGGAAGCUCAGAGCUUGGCAAAGGCAUGAUGCCUUUUAGAUACAUAUGAAAUACAGAAGGUUCCACAACCAGGGCAGGAUUAGCAUUCCUCAGUACAUAGUAGUAUAAGCUCUCUAACUGAGAAAGGCUGACAAAUGAAAAGCUCAGACUAUUUGAAGUGUAUGGCGGCAAAGCUUGGGCUAAUCUUUGAGAUGCAGAACGUCUUGGAUUAUCGAAGAACACAUCAGGACCCAAAUAAGUGCUCAUGAUGAAGUUCAGCAAGAAAUGUUGAUCGUUAAAUGUCUUUUCAACAGACACUGUAGAAGGACUAUUAUUUCCCUGCAAGGCCAUACCCCGGCUUCACCUUUUUCACAACUGCAGAACUAUCUGCACUUGCCUACAUAAGUGAAUUAACCUAGCGUCAUGUGCUCAUUUUCUUAUAAGAAAUAUCAAAAGAUACUAAUUUUCUUUCAUAAAACAUGCAUACAUGAUGAAUACAUGCAAUGAGCCCAGGAAUAAAAACUAUGGUACAAUUACUAGCUACUAGAUUUGUGAGAUAGGUUUCAUAACAGCACAAGCAUAAAUGAAGGCAAUCCAUUAUCUUAUUUCGCUUGACCCCUAAACAUGAACUUUCGAUCAAGCAGUGACGCCUCCCUCCCACUUUAUUUAUACCAAUCCCUUAGGCUAAGUACAUGAUUAUACUACAUGUCUUAUCAAUGCUGCCAAGCAAUAGUGUAAAAUGCUGUACUAACUCAAAAAGGACCGAUCAUCUUUCAUGUGAAACCAAAAUUCUCAUUCUUCAUCAACUACUUGUGUAUUAACAUCAAAUUCAAACUGAAAAGGCCUUCAAUUUACAUGCAUUUAAUAAAUUUAGAGUUUCCACCUUCUUAAUUGUUUAAAAUGGCUCUAAAUUAAAGCAUGUACAUGUAAAUGUAAUGACUUCCUCUCCAAUGCUUACUCAAAAGUCAAAAGGUUUAAUGGGUUUCUGUACUCCCUUUGUCUUACUAAUUCAAGAAACCAUACACCAUAUUAUAUAAUUACCCACCACUACCACAAGCACAACAAAAUUAAGAAAAGAGACACUAACGGACAACACAAGAGUUGUAAAACGUUACCCUUUUUUGAGUGGCUGAAACCAGACCAAAAGCUUUCACUUCGGCUCCAUUUUUUGUGAAAGGGAAUCAGUGACGGACACAGAUAGUGACUGGGACCUGAAUGCAAAAUUCAGGAGAAUCUGGGCCCAUCGGACCAGAAUUAUUAUCCUCACUUUUUGGGCCAUGGGCCCAUCAAUAUGCGCAUGUUUGCAUGAAUGUAUAUUCAUAUAACUUGUCGAAGAGGGUAAGUCUUUGUCUAUACUCUUAGACAACUAUUUCAUUAUUUAUGGACAAGUGUGAAGAUAUUGGCACCCCUCUAAAAUGCUCAUUAAACCCCACUUUUGUAUUAAUAAAUCUAUGUUUAUUCAUAAUUACAUAAAUGGACAAAUUAAUAGAGUUAAAGUGAACUCAGCUAUUAUCUUUUUACACCACACUUAUCGUAAUAUUUUCAGAAGUUUUCCUUUAUUUGAAACCUUAUUUUACAUAGACUACUAAUAAAUAUAUUAUAGAUUUGAAGAUAAUUUUUUUUUGGUGGAUUUGUAUCCUCAAUUUUCUAAUUCAUCCUCUUUCAUUAUCAUGUUUUUCUUCCUCUCACUACUAGUCCAGUUGGUUUGUUGAGUAUUCAUCAAUUUUUUUUUUUACAAAGAUUUUUAAGAUACUUGCGCAAAUCUCUUCAUCUUUGUUACUAUCUCCAACCUUGAGAAAAAUAAAUAACAAUGAAAAAAGAAUUUUUGAGUUAAAAUUUAUAAAAACACGAUAAUAACAAAAAAAUAAUAAUUGCAAACGUACAUGUGCUAUACUUUGUUGUUUUAAAUUAUUUGAAAUUCAUCCAAAGUAAACAGAUUAAAAAUCAAAAGAGAAAAAGAGGUUUAAAUGUUUGUUCGAACAAUUUUUUUUAAAAGAAUAUGUUGGGAUUUUAUUAGAUCUAUAUGUCCUUAAAUAUAAUUUGCUUAGCAAUUAACUUAUAAGUACAAAAAAAAAUGGGGUUUUAUAAGGACAGUGAGGGGGUGCCAAUAGCUCUACCCUAUGGAUAAAAAUUUCUCAUUUGUGCUUUUAAAGAUGUUAUUUGAAAUUGUUAAGGUGAAAGCCCGAAUUGAGAAAAAAUAUUGGUUUUAUCGCUUAUAAUCACGUAGUUAUAUAUUGAUCUUUUAGUCUUUUAUCUAAUUACUGCUAUAAUAUUAUAUAUCCAAACUUAAAUGUUGCUAUAUAUAUUUUUUAAUACAUUACAAGAUAAAAUACAUUGUAUUGAAUUUUUUUUAAUUUAUUCAUAACUUUAAUAUAAUUAAGAAUCUUUGAUCAUACAUACAUACAUACAUACGUAUAUAUGUAUGUACGUAUGUAUGUAUGUAUGUACGUAUGUAUGUAUGUAUGUAUGUAUUUAUGUAUUACUUUAAUGAUGCAUGUGUGUGUAUGAUAUGUGAUAGGAUAUUUUAUUUUGUUAAUUGUUAGUGUGGCUUUUGGGUUUAGCAUGGAACCAAGAAAGUAAAGCAAAGGGUGUGUGGCUUCAGGCUUGUGUUGCCGAAACCGGAAAAAGAAUUCAAAAAAGUGGUAAGAUACGACCACAAUGAUCAGAAAGAAGAUCGAUGUUGAAUCAAUGUGAUGAUGCUCGAUCAAUGUGCCUUCUUAGUCUGAAAAUUCGAGAGAUCCAGAUUCCGAUGCAAUUCCCUUCAUUAUUAUUCUCCACGUUGAUCCCAAGCAAGCAUCCUCCACCCAAUCAGAAUCGUCCUUUUUUUUUUUUUUUCCCUCUCAUUAGCCAUUAUGUAGUUAGUGGAUGUGCUGUGAAAAAUGUGCAGACUCAAAUCUACAUUUGGUGGUAAUCGGUACAUACUACAUAAGGACGUACGCGUCCCACUCCCACCAGAGUCUAGAAAAUUUAUGUUGACCUUCUUCUUCUUCUUACUUUGUUUCCCACCUUUUCUGAGAAACCAAACAGACUUGCUGUUUAGUUUAUUCUCCUCUUUUUUUUUUCCUUUUCAAUGUUUUCUUCUUUACGACUCAUCAUAUCAUGUGUGAAUUAGUGCAGUUUUAAUAAUUACACUUUGGAAUUGAUCAGACGGCUGAGAUCAAAUAUGCAAGUUACGCAUCAUUUACACUCCGGUUUUUAUAUUCCUCAACAUCAAAAAGACGAGUCAAUAAUCCUAAGUCAUAACUCAUAAGCAACUGUGAACUACAACUGUAUCUGGAAAUUGAUCCAACCAAAGCAAAGGCAAAGAUGUAUUGUUUGUAUUCCCAAGGGAAAAGCAAAGUUGGACCCGUCAAACUCCCAAUCAUUUCAAAUUGCUUCAAACUCAUACGCCGCCUCUGCGCUGGUGGGACACCCUAAUAAGGGUGGUGCUCCUCCAUCAUGCCAUAGAAUGGUGAGGACCAACCGUAGAUUUUAUCAUGACAUCAAUUAAAUUUAAUAUUAAAAAAUCAGUAGUUCUCACUAUUCUAUCGCAUAGCAAAAGUAUCAUUAGACAAUCUAUUAAAUUGGUAGGAUAGUCCGGCACAAUUUUUUGGUCUUCUUUAAGUUUUGAAUCUUGAGCUCACACGAAACCCAUAGUCAAAUAAAUAUCUAAUUACGAUAAUUAAUAUAACAAUAUCAAAUUAUGAUUGGACUGUUAAUAUUGUUUAACCAAAUCCAUUAAGGGACAAACAAGGCCAAUGGCAUGUUUUUAUCUAGUUAGUUGAGAUUAUAAAUGUGUCCCUAUUUAAUUAAUUAAAUAAUUACAUACAAGUUCGAAAUGUAUUUCAAAAUUGUCUACAAAUCUCAUUCAAUUAUAAUUUAUUAGUAUAGUUGUAUGAUUUAAAUACCCAAACCUAAUUGAAUCCAUUCAAAAUAAUAAAUCUAAUUUGAAAUUUUAUAUGAUUUAGUCCAAAUCUACAACCUGUAUUAAUAUUUGACCAAAAUUAAAUCUAUUAUUUAAAAAAUAAAAAUAUUUAAAUGUACAUACUUACUCUUCAAUCUUUAGGAUUUGGCUGCGUUAUCUUAAGACUUUAAUUUUUCAAGAGGUGUAAAGAUAAAUACUAAUAAGAUUGAGAAUGUAAUGAAAUAAAGCUGUAAUUUUUUUUUCGUUUAGUCGUUAAUAGAUUUUGCCCCAUUAAUAUGAUUAUCUAAUCAGGCCACUCUGUGUGUAAACGUGUUAUGUAACUUACAUAAAACCAUAAAUAACUUGUUUGUAUGAUUAAAUUGAUAUCAACUAUAUAAUUGAAAAGAUCAUAAAAAAACUACUUAUAAGUUAUGUAAGCUACCUAUAUUGUAACUUAGCUGAUGGUUUCUGUUAUACAUUAUAACAUAAUAAGCCUAGUAUCCGUGUAAACGGUUUUCUUGUUAUUUGGGUUUCUUUUUUUUUUCUUUUUUUUUUUUAAUAACAAUACAUUACCCAAAAAAAAAAAAAAAAAAAAAAAAAAAAAGCGAAGACAAAGAAAGCAGAUUAUUUUGCCUAGUGUUAGAAGCCAGCAGACCGACCCAAGACUGACUUUAGUUCUGUCACUGUUGGUUUUAAAAUGCCCACAGCCCUUUAAUCUUGGCAGUGUAUGAAUGUAUAAAUAAUCCCGACAUUCCUCGACCAUCAAUCAUUCCAUUUGUUUUCUUCUUUCGUAUCAUUACCCUCUGUCUCCUUCACUUUAUUGCAAUCCAAAGUACCAUAUCAAUCUUCUGCAGAAUUUAGGGAUAGCUCUUCAUGGAGUUGGAGGUAAUAUUUUAUUUUCAUUGACUUUACACUUUAGUUAUCACAUUAAAAAUAAUGCCCGUUUAGGAUUGAGUUCACGUUGAAAUGAAAUCAUUACAACGUGGAUAGGUGUAUAAUGUAAUGUAUAAUCUCUAACUGGUUUAUAAUAUCAGAGUAUAUGUAUCACAAUGUGUAUAGAGCUUUCAAAAUUAAAAUUAAUUUGUAUAAUAAGCUGAAGAGGCAGGAUGAUCCAUAUAUAUAUAGUUAUAUAUAAUUACGAGCUAAUUAACGAAGGACUGAGGUUUAUCGUUAUGUGUGUAUUUCUUAAUUAUUCGUUUUUAAACGACGCAGACGGUAGAAUUGAAAGUGGAGAUGGUUGGAAUACAUGAGAAAAGACUAAGAAAAUGCCUGUCCAAACUCAGAGGUAAUCAGGAUAUCAUAACGUUAAUCGCUCGCUCACGUCACCCUUAUUGAUACUCAAAAUUAUUGAUACAUGCCAGCGACCCUGAAACGAAUAUUAUUUUUUACAGGAAUAGAGAAAGUGGAAGUGGAUGCCAACAGCCAGAAGGUGGUGGUGACAGGCUACGCACACAGGAACAAAAUAUUGAAAGCCAUUAGGAGAGGUGGAUUGAAAGCUGAUUUUUGGUCUGCCCAAAAUGAACUUCUCAGUGCUUAUGCAAGCGCAAGCUAUGGAAACUUGAGAUUUAACAACUUCAACUUCUCUUAGCCAGCCUACAUCUUCAACUUCUCUUUUUUUUUUUUUGGGUCCCCAUUUUAAUUAUUUAUUUAUUUAUAUGAAGGAUGUUAUACAAAAAGAGUCUGGGAUCGGAGCUGCUUCUACAAUUGUGUUUUGUUUUCGUGCAUGCAUUUUUGUUCAGUUCUCUUUUUAUUAUUUUAUUUAUUUAUAUUCUCUGGCUUUUACCCUUUUCUUUUAUAAAAGGAGUUGUUACAUAAUGUGUAAUCAUUGAUACAUAGAGUGAAAUUGAAGGAUUCUAAAUUUUGCAGCCUGUGCCUGCGUUAAACAUUUACCGAUCUCUCUCAAAUCGAACCAACGCUUGGGAAAAGCCUUGUUAGUCGUUUACUUGCCUGCAGCAUGCUCCCGCUCAAAUUUAUUGGGCUAACAACAACAAUCUAGAAUGGGCCAAUCCAAACUUUUUGGACCUAACAUUAAAGUAAUUUGAAAUUUCACGCCUAAAAAGCUCGAAUUAAUAAUUCAGCGAGUCAGCCAGUUAAAUAAAAGCAAAUGUAAUAAUGCACGCGUCGCAUAUUAGAAACGAUGAGGUGGCGUCUUCUCAUGCCAUCUUGUGUGCCCGCACCGCCAGCACACACCGCAGAUCAAUCUAAUGCUACAUGUGCGCGCGCGCGCGGGGGUUAAUAAUAUCCUGAUCCCUGUACGUUUAUUAAUUUACAACUAUGGACAUAUAUUUUCCCAUUUACUAAUAAUUAUAUUAAAUGAACAAAACAAACCGAUACGAUGGCAUCAUCGUCUCAAAUCUGAGCAGCAAAGCAAAAGCCAAAAAUGCACUUGAGCGAAAACGAAGGCAUUGAAGGAAAGACGUUCCUGGUGACUGGGGGGCUGGGCCACGUGGGCUCGGCUCUUUGCCUGGAGCUUGUCCGUAGAGGCGCUUAUCAAGUUCGAGCCUUUGACUUACGAACCAACUCUCCUUGGUCUCACCUUCUCAUCAAUCACGGCGUCCAUUGCAUCCAAGGUUUAAGGUUUCUUCUUCUUCUUCUUCUUCUUCUUUUUAAUUCCAAUUCAAUUCCACUAUUGGGUCGCUUUUGUUAUCAUAUAUUCAGCUUGCUUUUUAAUUAUGAAUUAUAUAUUGAAAUAUGUGAUCAAAUUCGAUAAAUCAGCUGAUCAAACAGUAGCAAGUUAUGUAAUGGACUGCAUGGACAUUUUAGGUGUAAUGACUGAGCAACUGAGUAUCUUUUAACGACGUUGAAUUAGAUUUUCCACUCAGCAAUAAUUCUUAAUGACAGGGGAAGUUGUUAGCAAAAUAGAUGUUGAAAAAGCUGCCCGUGGUGUAGAUUGUGUGUUUCAUGUUGCUUCCUAUGGCAUGUCGGGGAAGGAAAUGCUCCAGUUCGGUCGUGUUGACGAGGUCAAUAUUAAUGGAACAUGUCACGUCAUCGAAGCUUGCCUCGAGUUUGGGAUUCAAAGGCUUGUCUAUGUCAGCACAUACAAUGUUGUGUUUGGGGGAAAGGAAAUUGUGAAUGGCAAUGAAAGCUUACCCUAUUUCCCCAUUGAUGAACAUGUGGAUUCAUAUGGCCGCAGUAAAUCAGUUGCUGAACAAUUGGUUCUAAAGAGUAACGGUCGUCCCUUUAAGUGAGGAGUUAUUAUUUAUUGCCAUUUUUUUUUUUUUUGUUAUAAGUGUGCUUCCCCUGCUGCAAUUUUAUUGUUGUCAUGAUACUUGUUUGUUUGGCUAAAACGGCUGGGAAAGAAAUUGUAGAAAAGAAUCUAUAUGAUAAAUGGAUAGGGAGAACAAUAAACAACUGACUUAUAAUCCCCAAAAGUUUGGAACACUGAUACAAUUCAGCAGAUGGGGCAUCAAUUUUCGUUUACUUUCUAUGACUAAAGCUGAGAUGUUUCAUGUGUAGGAAAAAUAAUAGAAAAUGCCUUUAUACAUGUGCGGUUCGUCCUGCUGCUAUCUAUGGGCCAGGUGAAGAGAGGCACCUUCCGAGGAUAGUAUCACUUGCAAAGUUAGGAUUGGUGCCGUUUAAAAUUGGUGAACCAAGUGUGAAAACCGACUGGAUUUAUGUUGAUAACCUUGUGCUUGCUCUUAUAUUGGCAAGCAUGGGACUUCUGGAUGACAUUCCUGGGCAAAAAGGGCGUCCAAUAGCUUCUGGCCAACCAUACUUUGUAUCUGAUGGUAAUUUAUUUCUUCUUCGUUUAGAUACUUCCUUUUGAAUUCCUGAUCAAGAACUAUUGGUGGAUGAAAUGAUUUAACUUUUGACUUGGUUUGAAAUGCUAUGUUAUGAAUAAUUCCCUUCUUUCUCAGGGUUUCCAAUCAAUACGUUCGAAUUUAUUGGACCUUUACUUAAAACUCUGGACUAUGACUUGCCGAAGUCUUGGUUAGCUGUUCCCCAUGCACUCUUUUUGGGCAAGGUCUUCUCAUUUUUCUAUUCAGUCUUAUAUCCAUGGUUGAAUCGAUGGUGGCUUCCUCAACCGUUAAUCCUUCCGGCUGAAGUCUACAAGGUUUGUUUCAAUUCCAAUCUAUCUGAUGAACACAUUGGCAGACCUAGAUGGGUUGUUUUUAGGCAUGUGUAUUUUCUUUGCUCUUUAGCAGUACACAAUGUCAUAAGCUGAAUUAUAUGCUAACAGGUUGGCGUUACCCAUUACUUCUCUUUACUUAAAGCCAAGGAAGAGCUCGGCUAUGUCCCGAUUGUGAGUCCUAGGGAGGGCAUGGCUGCUACUAUCUCAUACUGGCAAGAUAGGAAAAGGAAAAGUUUAGAUGGGCCUACUAUAUACGCAUGGUUAUUCUGUCUGAUAGGAUUACCGGCAUUGUUUGCUACUGCAUACUUGCCGGACAUUGGCCCUGUUCCAAUCUUAAGAACUAUUGGGCUUUUCAUCUUCAAGUCAAUGUGGAUGAUGAGAUUGGCGUUUGCUAUUGCAGUAUCGGCACAUGUCAGUGAGGGUGUAUUUGCAUGGUGCCUAGCAAAAAAAGUGGAUCCUGCAAAUGCAAAAGGAUGGUUUUGGCAAACUCUCGCUCUUGGGGUAUUUUCAUUACGGUUGCUGCUCAAGAGAGCUAGAAAGUAAGUCCGUCCACUUUAUUUGUGUUGUUGUGAUCUACACACGACUGGAAAAAUACUGGUUAUUUGUGGGUGGAAAGUGAAAAGCAUCUUGUUGAGGAAUUUGGAUAGUGUUUUUACCUCUCUCUUAGUCAUUUUUGAAUCCAUUAGAUGCUAAUGGAAAAUAGGAGAAGUGGAGGUUUGGAACCAACUGAAAAUCACGGGUCAGAUGGAACAUCCUGUUGAGGGGCAACAAGCGGUAAGCUUGAUGGUGUGUUGUAUGAGCAAUGGAGUUUGGAACCAACUGAAAAAUCACAGGUUAACUUGGCUUUUGGUGAACCAUGAUAGCAUUUUUAUUUGAGUGUAAUUAUUUGCACUCUAAAAAUUAUUCUAAAUACUUUAUUAUUCUGUUAUUUUGUAGGCUCAUGUGCUAAAUUAAAAAAUUAAGUUUUAGUUUUUACACACCUUAAAAUGUCACAAAAGAUUUUACUUAACCUGGUUAAGCUAAUUUAUUCAAAACGCCAAUUAAAUUAUUUUUCCAACCCAGAAAGAAUUAAUGACCUUUUAGUCUAUAAAAUGAUAGAAUCAAAUCAUGCUAUAAUAAAUUCUUCAACAUAAGUUUUAGUUAUUAGAUUUUCUUUAUUAAAGAAUAUGUUCAAUAAUAAUUUUUACACCUUGAUUUUUUAACGUAAUAACUAUAAAAAAAAAAAUUGCUAUCCGCCUCCCCCUCCAAAAAACAAAAAAUAUUAAAGAAGAAGGAGAAGAGUACAAAAGAUAAUUUUAAUUUUUUAUGAAAAAUUAAAAAGUAAAAAUAUAUUCAAAAUAUUUUAAAAGUAUUUAUUUGUUCCUUAUUUAACUAAAUAUUAUUUAAGAGUUGGAAAUAAAUUUUUUUGCGUUUAUGUUUAGAAUAAUUAUAUCAUACUAGUUUAUAGGAAAAAGUUGAUAUAAUGUGUAUUUUUGUGAUAAAAAAAUUAUAUUAAAGAGUAGGAUUAUUUAAACAGACUAAAUUUAUUUUUACAACACCUUAAAAAUUAUAAUAAUUAAAUUGCCCAUUAAUUCCCUUCUCUUUCUCACAGUUGUCCUCUCUCUACAUCACUUAUUGUAAAUUAAAAACUCACAAUUUCACUCUCUUUAGCCAUGGAUUCUUUUUCUUCAUGUCCACUACAUUUCACUUAUGGCAUUUGAAUUCGGACAUUUUUUUAGAAAGAUUUAUAACUUUAUAAUUAUUUAUAGGAAAAAAUAAAAAUAAAAAAUAAAAAAUUUAUUACUUUCACAGUUACUUAAAAUUCUAAAUGAUCAUUUUCAAAUGGUGGGUUUAUUCAUGUAAAUUGAACAAAGAGUAAUUAUUAUUAUUAUUAUUAUGAUUCACAAAUGGAAUUUAAAUUUCCUCUCUGUUCUCAUGAGGGGGUUUGAGUUCCAAAACUGCUUCACACAUAUAUAUAUAUAUAUACACACACAUACAUAUACAUAUACAUACAUAUACAUAUAUACACACAACGGCCACCAUAAACCAUGCGAUCAUGUCUAUCUUUGAACACACGCCCUUCGAUAACGAAAAAUUAACGGCAGAUAAAAUAAUCAGGAGAUGAAAGGUUCUGAUGAGAAAUACAAAUGGGCAUCUUGUUGUCCCCUCCUGGUUAAUUAAAUUAAAUACAGAGAAAAACAAGGAUGAAAUCCAGUACAGGUAUUACGCAACAACUACUAGUACAACGAAACAAUUAUAUAUAUAUAUAUAUGGAUCACUCUUCUAAAAGCCUGGGCUCUAAUCAUGGUGGUGAAACAAGAAAAGAAAGCAUAAUGCAAGUUAUUCUUCUACUUCAACUUACACAAAGCUAACAUUAGAAAUGGAUCUCCUCAAGGUCCUAUGGUAAAAAGUAGCUAAUAAUACAAUAUUAGAGCCCUCGCCUACUACACAAAUUGGCGGUGACGCUGAAGUCAUGAGUGGUUUAUUUCCAUGGUAUGCUGGUCGCCAUUCCCUGUGGCAGGUGAUUGUUGUUGCAGGCUCCUGUACUGUGAUUAAGCGGGCUCCCAGGUCCACCCGAGGAUUCGCUAAGAGUCCCACGAGAAGGUGGACUGCACUGUCCUGCAGGCUGACCACCUGGAGCAAGCUUUGGAGGGAAAGGUAGAGAUUCCAUGCGGUGAGAUGAUUUUGAUUCCUUCCGACCAUCAGCAAGGAAGCUUCCAACGACCACCUGCGAAGUUCACGUACAUAAAGCUUAGAAUCAUUACAACCCAUUGAUGGCAAUACUGCACUUUAUUGGGGAGGAGCUGCUAAUUAUGUUAAACCAAUAUUAGGCUGUGUUAGAUCAUCAUGGCUGGUAAACAUGACACAUCCAAAUUGUCAGCAUCUCAUAUCGACAACUUCAGAAUUUUCAGAAAGGAAGGAAGAGUAUCUGAGAAAAUUGCUAUAAUAAGGAAUGCUCAAUAUCAUAAUUGAAUGAAACAAGUAGCUUGAAUUUUGGCCCAAUUUAUCAUUUUUUUUUCUUUUUUUUUUUUUAACAAUGUGUCACAAAAAUUGCAAGAUACAAAAUUCAUUUAGAGAAUUGGCACAAUUAUCAAUGUGUUCACAGAGAUUUACAAGAAAUGAAGAUAGUGGUAAACAUUAAACAACCAGACAGACCUGGACAGGAGUAGCAGCAGUUAGAAGACCAGCCACACUGCCGCCCAAUACACGACCAUCUGGGCCAGAUAAUGAGACACUUAGUCCCCCAGUUCUGCUCCGCUGACCGCUACUUUCAGAUAGUAAAAAUGAACCAGAAAGUGAAAGAAUCUCAAAUCUCCCCUACACAAAAUAACUACACAAAUCAGAGGAAAACGGAGGGAAAGAAAGAUUGGUAAAACAUGGAUCAUUGUGCAGCAACAUAUGCAUAAAUGGGGCAAUCAUAACUUUAGUACAAUGUCAUGGAUUUUGAAAAAUUCUCUCUCUUGGACUCAAUCCAUUCUGAAUUCUGGUUACUUAGCAUCCAUUGGCCAAGUAGUCUGCUUCAACAAGAAGUAUUUGAUGGCCUUUUGCUCUUCUCACAUGAUUCAAGGAAUAAACAUUUCAAACAAAGCCGGUUCUAGAAAAGUUGAAACUCACAUACAACAAGCAUCUUGAACAGCAUUUUUCUUAUUAGAAACUUAAACAUAGGGGAGGAGGAUAGGGGGAUUGCAAAAGGAGGGAAAAGAACACCAGGAAAAACAAUAAUUAUAAGCAACUUUAUAAACCUCAUAAGUUACAGUUCCACCAGAUGUUGCAGCUUGGCGGAGAGUGACAUUAGAUAUGGCACCAUUAGCUGAGAGGAUGCAAACAGCCCUGGGACCAUUCUGAGAAAAUGACAUUAUUUUUGAUGAUACAUCCUGAAAACCCAGAUAUAUCCAAUAUUAAUAUAUCGAAAUCCUAACCAGAGCAGUAAAAUUGCCUACAAAUCUGCCUGAACAAGCAAGGAUAGGAAUUAAAGAUAAAGUUACAAUAAAGCAAGGAUCAUAAUAUCAUAAAUAUUCAGAAGCUCUAGUGUGCACACCUGCACAGGAAUCAUUCAAUUGAGAUGCAAGCUGAGUGGCAUUUUCGCAAGCCACUAUAUCUCAUUCGAGGAGUGUCAACAAACAAAAGAAUCAUGUACCAUUAACUCCCAUUCUUUACCUCAUUAUGAAUACUGAUUGUGACAUUGCAAAUGUACCAACCUUGAUACGGUCAGUCUACUGCCAGUCUUAUGCAAAACAAUAUGAAUCAAUUUUGGUCCCACAGUUACUAGUUUUUAAUUCUCCACCUAGAAAUAAAAUCAAUGAAACUGUUACAUUUUGUGAUUUGCGUUAUCAGCAACCGAAAACUGAAGUCACCAAGUCAUAUGCACCAAAGUGCUGUGGUAAAAUAAGAAUUUUCCGCAAGCACAAAAAUUGGGUGCAGACGUAUAAAGGAUUUCAGGCCUCACAUUUAGAAGUCAUUUUCUUUUAUAACAGCAAUAAGAUGCAGCAUAGAAAAUGCUUUUAUAACGUCUGUUAUUUGAUAUAAAGAUAAUAAAACCAUGAUUCUCAAAAUGUAAAAGCUUGAUAAAUUCCCCACUAGAAACUACUUCCUUAGUACUUAGUCAUUAGCUCUGAUUAAGUUGAAUAGAAAAUUAAGUCAUUGGCAGUUAAGAUAGCUUUCUUAAUUCCUUUAAAGUCACUACAAAAGAAUUUAUUUUACAGAUUCCAUUACCAGGCAGUUAAACAACUUCCAGCGAAUAAAACAAUUUUAAUCACUUACCUUCCUGAGAUAAAAAUUGAAAAAAGAAAAUUUCCACUUAAAUCAUAGUUUACAUAGUAUAAUAGUUAGAAAGAGAAAUUAAACUAGGAAACAGCAUCAAGCAUUUCUGUGCUAAUAAUUGAUUUAGAAAUCAUAAUUAGUUAUGCUCUAAACACAUCUAGUUUAUAUUCACAUCAACAUUAACCACAUCUAGUUUAUAUUUGUUCAAUGAAGCAAUCACUCUUAACUUAGGAAAUGAUAACAUUUUCUGACAUUUGAGUUUUAUUGAGCUGACAAAUGCACAUAAUAUAGCAAAAUAAACUAAAUUAAACUUACAAGUUAGGAUUGCAAGGUCAAAAGCACAAUCAGGUUUCAACUGUUUCUUUCCCAUUGCCUGUUAUAUUGGUGUGGUUAAGGAUGAAGUAAUUGGCUUAAUUUCCUAGCACUACCUUUAGACCACACACUUACCUUGAUAACAUGUACACAAAACAUGGCUGUGCAAGAAAAUAAUAAAUCAGUCACAUCAUUGUGUACUAAAUUAUUGAGAAUACUAUAAUUAGUCAAAACAAAUUUAAGAAUAAAUGACACCCAACAACCAGAAUGAAUGUUCAAGAUCUACCAAAAUAAGCAGUUGGUGCAGCAAUUAUCCUUGAGGCCAACUCUAAUGGCACAACUAGAAAGAAGCGUCUCAACAUCAAAUACUAUAUCAGUGCUAAAACCAUGGUUUCAAAAAGCAUCUGGAGUGAAUGUAAUUUCUAAUCAAAAAGAAAACUUUUAUAAAGACACCCAAGAUGUUUAAUGAAGUAAAAAAAAAAAAAAAAAAAAAAUCUGCAGAAUCUGAGAAGUUCAUUUAUGAGAAGAAAAUGAAAAUUAACCUCUCCAGCUUUUACAGUGAUAACAUGUGGAGUAAAUCCAACACCUGCUGAACCUGCAAAAAGAAACCUUCAUAAGAAAAUCAAAAUACCAUAAAACUAACAUGUCAAAUAAAUGCUAAUUGAAAAGCAUUUUAUUUUCAUGACUGGUGUGAAAGACAUGCAUAAGAAUAUUAGCAAGUACGUGAGACUUGAGAGACUCGGGGGAAAUACUAUAAAGCCAACAGCAGACGAGGGCAUAAACGUAAUUCACUUUAGAGAAAAAAAAAAAAAGAAUCUGAGGUCAGAACCAAACAGAUCCCAAUUUCCAGCAAAACAUUUGGCUAUUGAUUGAUAAUUCCUCCUCAUUCUAGUUCUACAAGAUCCUUUUAAGACACAACACAACACAACACAACAACACUUUUACCAUUACAGCAAACAACCAACGUUUGGUUUCAUGCAACAAAAUUAAACCAAAGUGGGAGAGAGAGAGCAAGAGGCAAAGCAAAACAUGUAGUUUUAAACUCAAAACGAAAACGCAGCACGUGACAAAAAGCACAAAUAAUUUUCUAAUUACCCAGAGCUUCAAGUUGGUGUUUCUUUCCAGAACCAGAACCAGGAGGCCUGCCUCUAGAUUUCUUUAUAGAAUCCGGAGACAACGGACCGCCACCGGGAGAAGAUAACCCACUACCAGUACCACCGGUGGCGGUGGUAACAGAAGAAGGAGAAGGAACAAGAGCCAAUGACAUGGUGCCAUCGGGCCCAUACUUUCUAGGCCUCCCUCUCUUUCUCUUCAUCGGCUCACUUCCACUUCCCAUGUUCAUCACAUUAAGUCCCUGUGCCUGUGGAAUGGCCCCGUCUCCGCCGGCGCCGGAUGGCUGGUAAGUUGGCGACGUAGCAGUUAUUGGCUUGUACACAGCUGUGCCGUCCGCACUAAACGCUAAACGCAUGCUCUGUAUCGACGCUGGAGGCUGUGACGUCAUCACAUUCACUGCUGUCUCGGAUCCUGACAUCUUCUUCGAGACUUCAGCUACUUUGAUUGAACUCCUCUCACUGUACCAAAAUUCCAUGCAUUACCAAACUUUAAAAAUUUUUAAAUAUUUAAAAAUUUGUAAAUCUAAUUAACAAAAUUAAAAACAAGAAACUAACUUUACUUCACAGUAGUGACUGGGGGGGAGUGAAAAUUAGAUCUUUCAAUUAAAGAAGAGAAUUUUGAAUGAAGUGAGCUAAUCCAGUUAGCUUAAACUUAAAAGGAAAAAAAACCAAACCCUAAUUACUGCAACUUCAACUAUAGAUUUUGACAAAAAUUGAGCAAAGAUCAAGAUAAAAACAAAUUUAAUUAUUAAAAAAAAGGAAUUUUGGGAAUUUACUGUUUAAAAAAACGGAAAUUACAUUAAAAAAAGGGAAAAUUAAGGGAAAAAAUAGAGUAAACUUACCAAAGAAAUAGGUGAAAUCAAGGGAGGAAAAAAAGGAGUGAAGAGACGAAAUUUUAGGGUUUUGGAAAUGAAAAUAGCAGGGGAGUAAAGGGAAAUGGUGAAUAAUUUGUUUACAUUUUAAUUUAGAUAUUUAUUUGAUUUGAUUUUUUUUCUUUUUUUUUUAACGGGGCUUUAUUAAAAAAAGCAGGUAAAAGCAGGCCUAUUUUGCUUUCGUACAAAAAAGAUAUUGAUUAUUUAUUUUUGCAUUUACUUCAACGCCUUCAUUACUCCACUCGCUUGCUUUUUCAAAAUUUUUCAUUUUGUAACUCGAGUACAAAUUCAAUACACUCGCUUGUUAAACACUCCACGUUUCUUAUCCGAUUUAAUUAUGCGUUAUCGCAGUCCGUGUAAAGUGAACAACGGCGAGUACAGCUUUCCUGCGAUUGCGGAUAAAAUUUGAAAAUUUUGUAUUUGGCGCUUGUUUGUUUUCUCUUCUUUUUGCUUUUUUAAUUAAUAAUAAUAAUUACUUGGGUAUUGUACAGUUGGAUACUUGGACAUUGGUCUUAGCCUCUUAGGUCUUUUAAUUUACAUAAUUAUUUUAUUCAUUUCCUUUAAUUAAAUAUUAUUAAACAUUUGGUUUAACUGAAAAUUAUGGUUUUAUUACAGUUGGCAGAGAAGAGUGGGUGCGUAAUUAUAAACAAUAAUUGAAAAUUAGAAUUACAACCACAGUAUUAACUCAUACUUAUCUUGAAAGCUUUAAUAUGCCAAUCAAGCAAUAUAUAUUGUGUUAUUCACUUAAAUCCUAUUUUUUCUCGGUUUUAUCCUCUUCAGACAACCAAAAUGAGUGCAGGUCUUCUGUUAGUGACCAUAUAAAGCCAAAUGAAUUUCACUAAUUUUUAUUUUAAUGAUUAAUAAUUAAAAUCUUAGUUGUGCUAUUCAAUAUUAUUUCUUGAAAUAUAAAUUAAUUAUUUUUCUGGUUGAUUGCUAAACAAAAAUGGAAAAAAAAAAAUUCAGGGCUUAUUAUGUUGUUCUCUUGGUAGUUGGUGAUCUUUCUCUCUUGAAUAAUAAAAUAUUUAAAUGAUUAAACUUAAAAAGGUAAAAACAAAGGAAGAAAAGUUUAAUACAGAUAGGUGAGUGCUAAUUUAGAGUUUAUACUACAUUUAUUAAUUAGUAAUUGGAAUGAAUUAAAAUCAGAAUAAAUUGUAAAAUAAAUGAGAAAUGAGAUUCAGAAUAGAAUAUGUUGUAAUAUAAAUGAAGAAUGAGAAUUAAAAUAAAAUAUCUAUUUGAACUAUAAGAAUAAGAAACAUAAUAAUUAGUAUUUUAUUAUUAUGUAUUUAUUUUAUCUUGAAAUAGAAACGAAUUAUCACAAGUUAUUAAAAAGUCAGUUAAUUAUUAUUACUAUUUAAUAAACUUAUUGUUAACAAUAUAAAGCAAUAAUAAUCGCAACAACUAAUAAUGAUCAUCAUCAUCCUUGGUGAUCGGCGGCAGGCCGGAAACAACAAUAAUGAUUGGUAGCCGGCAACAUUUGUAGCAGCGAUCGAUUUGCUUGAUCUAAUUUUUUUAAUUUUUUUUUCAACCAUCAUUAGAAAUAACUACAGGAAUCGUUUCAAAAUUGGUGUAGAUUCCACCAAUUUAAUUCCAAUUCUCCUCCUUAUUUUGAAAGUAAAUAAAUUAAUUAAUCAUAUUCCACCAUUUCCAUUCUCAUGCUCAAUUAAUAAACACAUACAAGAGUUUAGAUCACAAUUUUUUGUCAGGCCAGAAACUAAGAAAAAGACGAGAGUCCCACGUGACACAAGUGAAGGACUCUUCUGGUGGAUUGUAAAAAAAUGCAAGUAUUACAAAAUGUAGUAAUUAAUUAUUAACAAAAUUUGCAAUUUUUACUAUUACAUUUUGUAAUAAUUUUAUUGUAAACAAAUUGCAAUAGUUUUCUUCUUCUUUUUUUUAAGGAAUUAAAACUGCUGAUACGAAUUUAUAUUUUUUAUGAAUUUACUCAUCAAAUAGGUGAUUUGAAUUUAAAAUCUUUUUUAUUAUAAUAAUUUUAAAUUCAAAUUAUAAAAUGCACAUGGGAAUAGAUAUUUAUAUUUCAUCCUGAGAAAUUCUUAUGCCAUUUAAAAAAGAAAAAGAAAACAAUGACCGCAGAAAAAACCGUUGAGUAACAGCAGCAACUGAAGAAAACGGAAAAAAAAACGGAUAUAUGUCCGAAAGCAGAAGCCAAUCUCAAAACAUGGCUUCUAUUUCUCCACUCCACACUUGGUCUCAGCGGCCUCACCACGCCUCCUUCACAGCUUUUUCUAACAACAAAGGUCUAAUAAGCUUUAAAGCUCUUAUCUACCCCAUUUUAUCUGUUACUAUUUGUUUUUUUUAUUGUCAUUUUGACUUUUUUUCUUCUUUUUUGUUCAAUUUGUUUCAGGAACCAAUCAAUAUAACAAGCAAUUUGUGUUCUGCUGCAAGAAACAGGAACAAGAAGACGAAGCAAGAACCCUGUAAUUUGCAGUUGAGUUAUUUGAUUCGUGGGUUUAUUUUAGAAUUUUGGAUAAUAAUUUGUUGGUUUUAUUUUAAACAGUAACAGAUUUCGCAUUGAAGAACAAGAUGAUGACUCUAGGACUAAAAGAAGAGAAGUGAUGUUUCAACUGGCCUUCACUGCGUGUUCUUUCCCAGCAAUUGUUUCUUAUGCGCUUGCAGCGAAUGGUAACUUUGCUGUCUUGGUAGUAGUGCCAAUGAUUCAAUAUGAGAUCUCUUUUUUUUUUUUUUCUGUAAUCAUUUUCAUUAAGUUUCUUAUGUCGCAGAAGACCUCCGUGUUUAUACUGAUGAACUGAACAAGUUUGAGAUUUCGAUACCCCAAGGUACAUAAAUGAUAAAUCCCCAUCAAAAUUUGAUUACUUGGUGUAUAACUACGUAUGUAAUCAUGGAAUUGAUGCGGUACAGAUUAAAGAAUGGAAGUGCCUAAUCGGAGACUCUUGGGUUCACAUGAGCCUGUUGCUCAAAAUAUGACCUUAAAAUUUGUUUAUGUGUGCAUGAGUUAUGCCGAGAGUUCAUGGAAGUAUUUUGAUGGGUUUAAACUUUAUAGGAGUUGAAAUAUCAAAUUUAUUCCAAAUUUAUUGAGUGAUGAGAACAAGUGCUGCUUGUUGAAACAGAUUGGCAACUGGGCGCGGGGGAACCAAAUGGAUUCAAAUCCAUUACUGCUUUCUACCCACAAGAAGCAUCUAGUUCAAGCGGUAUUCGAAAACUCUUCUGGUGGAUUUAUGAUUUAUUUUAACAUAUUCAAGUCUGUAAAUCUUAAAUUGGUUUCUUUCUUUAGUCAGCGUGGUGAUCACGGGGCUUGGUCCGGAUUUUACGAGAAUGGAAUCUUUUGGCAAAGUUGAAGCUUUUGCUGACACUCUGGUAUGUAGCUUUUCCAAUGUUAUUUCAGCUUGUGCUUGGUUGCUCAUUUGUUUUGCUUGCACGCUGCUCUGUUCUUAUCAUAAGUCUUCUCAACAGGUUAGUGGAUUAGAUAGAAGCUGGCGAAGACCCCCGGGUGUAGCAGCAAAACUCAUAGAUUGUAAAGCAUCCAAAGGCAUUUGCAUCUUCUUUUCUAUUCAAUAAUCAAUUCUGACAUUACAAAACCAUUUUGAAGAUUUUAAUUAAUUAUUUCCCAUGGCAAUUGAAUUAUGUCAUUCUGAUUAGAAGUUCUUGAAAGAGUGCCGGUGAAAUCAUGCAAGAUGUUACGUGUAAUUAUUUUGAAUGCAGGGUUUUAUUACAUAGAGUAUACACUGCAAAAUCCAGGUGAGAGCCGUAAACAUUUGUUUUCAGCCAUUGGGAUGGCAUCAAAUGGUUGGUACAACAGAUUAUACACAGUGACUGGCCAGGUACAUUCGAAUAUCUUAGAGCUUCUAUUCUUUAGCUGUUGCAAUCCCUUCAUGAGUUAAUUCCAAGGCUCGGGCUCUGUAUUAAACUCUUGACAAUUGACAUUUUGAUGCAGUUUGUGGAAGAAGAAUCAGAGAAAUAUGGCUCUAAUAUUGAGAAGGUAACUUUUACUAGUAGAAUUAUAUUAUUGAGCACAUCGUAUCGUACCAUGAAAUAGCUUUAGAUUCGUUUAUGGAUGACCGAUUUUACUUGAUUUUGCAGGCAGUCGCAUCCUUUAGGUUCAUUUGAAGAAAGAACUACUACAAUGCCGCCGUGCUUUGUUUUGCUAGUUUUGUAUUCGGAGCACGUUACAUGUUUGUUACUUAUUGUCAUUUUCCUCGGUCACGGAAGCCAAAAAAAAAAAAACUCAAAUGAUUAUAGGUAAACCCGUGUCUGAAAUUCAAGCACAAUUUUGGGUAUGUUGAGCCAUAGCCUAAGUGGAAAGUGUAGGCUCCCCCAUCUACAUCUACUACUAGGUACUAACAACAUUCCUUGGGCCAUGGAAAGAAACAAAUUUCACAUUUCAUACAGCAUAGAAGAUACACAAGGUCAUGAAACAUCUGUUUUAACAUUCUCCUCAGUCCGGUCUCCAUUUUUCCGAGCAUUAGAUUUAUGAAACAGAACAGAAAGCUGAUCAACAAAAAGUAAAUUCUUGACUUGCUCCAACUGUUUCCACUCUUCCUCCAUUUGCAAAUCUAAACUCUCAAAUCGAAUGAUCUUAUCCUGGAUCUCUUUCAUCUGCAAAACUCUUUCACAUUUAGCUAAUAAUUUAUAAUUGAAUAUGACAGAAAAAAUGACCAAGAAUUUUACGCACCUGCACUUCCACAAUCCCAGAUAUAGCUUUCUCAACAUCCAACUCUUCCUUCUCAAUCAAGGAACUUGCAUCUACAGAAGCUCUUGCCAAUGCAUUCUGGGUGGCAUCACCAUUGGAUGCAACCUCAGCUUCUGCAUGUUGAAACCAAGUCAAUAACAUACUAAGCUGGAUGGUCUCAACAACAGAAGUUUCCAACUUUUAUCAACAGAAUAACAGUUAGGGUAACAGCUCGUCUUACGACGCUACAACAUGGAUUUAUUUCUUGACUAAUAGAAAAGAACUUGGCUAGGAAGGAUUGCUAUUCAUACCUUGCUGUCUUGUAUUUCUGAUAAGACUCCCUUUACUUGCUCUAUCAUCCACAUCUGACAGAGUUGUCACAGCUGCUCGAGCAGCAACUUCAGCAAUCUGGACACCAGCUAAAGCCGACAGGAAAGCUGCCUGAGAGAAAACGCAAGUAAUUAUCUUAUAUAACUUCGGAGAAACAGCAAUAAAUAUAAACAUGAAAUUGCUCCAACAUUGAGAAGUUAGUUAAUGCAAGUUACUAAUAUCUAAAGCAAACAGAAAAUAAAAGCGUCUGGUUUCUGCAAGGUAAUCCUCAUACAGUUUCUACAAAAUCAACAAACUUAUUUCCAAGUAUCAGAAUGGAGUCCAUCUGAUAUUCCAGAAAUUGGUUUCCAUUUUUUCCCUUGAUUUAUCUCUAUAUGUACUUUGUAAAAGGGCAUACCUGAGCCAUUAUUGGGUUACUUGCAUCGGCAAGAGGGGUGAGACGCAUUCUCUUACUCGGGGAUGUAGCGCCAACAUUUUCCGAUUCACUUACAGCAUCACUAGGGUUGUUGAUAGAAAAAAACUUGUUAUCCACAUCCUCCGAAUCUGAUUCUUUACAAAUAAAUUCCUGCCCAAAAGGGAGCUUGAUAAAAUGAGUGAUGCAGUCCUUCUCACUUUUACCACUGACAUGCUGUGCAACCUUCCUCCAGUCAUCACCAAAAUGCAUAAUGGCCUCCAGAAGUUGCAAAGUUUCUUUCUCUGUCCAAUCCGAUCUAGCCUCCUCACUGAUCUCGACCCGCCUGAAAUCAGACGAGCUAACACCCACCCGAUGGUUACCACGGACAUAGCAUCUCGCACAAAGGGUCAAGUCAUACUUAUCACAAGCAAAACAAGCAAUGGUACAAAGGGUCUUGCAACCAUUGCAGAGCCUCUUAGAGGUCUCCUUAAGAGCCGAGGAGGAUUCAGCAGAAGCGGCAGAGGACUUGGUCUCUUUAUCUUCCCACUUCAAGGUCUUAACAGAAGCAAAGUAAUUAAUAAGUCCCCAAGUCUCCAAGAAAUCAAACACCCUUCGAAUAGAUCCCACAUCGCCGACAAGAGUCCUCCUCACGUCGGUAAACGUAAUCUUCCUCGACGGGUUCUCUCUAUAAUGCUUGACUAUUGAAUCCCUAUAGUACCUGUAAACCCUAGGGUUUUUCGAUGGCGAACGCGAAUCGAAAAAUUCCGGAAGAAAUUUGACCUCACAUUCACUGAUGCUGUCAAAUGAAAACCACCCUAAACCCACCAAAAAAAAAAAAAAACAAAUAAAGAAUUCUAAACAAUUAGACGAAAGAAAAAUAAAAAUUGUCAAUUUCGGAGAGGGGCCGCCUACUCACUGGAAUAGCUGGGGACGUUAACGACGUCGGGUUCGGAGGAAGAGGGUAGCUCGGGCUUGACGGGUGCAGGCGCAAGAGGAGUGGUGGGGUUAACGGCGGACGUUCCCUGAGGUUCUUUAACGGGCGAUUUAGCCGCCAUGAGAUAAUAAAUUCGCUAGCAUUCCCAACUCUCUCUCUCUCUCUCUCUCUCUCUCUCUCUCUCUCUCUAUAUAUAUAUAUAUAUAUAUAUAUGCUUCUUAGCAGUCUGCUCUAAUUUCAAAUUCAAUAUAUGCCGUAGCCUGUUUGAGAUUGCUAAUUUGACUUUCGUAGGUUCAAAGUAAUUUCAAAAAAUAAAAAGUUAAUUUUUUUAUUAAAUAAAUAGAAACAUAUUGAGAUAAUUUUUAAAUAUAAAAGAUAACCAGAUAAGUUAAGAGUUUGGUAAAAUUUUUAAAUUAUUUUUUAAAAUUUGUGAAUUCAUUUUAUGAUUUUCAAAUUAAAAGAUAAAAAAAUAAUAUAUUAAAUAAUAAAAUAUAUUGUAUUAGAAAAUGUGUUUUAUUUAUUAUUAUUAUUAUUAUUAUUAUUCAGUGUAGUAUAUUUUUUAGCACUAGUUAUAAAUUUGAGAACCCCAAAUUUUCACUUUGUCAUAAUCACAAAACUAACCCUAAUUGAGUAUUUUUUAAAAUUUGUUCUCUAUAAGUCUAGCAUUUCUUCAAUGGCAAAUCAAAUCAAACUUACUUUCUUCUCCCUUACCUUUCUCUUUAUUCUCCUAAAAUCUUUGCUGCGCACCGAAGGCUUUGGAAUUUUGAUGUGUUUAAGUUCUAAUGUAUACAUCUCACAUGUUUAGCGGACGAGGCAGACCCAAUACUUCCUCUUAGAAAACAAAGGCAGGCUUCUCCAAUUAUGUAACAUGCUCAUUUGAUUUUUGAUUUUAGGGUUCGAAAUGAUGAAGAAUUUAUACAUGUAAUUGUAUGAUAAAUUUUUUAACAUAACUAAUCAAAUUAUGCCAUGUGGAAAUAGGAAAAAAAACUACAAAAUUAAUCGAUUCUUCGGUUCAAAUGAAUUCUCAGCUUCUUACGUUAUAACUAACAUUUGGGCUUUUAAGCUUACACCUAAUCACAAUGAUAUUGAUGUAUUCGACUAAACCCGCUUGCCGGUGCUAAACUGGCAACCAGGCGCCUACCAAUUAAUCAAUCCACAGAUGAAAUUUGAUUUAGCAGACAUUGCCAGAAGUGCGAAUGCGAAUACACACACACAUAUUUCUUUGAAAUUAAAUGAACCUGAAGCUUUCCCCAUGUUUUGAGGACGGGCUCUCAGACCAUAGAUGUAACAAAUGUUGAACGAGUGUCCAAUAAAAAAACCCCUAGAGAAACUAAUAUGCACAAAAGUUUCAAUGACAUGUAAAUACAAUGCAGGUCACCAGAGAACACCUUGGUUCUAUACACCCAAAUGCUGGGACUACGCCUAUAAAAGAAUCAUAAAUUGAUUCUAACAUGUCUGUUUUGUGUUGUCUUUUUGAGCUUCUUUUUACACUGUCUUAUUCCUACAUGGCUGCUAAAAUCCCCCGUUCUAGCAUCCAUCAAUGCAUGGUUGCAUGCCGAUACUCAUCCUGAGCAUCAGCAGCAUACGAACUAUGAAGUUUUUAGAUACACUAAGGUAAAUGAAGAGCACCCGCAUCUUCCAUUUUCCUUCUCCACCCAUAUGGCACGAGAGCGACUCAGACAAUAGACAUCUCUGGUGAAAAUGACUUUGGAUGACCUGCAUAAUGAAAAAUGAGUAAGAUUUAGGUUUGACGAAGAUUCUUAAAACAGUAUAACAGCAAAAUACACACAGAUAACGAAGAAAAAAGAAGGAAAAAAAAAUAGAAUUAUCUUUCCCAAUCCUCUAAUCCCAAUUGAAGAUACCAAUAUAAAAUUAUAUCAUAUUUACGAAUAACCAGAGAGCUAACGGUAAUCUACAGGAGUGGAGAAGAUAAAUUUACCUCUAGAAUGCAAGAAAAUUAAUUUGCAAGGCUAGAUCCGAAGCCCGCCACUCAAGUAGCAGUCCCACUACUCUUAGUCCUGCUGCAAUCUAAGGAUACCUGAAAACAAACAGUCCAACCAUAUUUUAGUACUUGGUAGCAAGAUGGGAGUGACAGCAUAACUCGAGAGUUUAAAUACCACAGACCUUGAUCAACCUCUCACCCAGAUGUUUGGUCAGAACCGCCACCUUGCAUGAACUGAGAUGGAGCAGGAACUAAAAAUUGAUGUUGGGCUUGUACAGGAGCAGGUAUACCUGAUGAAGCCAAUGAAAUAUAUUGAUCAGGUCUAUUUUACGUAAUAUUUUUCUUUAUGACACACAAUAUAAUAGAUUUUUAAGUUAGGAUUUCUCAAUAAUCAGGAGUCUCCUCGUUGACAUUUAAUUUUUCCUUUUCUCCAUCAAGAACCUAAGAAUACUGCUCUGUGCUCUCCUGGGGUAGGUUCUCUUUCUAACAGCCUUUUCAGGUCAUCUACCUCUUACCAUUUUAACUUCGCUUGGUUAUGAGUUUCAAAAUUCUAAUUUACAUUCUUAAGGGCUGAGAUAUGUGCUUAAGACAAAGUAAUUCAACCUUGAUGCACCACUCGCACAAAAGAUUUUAGCAAACUUGGCUAUUUUCUGUUUAGCUACUGAUUGGAUAUGAAACCUAGAUAAAACAAUAAAGCUUGACUUUAAAAUUUCAAGAUUCUCCAACAAAACUCCAUCAACCUAAUUGAAUCCUGGAGUAGCAUGCACCAGCAAAAUAUUAAACUCAAAGGGGACUAUAUGUUCAUAUUCAUAUAAAUGAUGGUCCAACAAUCUUCAAUAAGUGCACGUUCAGUAGAUAAAUAAAUCUUCAUAAAGCAUUGUUCAGCAUAAAGUGUUUCGUCACAAAGCAGGUGAUCCUUUAGUCACACGGAUUAUGAACUUGUGUGAUACGUAUAAAGGGGCUCUAACAUCAUUGGUGUAUGCCAGUGUUUGGGGCAGGAUGUAAAAAGAAAAAUCAUACUUUCAAUAUAUGGUUUCUAAGACAAUAAAAUUUACCAGUAGGAUAUGGUGCUUGAACUGUCGGCAGAGGUGAUGUUGUGAUUGCAUUUAAAUUUGGUCCACCGAACUGCAUAAUCUGAUGACCAGGCAUUCCAUAUCCCUGCACUGGUGUAUAAGCAUGGCUUCCAGGGAUUGUUUGACCCAAUUGCCCAUAAGGAUAGACAGCCGUGUUGACUGUCCCAGGUACUCCAUAUAUCGGAACGUACUGCUGGUAUGGAUUGUAAAUACCCUACCAUUAGGACAAGAACAUGCAACAAAUAGAAGUAAUCAGCACAGCAAAAACAUUAAACCCUCAAAAUAAGUAAAUUUUGAUUGCUCCAACCAAGAUGGAGUACCAUAUACCUGGGGGUAAACAUAUUCGGGUCCAUAUGUAGCAUACCUGCAUAGGUACGACAACCAUUCAAUAAAACGGAAUAUCAAUAUUAACAAAACUUUGGGGGUACAUUGAGAAUGUAGGUGUGAGAGAUGACACUGCAUGGAAUAAAUGGUGAAUGUUAUAUACAUUAUCCAUAGCAUAGAUGGGAUCCAAGUGUACCAUCUGCACUAAAGGCAACAUUCUCCUAUUCUAUGAAGGAGCCAUCCCUAGUACAUCCAAAAUAAACUAAUAAAAGAUAGACCUGAAAACUGAAACCAAGAUUUAUCAGUUUCUUUUAUGGUUCUUAUAGAAAAAAGAACAUGAUUCUUGCCUGUACAAUAAACAUUGAACUUGGGCACAUAUCAUCUGCAACUACCACCUGCAAUUACCAAUCACACUAUGUCACAUCUCUGUAGUUUGGACCACAUCAUCAACCUUGAAAUCUAGGGAAAUGUUUAAUUAUUCCUAGAGCAACUUAAACCCUAAACUCACAUUCAAUUUCGUGAUUGGUAAAUGCAUAAACUGGCAACAAAGGAAAACAGAAUGAUGGAAGAAGGAAAUGUAGUUGCAAAGGAGAUGUACCCAAUUAAACUGAACGGCUGCUAAUCUUUCCAUCAGAAAUAGGAAAGAAUUGAUGAUCACAUAUUGACAACAUAAGGCUAUUAACACACAUUCACCCUAAAGCUGUCACUUACUAACAGAUAUAAAGGCCAAUAUAGGGAAAUAUGCAUAUCUUUCUCUACAUGGAGUGCAAGGCCAUGACCUGGCCGACUAAAGAGUUACUCAGUCAGUCAGUCAGUCACAUGCAAGGCGAGAAGCUCUAACACUAAAAUCUGCUAGUCCAUUAGCUUUGACAAAAGCACAAAGGGAGGAGCAGAAGCCAAACUGAAUCUGCUGUGGACUUUAGUAAUUAACAAAUUUUAAUUUAAAAUCAAACUUACAACUUACCCAUAAGAAGGAUACACCAUUCCCUGUUGGUAGUUGUAAGGAAGUGGUUGCUGGUAGCCAAAACUUCCAAUGUAAGGUCCCCGUGUAGCUUGAGUACUGCCACUGAAUAGAGUAGCUGGUCUCAGACGUCCUACAGGUAUCAGAAAAGUAAUCAUGAUGCAAUAGAUAAUAGAACUGCCAAAUGAAACAUCAGUUGCACAUAUAGGCCAACUAAACACAAUAGAUAUGAUACCAUAGAGCACUUGCGGCCGAGGUCGCCCAAGUGAAGCCAAAUUACAAUUUGCUCGCCUACCAUCAAUGAAUGGAGUUGGAUCAGCACAGGCUCUCCUAGCAGCCUCUGGUUCUCGAAAAGUCACCUACACCCUCCAUACAAAUACAAACAGAAAACCAAGUCAUUGUACAACCAUGAAUUUCACCUCACACAUCAGCUAACAAGUGUCAACAACAGCAAUCACUUGAGAAUAACACUAACCAAGCAAUAAUAAGUAUAUUCUAUCACUAUUAAACUGACAUUUGGCACUUUUUGAUCAUCCCAAAUAGCAUGCACAAAUAACAUAAUAUACCAUUGCACUGAAUUCAAGAGAUCAGGCUGUUCCACGAAAAUCCAAACUUGAAUAUACUGAACAAAAUUAACCAGGAUAUCAAUAACUACUCACAAAGCCAUAGCCUUUGGAUCGCCCAGUAUUCUUAUCAGUGAUAACGACAGCCUCAAGAAUCUCACCGAAUUGCUCGAAAUAUCGUCUCAUGGUCUCACUUUGAGUCUCCCAAGCAAGUCCUCCAACAAAGACUUUAGUGUAAGUGGUAUCUCCAAAAGGAGAAUUCAAAUACUGAAACCCUGAACUCGAACUCGAUCCCGAGCCAGGACCCGGAAUCGACUGAUAAGCCAUCAAAUAUACGAAAAAGAUAGAUAAUUACUAUAAACAAACAAACAGAACAAGACUGAAUGAAGAAUCCUAUCGAUAGACACAGAGAAAGAGAGAGAGAGAGAGAGAGAAAAAGAAAAAGGCAAAGAAAGAAGGAGAAGAAAAAAGAUGAUCAAUUGGAUAGAAUCAAGUGAUACUAAAGUAAACCCAAUCGAUAAAAACCCACAUGGCAAAGGAGAAACCCUAUAUAAACCCUUGAAAUGGAAGAUAAAAUAUACUAGGAAUCCACAGAAUUGAAAGGGAAUCGAAGAAGAACAUGGUGAGCUAACGCUUUGAUGAAAAGAUGACAAGAAAAAGAUCAGAUAAAUAGGAGAAAAAGGAAAAGGAAGAGGAAAAACCCUAGAUGGGCCAGCAAGAGUGGGUGGUGGGUAUAAGUUUGUAUGGGAAAAGUUGGUCACAGAAGAGCAGUUUGUAAAAAAGAAUCUAAGAAGGUAAAAUCGUGAUACUAAUAGUGGCUUUGGCAAAUAAUUAUUUUUAUACACCAGUAAUAGGACUGUUGAGGAAGAGAAAGGAUGGAUUUGUUUUUAAUCUUUUUCAUUGAUUCCGUAGCAGUUGUUGAUGGUGGCGAGCUAAGAGCGUAAGAUGAAGAAGAAGGGUAGACUGGGUAGUCAUGAUUUGCACUGAAGAAACGCAUAACAAAGUUGAAAAAGUAUAAUAACAUUUCAAUACCAAUAUUUUGCAAAAACUUCAAAUGGAAACAUAGUUUACACUUUUCCAACAAAAAGCCCCUGCUGCUGGUGCUGUAGUGGCGUUGUGAGUUUUUAUUUAUUUAUUUAUUUUAAAUUUCAAUUUACUGUAGAGCUUUGGAAAAUGAUAAAUUAGAAUAGUAUAUUGUGUACGUACCAUUAAUUCACCUUACAACAACAACAGCAAGUCAGGAACCGCACGAAAAAUAGAAACGUCAUCACACAGGGCACGACCUCCCGUCCCGCUUCCGUUCUCCACUUCUCCCUGAUAACAUAAUGGACCUAUUUGAAAAGAAUGAACAGAUCAACUUGAUCUUUGAUUUUGUCAAGAAUUAGAGACUCUGAGAUUAUAUAAAACGAAGGACACUCUUUUUUGUCUUCGAGAGUUCUCAAACAAAGCAAAGCCAGAUUGGGAUUGUGUGGACGCGGGGCCCGCUCUCUAACUCUCUAACUCUAUCUAAUCUCUAAACCCUAAUUUUCAUUUUUUUUUCUUUUCUUUUAUUUAUUUAUUUAUUUAUUUAUUUAUUUAUUUAUAUUUUUUCACACGUCCGAUAAAAGAAACUGUCCCACGCACCACACACACACACACAAGGCAGAAGGCAGAAGGCAGAAGUAGAAGAACAGAGCACACGGAGCUAACGCGGUCUCUGUCCAGUCGGCAACAAAUAAUUUGCUUAGUAUCUACAAAUCUACUUUGUCAUUUACUUCUGUACGAUCUUAUUUCAUCUUUCUGUUUAUAGUAGCGCAACAAGUUUGUUAUUCCAGUUCGGCUUGUCCUUGUCUUAAAACUACCGCUGCCGCUACUAUCAUUCAAAAAUAAUAAUAAACUAACUACUCCCACACCAUAAAAGCAAAAUUCUCACAAAUUUAUUUUCAUUUCACUAAUUGUCUCAAUACAAACACUGUCAGUGGAGGGAUUAGAAGUAGGCAGAAUUACACACAAGUGACAGUCGAUCCAAAUUGGACCUUUCGAUUUUCUUAUUUGUUACUUAUUCCUUUUAUUCUGAUUUUUUUCAAAACCAAUUGGCUCAGUCAAUAUUUGGGUUCAAUAUAAAAUCACACCGAAAUUUAAAAAUACUUUAAAAUUUGAUCAAAAGCAGACUGACAAUUGAUAACUAAGGGAUAAUUUGGUAAUUUUGUAGCUUUUUAGAAUAAUUGAUGUAUGUUGUGGCUCUAUAGAUAAUUAGCUACGAAGAUAAUUAGUUAAACGUUUAAUAAAAUUUUUUUUUUAUAAAUGUUGUGAGCUUUAAAAGUAGAUAUAUGCGUUUAGUAAAUUUUAUUGUUAAAUUGCUGUAAAAAUGUAAAUGAUUGAGUUGACCAUAAUACUAAAUACAAUUGAUUUACAAUUUUAUAAAAUAUUUUUAAAUGAAAUAAAAAUUCUAUAGUAUUUAUUUUAUUUUAUUUUUUGCUAUCUUGAUACAAUUGAAGAUGAUGAUCAUGAUCAUGAUAAUUUCUUUAAAGUUAAUGAUCUUAUUUCCUAAUUAAUAAGGAUAAUUUUAUAUUUUUAGAAUAAAUAUUAGGAAUUGUAUUCAUUACAAAAGUAAUUCUCAAAAUCAAAUUUUGGAAAACUACUCAUUUUUUGCUUUUCAAAAUGUAUUGUAGAAUGGGUGAUUUUGCUAAAAGUGAUUUGUAAAAUAAAUUUACCAAACACCAAAAUUAAUUUAUAGCCUUUUAAAAUCACAUUUAAGUCUCCCAAAAGUAAUUUCAAAUGUGCCCUAAGUCUAACCAGUUUGGUUUGUAUUGGUUAAAUUAUUGUCUAAAAUUUGUUUCAUUCAAUUCAAAAUAUCAAACAUUAUUUUGUUUGAUACUAGUUAAACAUCAUUACACAAUUUAAAUGGAUAAGUUUACAUUUUGUGAAGUAUGGACUUUAAACUGAGUGGAGCUAUUUGAUCCCACUAAAAUACACUUUACACCUAUUUCUUCACUACAGCAUUAGGGAUUUUAAAGUUUUAAAUUUUACUCUAUGCACCUACUUAAAUGCCAAAAUUACCCUUAUAAACUAAAAUCAAAUAAAUUUCUAAACAAUUUUUCUUUCAUCUUCUCUUGCUCUUUCUCUAGUGUUUGGACGGUUACAUCUCUCUUCCUCAAUCAAAUCACAACUGAACAUGGUAGUUGAAAGAAGAACUAUGACAGUUUAUCAAUGCGAAGAGAAUAAAAUGAAAAAAAAAAAAUCAAAAUGCUGUAAAUAUAUAUGGAGAAAUUGUUUUAGCAAUCAUCAUCUGGUUAGAAUUCUAGUUUUUUGUGGCUAGAAUCUUUUAAUGACCAUUGAUAUUGAAUAAAAUUAGCAUUCAAGGUAGGAACAUAGGUAAUAAUUGUUAAUCCCUAAUGUAGAAGAGUAAAAUUAUUAGUUUUUAAUUCAUGAUAUCGUGUCUUUUGUAGUAAAUUAUUUAAUGGAUUUUAUGGUAAUAAAAAUAAUAAUAAAUGAGUGUAAAAAAUAUUUUAGUGGGUUCAAAUAGUUUCAUUUUUAAAAAAAUUAUGAUUGAUUCAUUUUAUUAUUCUUAUUUAAGCUUGCUCUGCAUACUAUUUUACGGAAUGGGCAUUUAGUAUUUUGUCCGUAUAUAUAUAUUUAUACACUAAUAUACACAAACACGUAAAGGGUGUAAAGGGAAAUGGCAACGGUGAUGGAGAGCUGUCCACGCAACUAGGGGUGUCAAAAAAA